RNAcentral lists this long non-coding RNA (94039 nucleotides) under Sorghum bicolor (sorghum). RNAcentral's name for it is "long non-coding RNA (SBIC_LNC018478)". The record is from RNAcentral. Lineage: Eukaryota; Viridiplantae; Streptophyta; Magnoliopsida; Poales; Poaceae.
UGUGUGUAGCUUCACUUGCCUUUCAAAAUGUUGUAUGAUGCCCUUAGUGCGAGGUGACUGUGGAAUUUUGUUGGUAUCCUCUGUCUCUGACAUGGUUUAAAAAAACACACAGUGGAAACAAGAAAAAUAGGUGAAGAAAUAAAAACCCUACAGCUAUUAGGAUGUGGCUACUGUAAGACGCUCUCUAUCAACCUGUCUAACAAGUUCUUACCAAUUCUUACCUUGCUCAACAGGAGGGAUUGGCUACCAACAAAUCCACAGCAAUGGACGAAGUGUAUCGGUGCCGCAGCAACAAAACCUAUCAAGCUGUAGAAUAUGUGGAGCUAUAGGUGGGCUGAAACAAGGAUCGAACUAGCACCACGUUAGUUAUAAAAAGCAAGUUGAAUAAACGCUCAGCGGUGGUACUGUGCUAGUCCUAGCCUAGACCGUGCUAGAGACGCGAGCCUAGACACAAAGGGAAAACACAGCACACCACUAGAAACAAAAUGAGCAGCCCUACUGGAAACAAAAGGAACAACAAUCCCCUUUUUUGAUUUUUUUCUCUUUUUUUCUUUCUUUCUUUCUUUUUUUUCUUUAUUUUUUUUUCUUUCUCUUUUCUUUUUUUGGGGAACCUCAAAACCUGAUUAUAUAAACAAAAUAGUACAAAAUAUCACUUCACCACUCUCACCCUCUCACUAAAGUAAGGCUGAACCUCAAAAUUCAAUAUAUCUAGCACAAGUAUGAAGUGCUAUCUUUCCCUUUGGAUCACGUUGAUGGAAACGCAGAAUAGACCAACAAGUGGCUGCACCUAUUAUCAAGAUCUACUCAAAUUCGAACCCACAAUAGAUUGGAUGCAGUUGUGACUAGAUGGUGACAAGAACUCAAAACUCUAAAGGACUAAACUAAAACCAGCACUGGACACGACCGAAGCAAACACUCAUUCAACCAGCCCUAACUAAGUAGUACUAGCCACGGCACAAAGGAUUUUAUAGGAUUAUGGAAAACAAAUCUGCUAUAUUUUUUUGUCUUUUUUUGGACUAUAGGAAAAACAAACACGAAGAAUUGGAAAUCUCUCACCGAUAAACCUUGCUCUGAUUACCAACUGAUGUGAACCCACUAGGGUUUUCGCCUGAUCUUUCGAUGAGAGGCGCUGGAUAACUCGAUUAGUAAAUGGAGAUGACGUUCACGGCCCGACUACAGCCUUCUAAGGCCGCGCCUUAGCAACCGAUACACCGCCUCCAAUGGCUGUCACGAUCUUGUGGAGCGCAACACCCGGCCACUAGGGCACUCGUCCUGCAAGCAAUCGAAGAACCAGCAAGAACAAGUAGAACAAGUACUAAAUUACUAGAUGUAAAUGAAGGUUUCAAACUCAAUCUCUAAUGAAGUGGGGUUUCGAAAACAAGAAGACGGGCGGCUGGAUCAGCACGCGCGUUUACAAGCAAGUAGCGAAGGCUAAACUUUAUCUAAUCAAAACCCAGUUGUUCAUGGCGGCUCUAAAUGUAAAUAAAUAGAGGGGAGGACAACCAAAGGGGUACUAGAGUCGUCCUCCAACCCUAGGACGCGUCCCUAAUGGACUCAACUUGAUACAUGGGCCAUUGGUCCAAAAUAGGGUGACGCAGCACCAAAACAGAAAAAGGUGUGGCACAAAAACAAGGACUGCGCCCGACUCAUAAGCUGCAUAGAUAUGUGGUUGGACCCAUUGCAUUGGAAAGUAGACUUCAUGAGCUUUCCAUCAAGUAUAGGAAUGUCCCAGUUGGAGUCCAUAUGACGCCGUGGUGAUCCAUACAAGUUAGAGUUAUUUUCCAGUCCGAAUCCAACUCCCAAAACGUGUUGGGUUUGGACUCUUUGUGUCCUUGCUUUAGAAGCGACGUGGUAACUUGAUAGAGGAUGUUGUGGAGGCUUGGACCUGAUCUCCAAUCACCUUUGUUAAGUUAUCACUCUUCCCAUAUGCAAUCAGCCCUUGAAGUUGGUGUUGCCUCAAAUUCCGAAUGCAGUUGAACCUUCCCUUGCUGAUCUUGUCCAUUAUUCCUGAGCAACACGAAAGUGCACGUGUCUCCAUUGUCUAAAUAUGAUUGACAAGAGUUUAAAACUGAACUUACUUGAAGGUUGAGUUGACGGGCACGAGCAUGAGUAAGAGGACCAACUGGUGUAGGUGCGGAUAUAUCGAUGGUGUUGAUGUCCUCAUCAGAUAGGUGCAUAGUUUGUGCCUAAUGCACCAUAGUCUAAGAAACCAUUUUUGACGCACCUGUUUGUACUCCUAGAUGAAGAGGCUCAAGUGGAAGCUCGAAUAGGUCUGUUUGGAGAUAGUGCUAAUCUUGAUGCAAGAUAGGUGCACGGUAUGCAUGGAACAUACCAUAGGCUUGGAAAUCAAUUUGGAUGCACCCGAUGGAACUCCUUGAUGACGUGUGUCAUAUGGAAUCUCGCUUUGGUCUGUUUAGAAACAGUGUUAGUUUCGGUGCAAGAGAUGUGCAUGGUUUGUGCCUAACGCACCAUAGUUUAAGAAACCAUUUUGGAAGCACCUGUUGGUAGUUUGUUGAAGAGGCUCAAGUGGAAGCUCGGUUUGAUUUGUUUGGAGAUAGUGCUAAUCUUGGUGCAAGAUAGGUGCAUGAUUUGCAAGGAACAAACCAUAUGCUUAGAAAUCAAUUUGGACGCACCCAAUGGAACUCCUAGGUGACGUGUGUCAUACGGAAUCUUGCUUCGGUCCGUUUGUAGACAUUGUAAGUUUUAGUGCAAGAUAGGUGUAGAGUUUGCGCCUAAUGCACCAUAGUCUAAGAAACCAUUUUAGACGCAAUAUUUGGUACUCCUGGGUGAAGAGGCUCAAGUGGAAGCUUGGUUCGGUCAGUUUGGAGAUAGUGCUAAUCCUUAUGCAUGGUAGGUGCAUGGUUUGCAUGGAACAUACCAUAUGCGUGGAAAUCAAUUUGGAUGCACUCGAUGGAACUCCUUGAUGAUGUGUGUCAUAUGAAAUCACGCUUUGGUCCAUUUGGAGACAUUGUUAGUUUCGGUGCAAGAUAAGUGCACAGUUUGCACCUAAUGCACCAUAGUCUAAGAAACCAUUUUGGACACACUUGUUGGUACGCCUAGGUGAGGGGCUCAAGUAGUUGCUCGGUUCGGUCUGUUUGAAGAUAGUGCUAAUCUUGAUGCAAGAUAGGUGCACGGUUUGCAUGGAACAUACCAAAUGCUUGUAAAUCAAUCUGGAGGCACAUGAUGGAACUCCUAGAUGACGUGUGUCAAAUGAAAUCUUGCUUCGGUCUGUUUGGAGACAUUGUUAGUUUCGGUGCAAGAUAGGUGCACAGUUUGCACCUAAUGCACCGUAGUCUAAGAAACCAUUUUGGAUGCACUUGUUGGUACUUCAGUGAAGAGGCUCAAGUGGAAGCUUGGUUUGAUCUGUUUGGAGAUAGUGCUAAUGUUGGAGCAAGAUAGGUGCAUGAUUUGCAAGGAACAUACCAUAUGCUUAGAAAUCAAUUUGAACGCACCCAAUGGAACUCCUAGAUGACGUGUGUCAUAUGGAAUCUUGCUUCGGUCCGUUUGUAGACAUUGUAAGUUUUAGUGUAAGAUAGGUGCACAGUUUGCGCCUAAUGCACCAUAGUCUAAGAUACCAUUUUAGACGCACUAUUUGGUACUCCUGGGUGAAGAGGCUCAAGUGGAAGCUUGGUUCGGUCAGUUUGGAGAUAGUGCUAAUCCUUAUGCAAGGUAGGUGCAUGGUUUGCAUGGAACAUACCAUAUGCUUGGAAAUCUAUUUGGAUGCACCCGAUGGAACUCCUUGAUGACGUGUGUCAUAUGGAAUCUCACUUCGGUCCAUUUAGAGACAUUGUUAGUAUCGGUGCAAGAUAGGUGCACAGUUUGCACCUAAUGCACCAUAGUCUAAGAAACCAUUUUGGACGCACUUGUUGGUACUCCUAGGUGAAGGGGCUCAAGUGGAUGCUCGGUUCGGUCUGUUUGGAGAUAGUGCUAAUCUUGAUGCAAGAUAGGUGCACGGUUUGCAUGGAACAUACUAAAUACUUGAAAAUCAAUCUGGACGCACAUGAUGGAACUCCUAGAUGACGUGUGUCAUACGAAAUCUUGCUUCGGUGUGUUUGGAGACAGUGUUAGUUUCGGUGCAAGAUAGGUGCAAGGUUUGCACAUAAUGCGCCAAAGUCUAAGAAACCAUUUUGGAAGCACCUGUUGGUAUUCCUAGGUGAAGAGGCUCAAGUAGAGGCUCGGUUUGGUCUGUUUAGAGAUAGUCCUAAUCUUGAUGAAAGAUAGGUGCAUGAUUUGCAUGGAACAUACCAUAUUUUCAGAAAUCAAUUUGGACACACCAGAUGGAACUCCUAGAUGACAUGUGUCAUAUGGAAUCUUACUUCCGUCUGUUUAGAGACAGUGUUAGUUUUGGUGCAUGAUAGGUGCACGGUUUGCACCUAAUGCACCAUAGGAUAAGAAACCAUUUUGGAUGCACCCGAUGGUACUCCUUGGUCAAGGGGCUCAAGUGAAGGCUCCGUUUCGUCUGUUUGGAGAUAGUGCUAAUCUUGAUGCAAGAUAGAUGCACGGUUUGCAUGGAACAUAUGAUAUUCUCAUAAAUCAAUUAGGACGCACCUGAUAUAACACCUUGAUGAUGUGUGUCAUAUGGAAUCUCGCUUCGGUUCGUUUAGAGACCGUGUUAGUUUUGGUAGAAGAUAUGUGCACGGUUUACGCCUAAUGCACCAUAGGCUAAGAAACCAUUUUAGACGCACCCGAUGGUACUCGUAGUUGAGGAGGCUCAAGUGGAGGCUCGAUUUGGUCUGUUCGGAUAUAGUGCUAAUCUUGAUGCAAGAUAGUUGCAUAGUUUGCAUGGAACGUACCAUAUGUUAAGAAAUCAAUUUGAACGCACCCAAUGGAACUCCUAGAUGACGUGUGUCAUAUGGAAUCUCGAUUUGGUCCAUUUGGAGACAAUAUUAGUUUCGAUACAAGAUAGGUGCAUAGUUUGUACCUAAUGCACCAUAGUCUACAAAACCAUUUUUGAUGCACCUGUUUGUACUUCUAGAUGAAGAGGCUCAAGUGGAAGCUCGGUUCGGUCUGUUUGGAGAUAGUGCUAAUCUUGAUGCAAGAUAGGUGCACGGUUUGCAUGGAACAUACCAUUUGCUUGGAAAUCAAUUUGGAUGCACCCGGUGGAACUCCUUGAUGACGUGUGUCUUAUGGAAUCUCGCUUUGGUCUGCUUAGAAAUAGUGUUAGUUUCAGUGCAAGAUAUGAGCAAGGUUUGCGCCAAAUGCACCAUAGUCUAAGAAACCAUUUUGGAAGCACAUGUUGGUACUUCGGUGAAGAGGCUCAAGUGGAAGCUUUGUUUGAUAUGUUUGGAGAUAGUGCUAAUCUUGUUGCAAGAUAGGUGCAUGAUUAGCAAGGAACGUACCAUAUGCUUAGAAAUCAAUUUGGACGCACCCAAUGGAACUCCUAAAUGAAGUGUGUCAUAUGGAAUCUUGCUUCGGUCCAUUUGUAGACAUUGUAAGUUUUAGUGCAAGAUAGGUGCACAGUUUGCGCCUAAUGCAUCGUAGUCUAAGAAAUCAUUUUGGAUGCACUAUUUGGUACUCCUGGGUGAAGAGGUUCAAGUGAAGGCUUGGUUCAGUCAGUUUGGAGAUAGUGUUAAUCCUUAUGCAAGGUAGGUGCAUGGUUUGCAUGGAACAUACCAUAUGUUUGGAAAUCAAUUUGGAUGCACCCGAUGGAACUCCUUGAUGAUGUGUGUCAUAUGGAAUCUCACUUCGGUCCAUUUGGAGACAUUGUUAGUUUCGGUGCAAGAUAGGUGCACAGUUUGCACAUAAUGCACCAUAGUCUAAGAAACCAUUUUGGACGCACUUGUUGGUACUCCUAGGUGAAGGGGCUCAAGUGGAUGCUCGGUUCGGUCUGUUUGGAGAUAGUGCUAAUCUUGAUGCAAGGUAGGUGCACGGUUUGCAUGGAACAUACCAAAUACUUGAAAAUCAAUCUGGACGCACAUGAUGGAACUCCUAGAUGACGUGUGUCAUACGAAAUCUUGCUUUGGUCUGUUUGGAGACAGUGUUAGUUUCGGUGCAAGAUAGGUGCAAGGUUUGCACAUAAUGCAGCCUAGGCUAAGAAACCAUUUUGGACGCACCCGAUGGUACUCCUAGGUAAAAGGCUCAAGUGAAAGCUCGGUUCGGCCUGUUUAGAGAUAGUGCUAAUCUUGAUACAAGAUAGGUGCACGAUUUGCAUGGAACAUACCAUAUGCUCAGAAAUCAAUUUGGACACACCAGAUGGAACACCUAGAUGGGUGUCAUAUGGAAUCUCACUUCCGUUCGUUUAGAGACAAUGUUAGUUUUGGUGAAAGAUAGGUGCACGGUUUGCACCUAAUGCACCAUAGGAUAAGAAACCAUUUUGGACGCACCCGAUGGUACUCCUAGGUCAAGGGGCUCAAGUGACAGCUGGAUUUGGUCGGUUUGGAGAUAGUGCUAAUCUUGAUGCAAGAUAGAUGCACGGUUUGUAUGGAACAUAUGAUAUGCUCGGAAAUCAAUUAGGACGCACCUGAUAUAACUCCUUGAUGAUGUGUGUCAUAUGGAAUUUUGCUUCGGUUCGUUUAGAGAACGUGUUAGUUUUGGUAGAAGAUAUGUGCACGGUUUACGCCUAAUGCACCAUAGGCUAAGAAACCAUUUUAGACGCACCCGAUGGUACUCGUAGUUGAAGAGGCUCAAGUGCAGGCUCGAUUUGGUCUGUUCGGAUAUAGUGCUAAUCUUGAUGCAAGAUAGUUGCACAGUUUGCAUGGAACGUACCAUAUGUUAAGAAAUCAAUUUGAACGCACCCAAUGGAACUCCUAGAUGACGUGUGUCAUAUGGAAUCUCGCUUUGGUCCAUUUGGAGACAAUGUUAGUUUCGGUACAAGAUAGGUGCAUAGUUUGUUCCUAUUGCACCAUAGUCUAAGAAACCAUUUUUGAUGCACCUGUUUGUAAUCCUAGAUGAAGAGGCUCAAGUGGAAGCUCGGUUUGUUCUGUUUGGAGAUAGUGCUAAUCUUGAUGCAACAUAGGUGUAUGAUUGCAAGGGACAUACCAUAUUCUUAGAAAUCAAUUUGGACGCACCUAAUGGAACUCCUAGAUGACGUGUGUCAUAUGGAAUCUCACUUCGGUCUAAUUGGAGACAAUGUUAGUUUCGGUGCAAGAUAGGUGCAUAGAUUGUGCCUAAUGCACCAUAGUCUAAGAAACCAUUUUUGGCACACCUGUUUGUACUCCUAGAUGAAGAGGCUCAAGUGGAAGCACGGUUCGGUCUGAUUGGAGAUAGUGCUAAUUUUGAUGCAAGAUAGGUGCACGGUUUGCAUGGAACAUACCAUAUGCUUGGAAAUCAAUUUGGAUGCACCCGAUGGAACUCCUUGAUGACGUGUGUCUUAUGGAAUCUCGCUUUGGUCUGUUUAGAAAUAGUGUUAGUUUCAAUGCAAGAUAUGGGCAUGGUUUGCGCCUAAUGCACCAUAGUCUAAGAAACCAUUUUGGAAGCACCUGUUGGUACUUCGGUGAAGAGGCACAAGUGGAAUCUCAGUUUGAUCUGUUUGGAUAUAGUGCUAAUCUUGAUGCAAGAUAGGUGCAUGAUUUGCAAGGAACAUACCAUAUGCUUAGAAAUCAAUUUGGACGCAUCCAAUGGAACUCCUAGAUGACGUGUGUCAUAUGGAAUCUUGCUUCGGUCCCUUUGUAGACAUUGUAAGUUUUAGUGCAAGAUAGGUGCACAGUUUGCGCCUAAUGCACCGUAGUCUAAGAAACCAUUUUGGACGCACUAUUUGGUACUCUUUGGUGAAGAGGCUCAAGUGAAAGCUUUGUUCAGUCAGUUUGGAGAUAGUGCUAAUCCUUAUGCAAGAUAGGUGCACAGUCUGCAUGGAACAUACCAUAUGCUUGGAAAUCAAUUUGGAUGCACUCGAUGGAACUCCUUGAUGACGUGUGUCAUAUGGAAUCUCGCUUUGGUCUGUUUAGAAACAGUGUUAGUUUUGGUGCAAGAUAUGUGCAUGGUUUGCGCCUAAUGCACCAUAGUCUAAGAAACCAUUUUGGAAGCACCUGUUGGAACUUCGGUGAAGAGGCUCAAGUGGAAGCUCGGUUUGAUCUGUUUGGAGAUGGUGCAAGGAAUAUACCAUAUGCUUAGAAAUCAAUUUGGACGCACCCAAUGGAACUCCUAGAUGAUGUGUGUCAUAUGGAAUCUUGCUUCGGUCCGUUUGUAGACAUUGUAAGUUUUAGUGCAGGAUAGGUGCACAGUUUGCACCCAAUGCACCAUAGUCUAAGAAACCAUUUUAGACGCACUAUUUGGUACUCCUGGGUGAAGAUGCUCAAGUGGAAGCUUGGUUCGGUCAGUUUGAACAUAGUGCUAAUCCUUAUGCAAGGUAGGUGCAUGGUUUGCAUGGAACAUACCAUAUGCUUGGAAAUCAGUUUGGAUGCAGCCGAUGGAACUCCUUUGAUGACGUGUGACAUAUGGAAUCUCACUUCGGUCCAUUUGGAGACAUUGUUAGUUUCGAUGCAAGAUAGGUGCACAGUUUGCACCUAAUGCACCAUAGACUAAGAAACUAUUUUGGACGCACUUGUUGGUACUCCUAGGUGAAGGGGCUUAAGUGGAUGCUCGGUUCGGUCUGUUUGGAGAAAGCACUAAUCUUGAUGCAAGAUUGGUGCACGGUUUGCAUAGAACAUACCAAAUGCUUGGAACUCCUUUGAUGACGUGUGUCAUAUGGAAUCUCGCUUCGGUCAAUUUGGAGACAUUGUUAGUUUCGGUGCAAGAUAGGUGCACAGUUUGCACCUAAUGCACCAUAGUCUAAGAAACCAUUUUGGACGCACUUGUUGGUACUCCUUGGUGAAGGGGCUCAAGUGGAUGCUCAGUUCGGUCUGUUUGGAGAUAGUGCUAAUCUUGAUGCAAGAUAGGCGCACGGUUUGGAUGGAACAUACCAAAUACUUGGAAAUCAAUCUGGACGCACAUGAUGGAACACGUAGAUGACGUGUGUCAUACGAAAUCUUGCUUCGGUCUGUUUGGAGAUAGUGUUAGUUUUGGUGCAAGAUAGGUGCAAGGUUUACACAUAAUGCAGCCUAGGAUAAGAAACCAUUUUGAACGCACCCGAUGGUACUCUUAGGUAAAAGGCUCAAGUGAAAGCUCGGUUCGGUCUGUUUAGAGAUAGUGCUAAUCUUGAUACAGGAUAGGUGCACGAUUUGCAUGGAACAUACCAUAUGCUCGGAAAUAAAUUUGGACGCACCAGAUGGAACUCCUAGAUGGGUGUCAUAUGGAAUCUCACUUCCGUCCGUUUAGAGACAGUGUUAGUUUUGGUGCAAGAUAGGUGCACGGUUUGCACCUAAUGCACCAUAGCAUAAGCAACCAUUUUGGACGCACCCGAUGGAACUCCUAGGUCAAGGGGCUCAAGUGACAGCUCGGUUUGGUCUGUUUGGAGAUAGUGCUAAUCUUGAUGCAAGAUAGAUGCACGGUUUGCAUGGAACAUAUGAUAUGCUCAGAAAUCUAUUAGGACGCACCUGAUAUAACUCCUUGAUGAUGUGUGUCAUAUGGAAUCUUGCUUCGGUUCGUUUAGAGACAUUGUUAGUUUUGGUAGAAGAUAUGUGCACGGUUUACGCCUAAUGCACCAUAGGCUAAGAAACCAUUUUAGACGCACUCGAUGGUAGUCGUAGUUGAAGAGCCUCAAGUGGAGGCUCGAUUUGGUCUGUUCGGCUAUAGUGCUAAUCUUGAUGCAAGAUAGUUGCACAGUUUGCAUUGGAACGUACCAUAUGUUAAGAAAUCAAUUUGGACACACCCAAUGGAACUCCUAGAUGACGUGUGUCAUAUGGAAUCUCGCUUUGGUCCAUUUGGAGGCAAUGUUAGCUUCGGUGCAAGAUAGGUGCAAAGUUUGUGCCUAAUGCACCAUAGUCUAAGAAACCAGUUUUGAUGCACCUAUUUGUACUUCUAGAUGAAGAGGCUCAAGUGGAAGCUCGGUUCGGUCUGUUUGGAGAUAGUGCUAAUCUUGAUGCAAGAUAGGUGCACGGUUUGCAUGGAACAUACCAUUUGCUUGGAAAUCAAUUUGGAUGCACCCGGUGGAACUCCUUGAUGACGUGUGUCUUAUGGACUCUCGCUUUGGUCUGUUUAGAAAUAGUGUUAGUUUCAGUGCAAGAUAUGGGCAUGGUUUGCGCCUAACGCACCAUAGUCUAAGAAACCAUUCUGGACGCACCUGUUGGUACUUCGGUGAAGAGGCUCAAGUGGAAGCUCGAUUUGAUCUGUUUGGAGAUAGUGCUAAUCUUGAUGCAAUAUAGGUGCUUGAUUUGCAAUGAACAUACCAAAUGUUUAGAAAUCAAUUUGGACGCACCCAAUGGAACUCCUAGAUGACAUGUGUCAUAUGGAAUCUUGGUUCGGUCCAUUUGUAGACAUUGUAAGUUUUAGUGCAAGAUAGGUGCACAGUUUGCGCCUAAUGCACCGUAGUCUAAGAAACCAUUUUGGACGCACUAUUUGGUACUCCUUUAUGAAGAGACUCAAGUGGAAGCUUGGUUCGGUCAGUUUGGAGAUAGUGCUAAUCCUUAUGCAAGGUAGGUGCAUGGUUUGCAUGGAACAUACCAUAUGGUUGGAAAUCAAUUUGGAUGCACCCGAUGGAACUCCUUGAUGACGUGUGUCAUAUGGAAUCUCUCUUCGGUCCAUUUGGAGAAAUUGUUAGUUUCGGUGCAAAAUAGGUGCACAGUUUGCACCUAAUGCACCAUAGUCUAAGAAACCAUUUUGGACGCACUUGUUGGUACUCCUUGGUGAAGGGGCUCAAGUGGAUGCUCAGUUCGGUCUGUUUGGAGAUAGUGCUAAUCUUGAUGCAAGAUAGGCGCACGGUUUGCAUGGAACAUACCAAAUACUUGGAAAUCAAUCUGGACGCACAUGAUGGAACUCCUAGAUGACGUGUGUCAUACGAAAUCUUGCUUCGGUCUGUUUGGAGAUAGUGUUAGUUUUGGUGCAAGAUAGGUGCAAGGUUUACACAUAAUGCAGCCUAGGAUAAGAAACCAUUUUGAACGCACCCGAUGGUACUCUUAGGUAAAAGGCUCAAGUGAAAGCUCGGUUCGGUCUGUUUAGAGAUAGUGCUAAUCUUGAUACAGGAUAGGUGCACGAUUUGCAUGGAACAUACCAUAUGCUCGGAAAUAAAUUUGGACGCACCAGAUGGAACUCCUAGAUGGGUGUCAUAUGGAAUCUCACUUCCGUCCGUUUAGAGACAGUGUUAGUUUUGGUGCAAGAUAGGUGCACGGUUUGCACCUAAUGCACCAUAGCAUAAGCAACCAUUUUGGACGCACCCGAUGGAACUCCUAGGUCAAGGGGCUCAAGUGACAGCUCGGUUUGGUCUGUUUGGAGAUAGUGCUAAUCUUGAUGCAAGAUAGAUGCACGGUUUGCAUGGAACAUAUGAUAUGCUCAGAAAUCUAUUAGGACGCACCUGAUAUAACUCCUUGAUGAUGUGUGUCAUAUGGAAUCUUGCUUCGGUUCGUUUAGAGACAUUGUUAGUUUUGGUAGAAGAUAUGUGCACGGUUUACGCCUAAUACACCAUAGGCUAAGAAACCAUUUUAGACGCACUCGAUGGUAGUCGUAGUUGAAGAGCCUCAAGUGGAGGCUCGAUUUGGUCUGUUCGGCUAUAGUGCUAAUCUUGAUGCAAGAUAGUUGCACAGUUUGCAUUGGAACGUACCAUAUGUUAAGAAAUCAAUUUGGACACACCCAAUGGAACUCCUAGAUGACGUGUGUCAUAUGGAAUCUCGCUUUGGUCCAUUUGGAGGCAAUGUUAGCUUCGGUGCAAGAUAGGUGUAAAGUUUGUGCCUAAUGCACCAUAGUCUAAGAAACCAGUUUUGAUGCACCUAUUUGUACUUCUAGAUGAAGAGGCUCAAGUGGAAGCUCGGUUCGGUCUGUUUGGAGAUAGUGCUAAUCUUGAUGCAAGAUAGGUGCACGGUUUGCAUGGAACAUACCAUUUGCUUGGAAAUCAAUUUGGAUGCACCCGGUGGAACUCCUUGAUGACGUGUGUCUUAUGGACUCUCGCUUUGGUCUGUUUAGAAAUAGUGUUAGUUUCAGUGCAAGAUAUGGGCAUGGUUUGCGCCUAACGCACCAUAGUCUAAGAAACCAUUCUGGACGCACCUGUUGGUACUUCGGUGAAGAGGCUCAAGUGGAAGCUCGAUUUGAUCUGUUUGGAGAUAGUGCUAAUCUUGAUGCAAUAUAGGUGCUUGAUUUGCAAUGAACAUACCAAAUGUUUAGAAAUCAAUUUGGACGCACCCAAUGGAACUCCUAGAUGACAUGUGUCAUAUGGAAUCUUGGUUCGGUCCAUUUGUAGACAUUGUAAGUUUUAGUGCAAGAUAGGUGCACAGUUUGCGCCUAAUGCACCGUAGUCUAAGAAACCAUUUUGGACGCACUAUUUGGUACUCCUUUAUGAAGAGACUCAAGUGGAAGCUUGGUUCGGUCAGUUUGGAGAUAGUGCUAAUCCUUAUGCAAGGUAGGUGCAUGGUUUGCAUGGAACAUACCAUAUGGUUGGAAAUCAAUUUGGAUGCACCCGAUGGAACUCCUUGAUGACGUUUGUCAUAUGGAAUCUCUCUUCGGUCCAUUUGGAGAAAUUGUUAGUUUCGAUGCAAAAUAGGUGCACAGUUUGCACCUAAUGCACCAUAGUCUAAGAAACCAUUUUGGACGCACUUGUUGGUACUCCUAGGUGAAUGGGCUCAAGUGGAUGCUCGGUUCGGUCUGUUUGGAGAUAGUGCUAAUCUUGAUACAAGAUAUUUGCACGGUUUGCAUGGAACAUACCAAAUACUUGAAAAUCAAUCUAGACGCACAUGAUGGAACUCCUAGAUGACGUGUGUCAUACGAAAUCUUGCUUCGGUCUGUUUGGAGACAAUGUUAGUUCCGGUGCAAGAUAGGUGCAAGGUUUGCACAUAAUGCAGCCUAGGCUAAGAAACCAUUUUGGACGCACCCGAUGGUACUCCUAGGUAAAAGGCUCAAGUGAAACUCGGUUCGGCCUGUUUAGAGAUAGUGCUAAUAUUGAUACGAGAUAGGUGCACGAUUUACAUGGAACAUACCAUAUGCUCGAAAAUCAAUUUGGACGCACCAGAUGGAACUCCUAGAUGGGUGUCAUAUGGAAUCUCACUUCCGUCCAUUUAGAGACAGUGUUAGUUUUGGUGCAAGAUAGGUGCCGGUUUGCACCUAAUGCACCAUAGCAUAAGAAACCAUUUUGGACGCAUCCGAUGGUACUCCUUGGUCAAGGGGCUCAAGUGACAGCUCGGUUUGGUGAUGAGGACAUCCCUAGCAUUCAUUCAUCUUCAAAUGAAACUCCACUUGAUAUAAGUGGUCCAAUUACAAGAAGUAGAGCUAAACAAUUGGAGAAGGAAAUUCAUUCUCAGGUGAACGCUAACCUUAUGUUUAAUAAUCAGUUUAUGUUGAAUGAUCCUAUACUUUUGAGUUCUUGUUUCAAUGUCCUUAGGAAUGAUGGAGGGUAUGAACCAGCAUGGGAUGAAGAUGGAUUCAAGCCUUUGGACAUCUGAACCAAGAAGCCUAUCGUGUGCAUAAAUAAAAUGGUGGUUCAUUACUUCUGCAUGAGAAGGCAACCAGAAGCUAGAUGGCUGACCCAUGGUACAAAUUCCAAGCAUCACCACGGACAGAAUACAAGGAGUUACGUGGCAUUCUACAGAUGGAUGAAAGCAUCUUUAAGUCUAUGUUGCAGCCCAUCAAACGGUUCAUUAUUUAGACUUCCCAAUAAAGAGUUAUGCUCAUUUUAGUAACUGCUGCCAGAAGCUGAGAAGACGCGCGAACCAGCCACGAAAUCCACUAGUGGAUGUGCAUGCUGUCAUGUAUUCAAAGCUGAACGCCCCUAUCUAUAUAUAUCUCUUGUACUAGACAAUGAAAGGACACAUCUUGCUUGGUUAAAAUUCAGAAUACACAAACUCGUGGAGUUUUGUUUAUGCGUGAGUCUUGAGAGGCUUGCAAAACUUGUUCUUUCGAUUCCUGAGGGAGUUGUAGAACGCCGAACUGCGGUUCAUCCAGUUUGUGCCUUCACGCCUAUACGGCGUGAUUGCGUGGGCUGUUCGUCGGUACAUGGAAGGGUGAUUGUCUCGGUAGUUCGUCGCGUGGACAGCCUCGCGGUGCACUGCCUCUUCACCAGGUCACGCAGCGACAAGUUAUCAAGUUCGCGAAUCCUACGAGAAGAUCGGGCCACAACGACUUGUCUCACGCUAUCCCUAGGCGUGAGCAUAUCAUCUGGUACCAAAGCCUUCGUUUCCUCGGUAGGAUUGUUCUUGAUUUUGGUAGGAUAGAGUUUAAAUACCUACUGUCCACUGAGAGCCAAAAAGAAAACCUACAGCCCAAAUUCAUAUGUGCUACUGAUUUUGUAGUUUGCUUUAUCGAGUUUUAAUCCUUUAAUAUUUGUCUAGUUGCUGAAUUUUUCUUUUCCACAUUGUUCUAGUUAUUAUCUUUGUUCUAAUCAUCAAAUUGCUUGCUGCAUGUACCCAUCCAUCCCACCCUUGAUCUGAUCAUCAUUGCUUGCUGCGUAUAUAUAAACAAAAAAAAAUACCCACCCAUCCCACCCUUGUUUUCUAACCGCCACAUAUUCCCCACCGCAGUUUCUUGUUUUUGUGCUGCACCAUCCAUCUUAGUGAUCCCCUUUAGUUGAAAGUUGUGCUGCGUUUGACACAGAGGUUAAAAGAAAAGAUGUCUAUGGGUCAAAAGAAGGACUGAAAACGAGUUUUUGUUCCAAAAAAAAAGAGAAAAAAAAGAAAAGCAAGAAAGAAAAAAAAAAGAAAAACAAAAAGAGAACUGUGUGCAGCACACCAAAAAGGGGUUUGGGCAGCAACAAGUUUUCGGUUGGUGCAAAUUGGUGAUCAUCUAUCCACUUACUACAUCUCAUUCCUUUCUUUGUGCAUCCUUUCCUUUAUAUUCAGCAACUUCUGUUCUUGGAUUAUUAUUUGGUUUUGCAUCACUACAUUUCAGUGCAUUCCACUAACAUAUUACCCCACCAAGCUCCACUUAAAGCACCGUGAGUUGUUGCACCGUCGUCGCUGUUACAAUCACUCUUCCCUACAGAUCGCAGCCCCGGUUCUUGCUCUUUUCAGGGAGAGAAAGAACUUGUUUUGUAAGUGGUGAGGGAGUGAUUCCACAUAUAUAUUGUCCUUUUUUUUCUCCUCUACUAACAUGGCAGGACGUGGAGAUGGUGCCGCUGUUUCGGUGGAGGAAUUUCAGGAGUUGCGUACACAAAUGAAUGAUUUGGUGCAGCAGCUCCAAACUCUCCAAUUGAACAUACCACGUCGAGAACCGCCACCAAAUGAGGAUGAUGAUAUUGACGAGGAGGAUGAGCCACCGCGUCGUCCCGCUGGUCGUGGACGUGGCGGGCGUGGUCAUGGUCUUCUUAAUUUUGGUCGUGCUCGGCGCAUUCCUGUUCGAGGUGGACGAGAUUAUGAUGGUGAUGAUGAUAUGUUGUCUCACAUGGAUGAUCAUCGCCAUGUGGCCAUCGUGGUUAUCGUGACCGCCACCGUCGCCUUGAUGAUGAUGGUUUAAGCAAAGUGAAAGUGUCUAUUCCAAAAUUUAAUGGAAAAGAAAGUGCUGAUGAUUAUUUUGAGUGGGAGACUAAGGUUGAACAGAUCUUUGAUUUGUAUCCUUAUCCUCCUGUCAAGAAAGCAAAGCUUGCUGCAAUUGAGUUUUCAGGCUAUGCAAUCACUUGGUGGAAUCAAGUGUGUACUGAACUCCGACGCGCUGGACAUGAUCGUAUUACUUGGGAAGACAUGAAGAGGGAAAUGCGACGUCGUUUUGUUCCUGCAUAUUACUCUCGUGAUCUACAUUUGAAGCUAAAACGUCUUGUGCAAGGUACUCGUACUGUUGAUGAAUAUUUUCAAGAAUUGGAAAUGUGUUUACUUCGUACAGGGAUAACUGAAGAUGAGGAAUCCACAAUGGCUCGAUUUCUGGUUGGCCUCAAUAAGCCCAUUGCUGAUAAAGUGGAUAUGACAAACUACACAUGUCUCACUGAGUUGGUACAUUUUGCAAAAAGGGCAGAACGACAACUUGCUGGAUCUUAUAAAGAUCGUGCUUCAUUUUCAGCUCAUAAUAGUGCUACUUCAUGGCGCCAGUCACAGCAGCACGGGUCAGGGGUGCACACACCUACAUCUCGUGCAACUUCUUCCAAACAUUUUGAUUCCAAAGGCAAAGCUGUAAGCUCUACUCAGUCCAGCUCCUCUGCUACUGCAGCCCCAAGGCAUACAAGCAAGAUUGAGUGUUUUAAGUGUGGUGGUCAUGGGCAUAAGCAAGCUGAAUGUCCCAAUCGUCGUACGAUUAUUGCCCUUGCUGAUGGUUCAUAUGAUUCACAAAGUGAAGAGGAGGACGAGUUUCACAAUGUCUUUGCAGAUCAUACUCUUGACACUUGUGAGUAUUCAGCUGAGGAUGGUACUUUUGAGCUAGGUCUGAAUUGUUUAGCUAUUCAACCUAUUCUAACUUUUGCUCCCAGUGACAUGAUAGAAGAUGUUAUUUCUCCAUAUUCUAAUGAGAUUACUAGUGCUGAUUUUGAUGAGUUGCUUGCUGAUUUUCCUGAUUUGGAGCCUUCUAAAAUGAAUAGAUCAUCUCCUUAUUUGGUGGUUAGAAGAGUUCUUUCCACUCAGUUUGUUGCUGCUGAACAAGGACAACGUCAUAAUUUGUUUCAGUCCCGAUGCAAAGUGAAAGGUCAAGUGUGUCGUUUCAUCAUAGAUGGUGGGAGCUGCAAUAAUAUUGUUAGUGUCUUGCUUGUUGAGAAGCUUGGCCUACCAACACGCCGCCAUCCACACCCUUACCAUAUGCAGUGGCUGAAUAAUUCAGGGACAGUGAAGGUCUCAUCCAUGGUUCGUUUGUCUUUCUCCAUUGGUGACUAUCAUGGUGAGGUUGAUUGUGAUAUUGUACCCAUGCAAGCAUGCCAUUUGCUGUUGGGUCGUCCAUGGCAGUUUGAUGUGGAUUCGGUGCACUUUGGGCGGUCUAACAAGUAUACUUUCAUCCACAACGACAAGAAGGUGGUUCUUGUUCCAUUAUCUCCAGAAGAGAUCUAUGCUUCAGAUGUGGCUCGCAUGAAAAAAGAAGAAUCUGACAAAAGAAAAUUGAGUGAGGCUGCCAACACUAGUAAGGGAGAGACUUCUAACCAAUCUAGCCACAUAAAGCCUCUUUCCACUACAAAACAACACCACCAAAAUGAGUGCUUAUUUGUGAGCAGGAGUGAUUUGAGAGAAGUGAGGAACACCACAGCCCCAUUCUUUGUGCUCUUGCACAAGGAGGUCCUACUUUCAACUAACGAUUUACCUUCAUCGCUGCCUAGUGCUGUUCUUGAUCUCUUACAGGACUUUGAAGAUGUUUUUCCUGAUGAGGUACCAGCUGGCCUUCCUCCACUCCGUGGUAUUGAGCAUCAAAUCGAUUUGGUACCUGGAGCUUCUCUUCCCAAUCGUCCAGCCUACCGUGCUAAUCCUGAAGAAACCAAAGAAAUUCAGCGACAGGUAAAAGAGCUUUUGGACAAAGGGUAUGUUCGUGAAUCUCUAUCACCUUGUGCUGUUCCAGUACUUUUGGUCCCUAAGAAAGAUGGAUCUUGGCGCAUGUGUGUCGAUUGUCGUGCCAUUAAUGCUAUAACUGUACGAUAUCGCCAUCCCAUUCCUAGGCUUGAUGACAUGUUAGAUGAAUUGAGCGGCUCAACUAUUUUCACCAAGAUUGAUUUACGCAGUGGCUAUCACCAAAUUCGCAUGAAAAUUGGUGAUGAAUGGAAGACAGCAUUUACAACCAAAUUUGGCUUGUAUGAAUGGCUUGUGAUGCCCUUUGGCUUGACAAAUGUUCCUUCAACUUUUAUGCGCUUAAUGAAUCAUGUUUUACGAGCUUUCAUUGGCAAGUUUGUAGUUGUUUAUUUUGAUGAUAUUCUGAUCUAUAGCAAAUCAUUUGAUGAACAUCUUGAUCAUAUCCAUCAAGUACUUGCUGUUUUGAGGGAAGAGAAAUUGUAUGCCAACAUUGCUAAGUGCACAUUUUGCACAGAUCGUGUUGUUUUUCUUGGUUUUGUUGUGACUGCAGAUGGCAUCCAGGUUGAUGAAGAGAAGGUUAAGGCAAUAAAGGAUUGGCCUACUCCUACAAAUGUGAGCCAAAUUUGAAGUUUCCAUGGUCUUGCAGGUUUCUAUCGACGAUUUGUUAAAGAUUUCAGCACGAUCGCUGCACCACUUAACAACUUGACAAAGAAGGAUGUUCCAUUCAAAUGGGGAGAUGACCAAGAGCAAGCCUUUGUAGAGUUAAAAAGAAAGCUUUGUGAAGCACCACUGCUGCAGCUACCUAACUUCGGUAAGACUUUUGAGAUUGAAUGUGAUGCAAGUGGUAUUGGCAUUGGAGGUGUGCUACUUCAAGAAGGUAAACCUAUUGCCUACUUUUCUGAAAAGUUAAAUGGUCCACAUCUGAAUUAUUCUGUCUAUGAUAAAGAGCUUUAUGCCUUAGUUCGAGUUUUGGAAGUUUGGCAACAUUAUUUGUUACCUAAAGAAUUUGUCAUCCAUUCUGAUCAUGAAGCUUUGAAAUAUUUAAAAAGUCAAGGCAAACUGAAUCGUAGACAUGCUAAAUGGAUCGAGUUCAUAGAAACAUUUCCGUAUGUUGUUAAACAUAAGCGUGGUAAAGAUAACAUUGUUGCAGAUGCUUUGUCAAGAAGGUGUGGUUUGGUUACACAAUUAGAUACAAAAGUGCUUGGUUUGGAAUCCAUUAAAACACUCUAUGCAACUGAUUCUGAUUUUAAAGAACCUUUCUCUCAUUGCAUUGCUGGAAAAGGCUGGGACAAGUAUUAUGUACAUGAUGAUUUUUUAUUUCGAACUAACAAACUAUGCAUUCCAGCCUGCUCGAUUCGUCAAGUUCUUUUACAGGAAGCACAUGCUGGUGGCUUAGCUGGUCAUUUUGGCAUCAAAAAGACAUUGGACAUGCUCUCUGAUCAUUUCUUUUGGCCACAUAUGCGACGUGAUGUUCAACGACAUGUCGAGCGCUGCAUAAUCUGCUCGAAAGCUAAGUCCCGCCUUAAUCCCCAUGGUCUCUAUACUCCAUUACCAAUCCCAACUGUACCUUCGGAAGAUAUAUCCAUGGAUUUUAUUCUGGGAUUACCAAGGUCUCAGAGGGGGAGGGACUCUAUCUUCGUUAUUGUUGAUCGCUUCUCAAAAAUGGCACAUUUUAUUCCAUGUCACAAGAGCGAUGAUGCUUCACACGUUGCUGAUUUGUUUUUCAGGGAGAUUGUUCGUUUACAUGGAGUGCCAAAGACUAUUGUUUCAGACCGAGAUACAAAAUUCCUGAGCUAUUUUUGGAAGACAUUAUGGGCUAAACUUGGCACGAAGUUGUUAUUUUCCACCACUUGUCACCCACAAACGGAUGGGCAAACUGAAUUUGUCAACCGUACCCUGUCCACCAUGCUGCGUGCCGUGCUAAAAAAGAAUUUGAAGCAGUGGGAAGAAUGUCUUCCACAUGUCGAAUUUGCUUAUAAUAGGGCACUACAUUCCACAACAAAUUUUUGUCCAUUUGAAAUUGUUUAUGGUUUUAAGCCACAUACUCCCAUGGAUCUUUUGCCUUUACCAUUACAGGAACAAGUUAACUUGGAUGCAGCGAAGAGAUCCAACUUUAUCAAGAAGCUACAUGAUGAGACAAGAAGAAAUAUUGAGAAGAAAUCAGCACAAUAUGCAAAGCAAGCGAACAAAGGUAAGAAGAAGGUUACAUUUCAGCCCGGUGACCUCGUGUGGUUGCAUCUACGCAAGGAUCGAUUUCCCCAACAACGUAAGAGUAAGUUAUCACCUAGAGGUGAUGGUCCAUUCAAGGUUCUAAAAAAGAUAAAUGAUAAUGCAUACAAAAUUGAGCUGCCACCUGAAUAUUCCAAUGUUAGUCCAACAUUCAAUGUCAAAGACUUGCUUCCAUUUGUUGGUGAGCCUGAGUCGAGGACGACUCCUUCUCAAGAGGGGGAGGCUGAUGAGGACAUCCCUAGCAUUCAUUCAUCUUCAAAUGAAACUCCACUUGAUAUAAGUGGUCCAAUUACAAGAAGUAGAGCUAAACAAUUGGAGAAGGAAAUUCAUUCUCAGGUGAACGCUAACCUUAUGUUUAAUAAUCAGUUUAUGUUGAAUGAUCCUAUACUUUUGAGUUCUUGUUUCAAUGUCCUUAGGAAUGAUGGAGGGUAUGAACCAGCAUGGGAUGAAGAUGGAUUCAAGCCUUUGGACAUCUGAACCAAGAAGCCUAUCGUGUGCAUAAAUAAAAUGGUGGUUCAUUACUUCUGCAUGAGAAGGCAACCAGAAGCUAGAUGGCUGACCCAUGGUACAAAUUCCAAGCAUCACCACGGACAGAAUACAAGGAGUUACGUGGCAUUCUACAGAUGGAUGAAACCAUCUUUAAGUCUAUGUUGCAGCCCAUCAAACGGUUCAUUAUUUAGACUUCCCAAUAAAGAGUUAUGCUCAUUUUAGUAACUGCUGCCAGAAGCUGAGAAGACGCGCGAACCAGCCACGAAAUCCACUAGUGGAUGUGCAUGCUGUCAUGUAUUCAAAGCUGAACGCCCCUAUCUAUAUAUAUCUCUUGUACUAGACAAUGAAAGGACACAUCUUGCUUGGUUAAAAUUCAGAAUACACAAACUCGUGGAGUUUUGUUUAUGCGUGAGUCUUGAGAGGCUUGCAAAACUUGUUCUUUCGAUUCCUGAGGGAGUUGUAGAACGCCGAACUGCGGUUCAUCCAGUUUGUGCCUUCACGUCUAUACGGCGUGAUUGCGUGGGCUGUUCGUCGGUACGUGGAAGGGUGAUUGUCUCGGUAGUUCGUCGCGUGGACAGCCUCGCGGUGCACUGCCUCUUCACCAGGUCACGCAGCGACAAGUUAUCAAGUUCGCGAAUCCUACGAGAAGAUCGGGCCACAACGACUUGUCUCACGCUAUCCCUAGGCGUGAGCAUAUCAUUUGGUCUGUUUGGAGAUAGUGCUAAUCUUGAUGCAAGAUAGAUACACGGUUUGCAUGGAACAUAUGAUAUGCUCAGAAAUCAAUUAGGACGCACCUGAUAUAACUCCUUGAUGAUGUGUGUCAUAUGGAAUAUUGCUUCGGUUCGUUUAGAGACAGUUUUAGUUUUGGUAGAAGAUAUGUGCAUGGUUUACGCCUAAUGAACCAUAGGCUAAGAAACCAUUUUAGACGCACUCGAUGGUAGUCGUAGUUGAAGAGCCUCAAGUGGAGGCUCGAUUUGGUCUGUUCGGCUAUAGUGCUAAUCUUGAUGCAAGAUAGUUGCACAGUUUGCAUGGAACGUACCAUAUGUUAAGAAAUCAAUUUGGACGCACCCAAUGGAACUCCUAGAUGACGUGUGUCAUAUUGAAUCUCGCUUUGGUCCAUUUGGAGACAAUGUUAGUUUCGGUUCAAGAUAGGUGUAUAGUUUGUGCCUAAUGCAAAAUAGUCUAAGAAACCAUUUUGGACGCACUAUUUGGUACUCCUGGGUGAUGAGGCUCAAGUGGAAGCUCGGUUCGGUCUGUUUGGAGAUAGUGCUAAUCUUAAUGCAAGAUAGGUGCACGGUUUGCAUGGAACAUACCAUAUGCUUGGAAAUCAAUUUGGAUGCAACCGAUGGAACUCCUUGAUGACGUGUGUCAGAUGGAAUCUCACUUUGGUCUGUUUAGAAACAGUGUUAGUUUGGGUGCAAGAUAUGUGCAUGGUUUGCGCCUAUUGCACCAUAGUCUAAGAAACCAUUUUGGAAGCACCUGUUGGUACUUCGGUGAAGAGGCUCAAGUGGAAGCUCGAUUUGAUCUGUUUGGAGAUACUGCUUGUCUUGAUGCAAUAUAGGUGCAUGAUUUGCAAUGAACAUACCAUAUGUUUAGAAAUCAAUUUGGACACACCAGAUGAAACUCCUAGAUGGGUGUCAUAUGGAAUCUCACUUCCGUCCGUUUAGAUACAGUGUUAGUUUUGGUGCAAGAUAGGUGCACGGUUUGCACCUAAUGCACCAUAGGAUAAGAAACCAUUUUGGACGCACCCGAUGGUACUCCUAGGUCAAGGGGCUCAAGUGACAGCUCGGUUUGGUCUGUUUGGAGAUAGUCCUAAUCUUGAUGCAAGAUAGAUGCACGGUUUGCAUGGAACAUAUGAUAUGCUCAGAAAUCAAUUAGGACGCACCUGAUAUAAGUCCUUGAUGACGUGUGUCAUAUGGAAUCUUGCUUCGGUUCGUUUAGAGACCGUGUUAGUUUUGGUAAAAGAUAUGUGCACGGUUUAGGCCUAAUGCACCAUAGGUUAAGAAACCAUUUCAGACGCACCCGAUGGUACUCGUAGUUGAAGAGGCUCAAGUGGAGGCUCGAUUUGGUCUGUUCAGAUAUAGUGCUAAUCUUGAUGCAAGAUAGUUGCACAGUUUGAUGGAACAUACCAUAUGUUAAGAAAUCAAUUUGAACACACCCAAUGGAACUCCUAGAUGACGUGUGUCAUAUGGAAUCUCGCUUUGGUCCAUUUGGAGACAAUGUUAGUUUCGGUACAAGAUAGGUGCAUCGUUUGUGCCUAAUGCACCAUAGUCUAAGAAACCAUUUUUGAUGCACCUGUUUGUACUUCUAGAUGAAGAGGCUCAAGUGGAAGCUCGGUUUGGUCUGUUUGGAGUAGUGCUAAUCUUGAUGCAAGAUAGGUGCACGGUUUGCACGGAACAUACCAUUUGCUUGGAAAUCAAUUUGGAUGCACCCGAUGGAACUCCUUGAUGACGUGUGUCUUAUGGAAUCUCGCUUUGGUCUGUUUAGAAAUAGUGUUAGUUUCAAUGCAAGAUAUCGGCAUGGUUUGCACCUAAUGCACCAUUGUCUAAGAAACCAUUUUGGAAGCACCUGUUGGUACUUCGGUGAAGAGGCACAAGUGGAAUCUCAGUUUGAUCUGUUUGGAUAUAGUGCUAAUCUUGAUGCAAGAUAGGUGCAUGAUUUGCAAGGAACAUACCAUAUGCUUAGAAAUCAAUUGGGAUGCACCCAAUGGAACUCCUAGAUGACGUGUGUCAUAUGGAAUCUUGCUUCGGUCCAUUUGUAGACAUUGUAAGUUUUAGUGCAAGAUAGGUGCGCAGUUUGCGCCUAAUGCACCGUAGUGUAAGAAACCAUUUUGGAUGCACUAUUUGGUACUAUUAGGUGAAGAGGCUCAAGUGGAAGCUUGGUUCGGUCAGUUUCGAGAUAAUGCUAAUCCUUAUGCAAGGUAGGUGCAUGGUUUGCAUGGAACAUACCAUAUGCUUGGAAAUCAAUUUGGAUGCAACCGAUGGAACUCCUUGAUGACGUGUGUCAGAUGGAAUCUCACUUUGGUCUGUUUAGAAACAGUGUUAGUUUGGGUGCAAGAUAUGUGCAUGGUUUGCGCCUAUUGCACCAUAGUCUAAGAAACCAUUUUGGAAGCACCUGUUGGUACUUCGGUGAAGAGGCUUAAGUGGAAGCUUGGUUUGUUCUGUUUGGAGAUAGUGCUAAUGUUGAUGCAACAUAGGUGUAUGAUUGCUAGGGACAUACCAUGUUCUUAGAAAUCAAUUUGGACGCACCUAAUGGAACUCCUAGAUGACGUGUGUCAUAUGGAAUCUCACUUCGGUCUAAUUGGAGACAAUGUUAGUUUCGGUGCAAGAUAGGUGCAUAGAUUGUGCAUAAUGCACCAUAGUCUAAGAAACCAUUUUUGGCACACCUGUUUGUACUCCUAGAUGAAGAGGCUCAAGUGGAAGCUCGGUUCGGUCUGUUUGGAGAUAGUGCUAAUCUUGAUGCAAGAUAGGUGCACGGUUUGCAUGGAACAUACCAUAUGCUUGGAAAUCAAUUUGGAUGCACCCAAUGGAACUCCUUGAUGACGUGUGUCUUAUGGAAUCUCGCUUUGGUCUGUUUACAAAUAGUGUUAGUUUCAAUGCAAGAUAUGGGCAUGGUUUGCGCCUAAUGCACCAUAGUCUAAGAAACCAUUUUGGAAGCACCUGUUGGUACUUCGGUGAAGAGGCACAAAUGGAAUCUCAGUUUGAUCUGUUUAGAUAUAGUGCUAAUCUUGAUGCAAGAUAGGUGCAUGAUUUGCAAGGAACAUACCAUAUGCUUAGAAAUCAAUUUGGACGCACCCAAUGGAACUCCUAGAUGACGUGUGUCAUAUGGAAUCUUGCUUCGGUCCAUUUGUAGACAUUGUAAGUUUUAGUGCAAGAUAGGUGCACAGUUUGCGCCUAAUGCACCGUAGUCUAAGAAACCAUUUUGGAUGCACUAUUUGGUACUCUUAGGUGAAGAGGCUCAAGUGAAAGCUUGGUUCGGUCAGUUUUGAGAUAAUGCUAAUCCUUAUGCAAGGUAGGUGCUUGGUUUGCAUGGAACAUACCAUAUGCUUGGAAAUCAAUUUGGAUGCACCCGAUGGAACUCCUUGAUGACGUGUGUCAGAUGGAAUCUCACUUGGGUCUGUUUAGAAACAGUGAUAGUUUGGGUGCAAGAUAUGUGCAUGGUUUGCGCCUAUUGCACCAUAGUCUAAGAAACCAUUUUGGAAGCACCUGUUGGUACUUCGGUGAAGAGGCUCAUGUGGAAGCUCGGUUUGUUCUGUUUGGAGAUAAUGCUAAUCUUGAUGCAACAUAGGUGUAUGAUUGCAAGGGACAUACCAUAUUCUUAGAAAUCAAUUUGGACGCACCUAAUGGAACUCCUAGAUGACGUGUGUCAUAUGGAAUCUCACUUCGGUCUAAUUGGAGACAAUGUUAGUUUCGGUGCAAGAUAGGUGCAUAGAUUGUGCCUAAUGCACCAUAGUCUAAGAAACCAUUUUUGGCACACCUGUUUGUACUCCUAGAUGAAGAGGCUCAAGUGGAAGCUCGGUUCGGUCUGUUUGGAGAUAGUGCUAAUCUUGAUGCAAGAUAGGUGCACGGUUUGCAUGGAACAUACCAUAUGCUUGGAAAUCAAUUUGGAUGCACCCGAUGGAACUCCUUGAUGACAUGUGUCAUAUGGAAUCUCGCUUCGUUCCAUUUGGAGACAUUGUUAGUUUCAGUGCAAGAUAGGUGCACAGUUUGCACCUAAUGCACCAAAGUCUACGAAACCAUUUUGGACACACUUGUUGGUACUCCUAUGUGAAGGGGCUCAAGUGAAUGCUCGGUUCGGUCUGUUUGGAGAUAGUGCUAAUCUUGAUGCAAGGUAGGUGCACGGUUUGCAUGGAACAUACCAAAUGCUUGAAAAUCAAUUUGGACGCACAUGAUGGAACUCCUAGAUGACGUGUGUCAUAUGGAAUCUCGCUUUGGUGUGCUUAGAGACAGUAUUAGUUUUGGUGCAAGAUAUGUGCACGGUUUGCGCCUAAUGCACCAAAGUCUAAGAAACCAUUUUGGAAGCACCUGUUGGCACUCCUAGGUGAAGAGGCUCAAGUGGAGGUUCAGUUUGGUCUGUUUAGAGAUAGUCCUAAUCUUGAUGCUAGAUAGGUGCACAAUUUGCAUGGAACAUACCAUAUGUUCAGAAAUCAAUUUGGACACACCAAAUGGAACUCCUAGAUGACAUGUGUCAUAUGGAAUCUCACUUCAGUCCGUUUAGAGACAACGUUAGUUUCGGUGCAAGAUAGGUGCACGGUUUGCACCUAAUGCACUAGGAUAAGAAACUAUUUUGGACGCACCCGAUGGUACUCCUAGGUCAAGGGGCUCAAGUGAAAGCUCCGUUUCGUCCGUUUGGAGAUAGUGCUAAUCUUGAUGCAAGAUAGAUGCACAGUUUACAUGGAACAUAUGAUAUGCUUAGAAAUCAAUUAGGACGCACCUGAUAUAACUCCUUGAUGAUGUGUGUCAUAUGGAAUCUUGCUUCGGUUCGUUUAGAGAUAGUGUUAGUUUUGGUAGAAGAUAUGUGCACAGUUUACGCCUAAUGCACCAUAGGCUAAGAAACCAUUUUAGACGCACCCGAUGGUACUUGUAGUUGAAGAGGCUCAAGUGGAGGCUCGAUUUGGUCUGUUCGGAUAUAGUGCUAAUCUUGAUGCAAGAUAGUUACACAGUUUGCAUGCAACGUACCAUAUGUUAAGAAAUCAAUUUGGACGCACCCAAUGGAACUCCUAGAUGACGUGUGUCAUAUGGAAUCUCGCUGCGGUCUAUUUGGUGACAAUGUUAGUUUCAGUGCAAGAUAGGUGCAUAGUUUGUGCCUAACGCACCAUAGUCGAAGAAAUCAUUUUUGAUGCACCUGUUUGUACUCCUAGAUGAAGAGGCUCAAGUGGAAGCUCGGUUCGGUCUGUUUGGAGAUAGUGCUAAUCUUCAUGCAAGAUAGGUGCACAGUUUGCAUGGAACAUACCAUAUGCUUGGAAAUCAAUUUGGAUGCACUCGAUGGAACUCCUUGAUGACGUGUGUCAUAUGGAAUCUCGCUUUGGUCUGUUUAGAAACAGUGUUAGUUUUGGUGCAAGAUAUGUGCAUGGUUUGCGCCUAAUGCACCAUAGUCUAAGAAACCAUUUUGGAAGCACCUGUUGGAACUUCGGUGAAGACGCUCAAGUGGAAGCUCGGUUUGAUCUAUUUGGAGAUACUGCUUGUCUUGAUGCAAUAUAGGUGCAUGAUUUGCAAUGAACAUACCAUAUGUUUAGAAAUCAAUUUGGACGCACCCAAUGGAACUCCAAGAUGACGUGUGUCAUAUCGAAUCUUGGUUCGGUCCAUUUGUAGACAUUGUAAGUUUUAGUGCAAGAUAGGUGCACAGUUUGCGCCUAAUGCACCGUAGUCUAAGAAACAAUUUUGGACGCACUAUUUGGUACUUCUUUGUGAAGAGACUCAAGUGGAAGCUUGGUUCGGUCAGUUUGGAGAUAGUGCUAAUCCUUAUGCAAGGUAGGUGCAUGGUUUGCUUGGAACAUACCAUAUGGUUGGAAAUCAAUUUGGAUGCACCCGAUGGAACUCCUUAAUGACGUGUGUCAUAUGGAAUCUCAUUUCGGUCCAUUUGGAGACAUUGUUAGUUUCGGUGCAAGAUAGGCGCACAGUUUGCACCUAAUGCACCAUAGUCUAAGAAACCAUUUUGGACGCACUUGUUGGUACUCCUAGGUCAAGGGGCUCAAGUGGAUGCUCGGUUUGGUCUGUUUGGAGAUAGUGCUAAUCUUGAUGCAAGAUAGGUGCACGGUUUGUAUGGAACAUACCAACUACUUGAAAAUCAAUCUGGACGCACAUGAUGGAACUCCUAAAUGACGUGUGUCAUACAAAAUCUUGCUUCGGUUUGUUUGGAGACAAUGUUAGUUUCGGUGCAAGAUAGGUGCAAGGUUUGCACAUAAUGCAGCCUAGGCUAAGAAACCAUUUUGGACGCACCCGAUGGUACUCCUAGGUAAAAGGCUCAAGUGAAAGCUCGGUUCGGCCUGUUUAGAGAUAGUGCUAAUCUUGAUACAAGAUAGGUGCACGAUUUGCAUGGAACAUACCAUAUGCUCAGAAAUCAAUUUGGACACACCAGAUGAAACUCCUAGAUGGGUGUCAUAUGGAAUCUCACUUCCGUCCGUUUAGAUACAGUGUUAGUUUUGGUGCAAGAUAGGUGCACGGUUUGCACCUAAUACACCAUAGGAUAAGAAACCAUUUUGGACGCACCCGAUGGUACUCCUAGGUCAAGGGGCUCAAGUGACACCUCGGUUUGGUCUGUUUGGAGAUAGUCCUAAUCUUGAUGCAAGAUAGAUGCACGGUUUGCAUGGAACAUAUGAUAUGCUCAGAAAUCAAUUAGGAGACAAUGUUAGUUUCGGUACAAGAUAGGUGCAUCGUUUGUGCCUAAUGCACCAAAGUCUAAGAAACCAUUUUGGAAGCACCAGUUGGUACUCCUAGGUGAAGAGGCUCAAGUGUAUGCUCGGUUUGGUCUGUUCAGAGAUAGUUCUAAUCUUGAUGCAAGAUAGGUGCACGAUUUGCAUGGAACAUGCCAUAUGUUCAGAAAUCAAUUUGGACACACCAGAUGGAACUCCUAGAUGACAUGUGUCAUAUGGAAUCUCACUACAGUCCGUUUAGAGACAACGUUAGUUUCGGUGCAAGAUAGGUGCACGGUUUGCACCUAAUGCACCAUAGGAUAAGAAACCAUUUUGGACGCACCCGAUGGUACUCCUAGGUCAAGGGGCUCAAGUGAAAGCUCUGUUUCGUCUGUUUGGAGAUAGUGCUAAUUUUGACCAUUUUAGACGCACUAUUUGGUACUCCUGGGUGAAGAUGCUCAAGUGGAAGCUUGGUUCGGUCAGUUUGGAGAUAGUGCUAAUCCUUAUGCAAGGUAGGUGCAUGGUUUGCAUGGAACAUACCAUUUGCUUGGAAAAUCAAUUUGGAUUCACCCGAUGGAACUCCUUGAUGACGUGUGUCAUAUAUAAUCUCGCUUCGGUCCAUUUGGAGACAUUGUUAGUUUCGGUGCAAGAUAGGUGCACAGUUCGCACCGAAUGCACCAUAGUCUAAGAAACCAUUUUGGACGCACUUGUUGGUACUCCUAGGUGAAGGGGCUCAAGUGGAUGCUCGGUUCGGUCUGUUUGGAGAUAGUGCUGAUCUUGAUGCAAGAUAGGUGCACGGUUUGCAUGGAACAUACCAAAUACUUGGAAAUCAACUUGGACGCACAUGAUGGAACUCCUAGAUGACGUGUGUCAUACGAAAUCUUGCUUCGGUCUGUUUGGAGACAGUGUUAGUAUCGGUGCAAGAUAGGUGCAAGGUUUGCACAUAAUGCAGCCUAGGAUAAGAAACCAUAUUGAACGCACCCGAUGGUACUCUUAGGUAAAAGGCUCAAGUGAAAGCUCGGUUCGGUCUGUUUAGAGAUAGUGCUAAUCUUGAUACAGGAUAGGUGUAUGAUUUGCAUGGAACAUACCAUAUGCUCGGAAAUCAAUUUGGAUGCACCCGAUGGAACUCCUUGAUGACGUGUGUCUUAUGGAAUCUCGCUUUGGUCUGUUUAGAAAUAGUGUUAGUUUCAAUGCAAGAUAUGGGCAUGGUUUGCACCUAAUGCACCAUUGUCUAAGAAACCAUUUUGGAAGCACCUGUUGGUACUUCGGUGAAGAGGCACAAGUGGAAUCUCAGUUUGAUCUGUUUGGAUAUAGUGCUAAUCUUGAUGCAAGAUAGGUGCAUGAUUUGCAAGGAACAUACCAUAUGCUUAGAAAUCAAUUUGGAAGCACCCAAUGGAACUCCUAGAUGACGUGUGUCAUAUGGAAUCUUGCUUCGGUCUAUUUGUAGACAUUGUAAGUUUUAGUGCAAGAUAGGUGCGCAGUUUGCGCCUAAUGCACCGUAGUGUAAGAAACCAUUUUGGAUGCACUAUUUGGUACUAUUAGGUGAAGAGGCUCAAGUGGAAGCUUGGUUCGGUCAGUUUCGAGAUAAUGCUAAUCCUUAUGCAAGGUAGGUGCAUGGUUUGCAUGGAACAUACCAUAUGCUUGGAAAUCAAUUUGGAUGCAACCGAUGGAACUCCUUGAUGACGUGUGUCAGAUGGAAUCUCACUUUGGUCUGUUUAGAAACAGUGUUAGUUUGGGUGCAAGAUAUGUGCAUGGUUUGCGCCUAUUGCACCAUAGUCUAAGAAACCAUUUUGGAAGCACCUGUUGGUACUUCGGUGAAGAGGCUUAAGUGGAAGCUUGGUUUGUUCUGUUUGGAGAUAGUGCUAAUCUUGAUGCAACAUAGGUGUAUGAUUGCAAGGGACAUACCAUAUUCUUAGAAAUCAAUUUGGACGCACCUAAUGGAACUCCUAGAUGACGUGUGUCAUAUGGAAUCUCACUUCGGUCUAAUUGGAGACAAUGUUAGUUUCGGUGCAAGAUAGGUGCAUAGAUUGUGCAUAAUGCACCAUAGUCUAAGAAACCAUUUUUGGCACACCUGUUUGUACUCCUAGAUGAAGAGGCUCAAGUGGAAGCUCGGUUCGGUCUGUUUGGAGAUAGUGCUAAUCUUGAUGCAAGAUAGGUGCACGGUUUGCAUGGAACAUACCAUAUGCUUGGAAAUCAAUUUGGAUGCACCCGAUGGAACUCCUUGAUGACAUGUGUCAUAUGGAAUCUCGCUUCGUUCCAUUUGGAGACAUUGUUAGUUUCAGUGCAAGAUAGGUGCACAGUUUGCACCUAAUGCACCAAAGUCUAAGAAACCAUUUUGGACGCACUUGUUGGUACUCCUAUGUGAAGGGGCUCAAGUGGAUGCUCGGUUCGGUCUGUUUGGAGAUAGUGCUAAUCUUGAUGCAAGGUAGGUGCACGGUUUGCAUGGAACAUACCAAAUGCUUGAAAAUCAAUUUGGACGCACAUGAUGGAACUCCUAGAUGACGUGUGUCAUAUGGAAUCUCGCUUUGGUGUGCUUAGAGACAGUAUUAGUUUUGGUGCAAGAUAUGUGCACGGUUUGCGCCUAAUGCACCAAAGUCUAAGAAACCAUUUUGGAAGCACCUGUUGGCACUCCUAGGUGAAGAGGCUCAAGUGGAGGUUCGGUUUGGUCUGUUUAGAGAUAGUCCUAAUCUUGAUGCUAGAUAGGUGCACAAUUUGCAUGGAACAUACCAUAUGUUCAGAAAUCAAUUUGGACACACCAGAUGGAACUCCUAGAUGACAUGUGUCAUAUGGAAUCUCACUUCAGUCCGUUUAGAGACAACGUUAGUUUCGGUGCAAGAUAGGUGCACGGUUUGCACCUAAUGCACUAGGAUAAGAAACUAUUUUGGACGCACCCGAUGGUACUCCUAGGUCAAGGGGCUCAAGUGAAAGCUCCGUUUCGUCCGUUUGGAGAUAGUGCUAAUCUUGAUGCAAGAUAGAUGCACAGUUUACAUGGAACAUGUGAUAUGCUUAGAAAUCAAUUAGGACGCACCUGAUAUAACUCCUUGAUGAUGUGUGUCAUAUGGAAUCUUGCUUCGGUUCGUUUAGAGAUAGUGUUAGUUUUGGUAGAAGAUAUGUGCACAGUUUACGCCUAAUGCACCAUAGGCUAAGAAACCAUUUUAGACGCACCCGAUGGUACUUGUAGUUGAAGAGGCUCAAGUGGAGGCUCGAUUUGGUCUGUUCGGAUAUAGUGCUAAUCUUGAUGCAAGAUAGUUACACAGUUUGCAUGCAACGUACCAUAUGUUAAGAAAUCAAUUUGGACGCACCCAAUGGAACUCCUAGAUGACGUGUGUCAUAUGGAAUCUCGCUGCGGUCUAUUUGGUGACAAUGUUAGUUUCAGUGCAAGAUAGGUGCAUAGUUUGUGCCUAACGCACUAUAGUCGAAGAAAUCAUUUUUGAUGCACCUGUUUGUACUCCUAGAUGAAGAGGCUCAAGUGGAAGCUCGGUUCGGUCUGUUUGGAGAUAGUGCUAAUCUUCAUGCAAGAUAGGUGCACAGUUUGCAUGGAACAUACCAUAUGCUUGGAUAUCAAUUUGGAUGCACUCGAUGGAACUCCUUGAUGACGUGUGUCAUAUGGAAUCUCGCUUUGGUCUGUUUAGAAACAGUGUUAGUUUUAGCGCAAGAUAUGUGCAUGGUUUGCGCCUAAUGCACCAUAGUCUAAGAAACCAUUUUGGAAGCACCUGUUGGAACUUCGGUGAAGAGGCUCAAGUGGAAGCUCGGUUUGAUCUGUUUGGAGAUGGUGCAAGGAAUAUACCAUAUGCUUAGAAAUCAAUUUGGACGCACCCAAUGGAACUCCUAGAUGAUGUGUGUCAUAUGGAAUCUUGCUUCGGUCCGUUUGUAGACAUUGUAAGUUUUAGUGCAGGAUAGGUGCACAGUCUGCGCCUAAUGCACCAUAGUCUAAGAAACCAUUUUAGACGCACUAUUUGGUACUCCUGGGUGAAGAUGCUCAAGUGGAAGCUUGGUUCGGUCAGUUUGAACAUAGUGCUAAUCCUUAUGCAAGGUAGGUGCAUGGUUUGCAUGGAACAUACCAUAUGCUUGGAAAUCAGUUUGGAUGCAGCCGAUGGAACUCCUUUGAUGACGUGUGUCAUAUGGAAUCUCACUUCGGUCCAUUUGGAGACAUUGUUAGUUUCGAUGCAAGAUAGGUGCACAGUUUGCACCUAAUGCACCAUAGACUAAGAAACUAUUUUGGACGCACUUGUUGGUACUCCUAGGUGAAGGGGCUCAAGUGGAUGCUCGGUUUGGUCUAUUUGGAGAAAGCACUAAUCUUAAUGCAAGAUUGGUGCACGGUUUGCAUGGAACAUACCAAAUGCUUGGAACUCCUUUGAUGACGUGUGUCAUAUGGAAUCUCGCUUCGGUCAAUUUGGAGACAUUGUUAGUUUCGGUGCAAGAUAGGUGCAUAGUUUGCACCGAAUGCACCAUAGUCUAAGAAACCAUUUUGGACGCACUUGUUGGUACUCCUUGGUGAAGGGGCUCAAGUGGAUGCUCGGUUCGGUCUGUUUGGAGAUAGUGCUAAUCUUGAUGCAAGAUAGGCGCACGGUUUGCAUGGAACAUACCAAAUACUUGGAAAUCAAUCUGGACGCACAUGAUGGAACACGUAGAUGACGUGUGUCAUACGAAAUCUUGCUUCGGUCUGUUUGGAGAUAGUGUUAGUUUCGGUGCAAGAUAGGUGCAAGGUUUACACAUAAUGCAGCCUAGGAUAAGAAACCAUUUUGAACGCACUCGAUGGUACUCUUAGGUAAAAGGCUCAAGUGAAAGCUCGGUUCGGUCUGUUUAGAGAUAGUGCUAAUCUUGAUACAGGAUAGGUGCACGAUUUGCAUGGAACAUACCAUAUGCUCGGAAAUAAAUUUGGACGCACCAGAUGGAACUCCUAGAUGGGUGUCAUGUGGAAUCUCACUUCCGUCCGUUUAGAGACAGUGUUAAUUUUGGUGCAAGAUAGGUGCACGGUUUGCACCUAAUGCACCAUAGGAUAAGAAACUAUUUUGGACGCACCCGAUGGUACUCCUAGGUCAAGGGGCUCAAGUGAAAGCUCCGUUUCGUCCGUUUGGAGAUAGUGCUAAUCUUGAUGCAAGAUAGAUGCACAGUUUACAUGGAACAUAUGAUAUGCUUAGAAAUCAAUUAGGACGCACCUGAUAUAACUCCUUGAUGAUGUGUGUCAUAUGGAAUCUUGCUUCGGUUCGUUUAGAGAUAGUGUUAGUUUUGGUAGAAGAUAUGUGCACAGUUUACGCCUAAUGCACCAUAGGCUAAGAAACCAUUUUAGACGCACCCGAUGGUACUUGUAGUUGAAGAGGCUCAAGUGGAGGCUCGAUUUGGUCUGUUCGGAUAUAGUGCUAAUCUUGAUGCAAGAUAGUUACACAGUUUGCAUGCAACGUACCAUAUGUUAAGAAAUCAAUUUGGACGCACCCAAUGGAACUCCUAGAUGACGUGUGUCAUAUGGAAUCUCGCUGCGGUCUAUUUGGUGACAAUGUUAGUUUCAGUGCAAGAUAGGUGCAUAGUUUGUGCCUAACGCACCAUAGUCGAAGAAAUCAUUUUUGAUGCACCUGUUUGUACUCCUAGAUGAAGAGGCUCAAGUGGAAGCUCGGUUCGGUCUGUUUGGAGAUAGUGCUAAUCUUCAUGCAAGAUAGGUGCACAGUUUGCAUGGAACAUACCAUAUGCUUGGAAAUCAAUUUGGAUGCACUCGAUGGAACUCCUUGAUGACGUGUGUCAUAUGGAAUCUCGCUUUGGUCUGUUUAGAAACAGUGUUAGUUUUGGUGCAAGAUAUGUGCAUGGUUUGCGCCUAAUGCACCAUAGUCUAAGAAACCAUUUUGGAAGCACCUGUUGGAACUUCGGUGAAGACGCUCAAGUGGAAGCUCGGUUUGAUCUGUUUGGAGAUGGUGCAAGGAAUAUACCAUAUGCUUAGAAAUCAAUUUGGACGCACCCAAUGGAACUCCUAGAUGAUGUGUGUCAUAUGGAAUCUUGCUUCGGUCCGUUUGUAGACAUUGUAAGUUUUAGUGCAGGAUAGGUGCACAGUCUGCGCCUAAUGCACCAUAGUCUAAGAAACCAUUUUAGACGCACUAUUUGGUACUCCUGGGUGAAGAUGCUCAAGUGGAAGCUUGGUUCGGUCAGUUUGAACAUAGUGCUAAUCCUUAUGCAAGGUAGGUGCAUGGUUUGCAUGGAACAUACCAUAUGCUUGGAAAUCAGUUUGGAUGCAGCCGAUGGAACUCCUUUGAUGACGUGUGUCAUAUGGAAUCUCACUUCGGUCCAUUUGGAGACAUUGUUAGUUUCGAUGCAAGAUAGGUGCACAGUUUGCACCUAAUGCACCAUAGACUAAGAAACUAUUUUGGACGCACUUGUUGGUACUCCUAGGUGAAGGGGCUCAAGUGGAUGCUCGGUUUGGUCUAUUUGGAGAAAGCACUAAUCUUAAUGCAAGAUUGGUGCACGGUUUGCAUGGAACAUACCAAAUGCUUGGAACUCCUUUGAUGACGUGUGUCAUAUGGAAUCUCGCUUCGGUCAAUUUGGAGACAUUGUUAGUUUCGGUGCAAGAUAGGUGCAUAGUUUGCACCGAAUGCACCAUAGUCUAAGAAACCAUUUUGGACGCACUUGUUGGUACUCCUUGGUGAAGGGGCUCAAGUGGAUGCUCGGUUCGGUCUGUUUGGAGAUAGUGCUAAUCUUGAUGCAAGAUAGGCGCACGGUUUGCAUGGAACAUACCAAAUACUUGGAAAUCAAUCUGGACGCACAUGAUGGAACACGUAGAUGACGUGUGUCAUACGAAAUCUUGCUUCGGUCUGUUUGGAGAUAGUGUUAGUUUCGGUGCAAGAUAGGUGCAAGGUUUACACAUAAUGCAGCCUAGGAUAAGAAACCAUUUUGAACGCACUCGAUGGUACUCUUAGGUAAAAGGCUCAAGUGAAAGCUCGGUUCGGUCUGUUUAGAGAUAGUCCUAAUCUUGAUACAGGAUAGGUGCACGAUUUGCAUGGAACAUACCAUAUGCUCGGAAAUAAAUUUGGACGCACCAGAUGGAACUCCUAGAUGGGUGUCAUGUGGAAUCUCACUUCCGUCCGUUUAGAGACAGUGUUAAUUUUGGUGCAAGAUAGGUGCACGGUUUGCACCUAAUGCACCAUAGCAUAAGAAACCAUUUUGGACGCACUCGAUGGAACUCCUAGGUCAAGGGGCUCAAGUGACAGCUCGGUUUGGUCUGUUUGGAGAUAGUGCUAAUCUUGAUGCAAGAUAGAUGCACGGUUUGCAUGGAACAUAUGAUAUGCUCAGAAAUCUAUUAGGACGCACCUGAUAUACCUCCUUGAUGAUGUGUGUCAUAUGGAAUCUUGCUUCGGUUCGUUUAGAGACAGUGUUAGUUUUGGUAGAAGAUAUGUGCACAGUUUACGCCUAAUGCACCAUAGGCUAAGAAACCAUUUUAGACGCACUCGAUGGUAGUCGUAGUUGAAGAACCUCAAGUGGAGGCUUGAUUUGGUCUGUUCGGCUAUAGUGCUAAUCUUGAUGCAAGAUAGUUGCACAGUUUGCAUUGGAACGUACCAUAUGUUAAGAAAUCAAUUUGGACACACCCAAUGGAACUCCUAGAUGACGUGUGUCAUAUGGAAUCUCGCUUUGGUCCAUUUGGAGGCAAUGUUAGUUUCGGUGCAAGAUAGGUGCAAAGUUUGUGCCUAAUGCACCAUAGUCUAAGAAACCAGUUUUGAUGCACCUAUUUGUACUUCUAGAUGAAGAGGCUCAAGUGGAAGCUCGGUUCGGUCUGUUUGGAGAUAGUGCUAAUCUUGAUGCAAGAUAGGUGCACGGUUUGCAUGGAACAUACCAUUUGCUUGGAAAUCAAUUUGGAUGCACACGGUGGAACUCCUUGAUGACGUGUGUCUUAUGGACUCUCGCUUUGGUCUGUUUACAAAAUAGUGUUAGUUUCAGUGCAAGAUAUGGGCAUGGUUUGCGCCUAACGCACCAUAGUCUAAGAAACCAUUCUGGAAGCACCUGUUGGUACUUCGGUGAAGAGGCUCAAGUGGAAGCUCGAUUUGAUCUGUUUGGAGAUAGUGCUAAUCUUGAUGCAAUAUAGGUGCUUGAUUUGCAAUGAACAUACCAAAUGUUUAGAAAUCAAUUUGGACGCACCCAAUGGGACUCCUAGAUGACAUGUGUCAUAUGGAAUCUUGGUUCGGUCCAUUUGUAGACCUUGUAAGUUUUAGUGCAAGAUAGGUGCAUAGUUUCCGCCUAAUGCACCGUAGUCUAAGAAACCAUUUUGGACGCACUAUUUGGUACUCCUUUAUGAAGAGACUCAAGUGGAAGCUUGGUUCGGUCAGUUUGGAGAUAGUGCUAAUCCUUAUGCAAGGUAGGUGCAUGGUUUGCAUGGAACAUACCAUAUGGUUGGAAAUCAAUUUGGAUGCACCCGAUGGAACUCCUUGAUGACGUUUGUCAAAUGGAAUCUCGCUUCGGUCCAUUUGGAGACAUUGUUAGUUUCGGUGCGAAAUAGGUGCACAGUUUGCACCUAAUGCACCAUAGUCUAAGAAACCAUUUUGGACGCACUUGUUGGUACUCCUAGGUGAAUGGGCUCAAGUGGAUGCUCGGUUCGGUCUGUUUGGAGAUAGUGCUAAUCUUGAUGCAAGAUAGGUGCACGGUUUGCAUGGAACAUACCAAAUACUUGAAAAUCAAUCUAGACGCGCAUGAUGGAACUCCUAGAUGACGUGUGUCAUACGAAAUCUUGCUUCGGACUGUUUGGAGACAAUGUUAGUUUCGGUGCAAGAUAGGUGCAAGGUUUGCACAUAUUGCAGCCUAGGCUAAGAAACCAUUUUGGACGCACCCGAUGGUACUCCUAGAUAAUAGGCUCAAGUGAAAGCUCGGUUCGGCCUGUUUAGAGAUAGUGCUAAUAUUGAUACAAGAUAGGUGCACGAUUUACAUGGAACAUACCAUAUGCUCAGAAAACAAUUUGGACACACCAGAUGGAACUCCUAGAUGGGUGUCAUAUGGAAUCUCACUUCCGUCCGUUUAGAUACACUGUUAGUUUUGGUGCAAGAUAGGUGCACGGUUUGCACCUAAUGCACCAUAGCAUAAGAAAUCAUCUUGGACGCACCCGAUGGUACUCCUAGGUCAAGGGGCUCAAGUGACAGCUCGGUUUGGUCUGUUUGGAGACAGUGCUAAUCUUGAUGCAAGAUAGAUGCACGGUUUGCAUGGAACAUAUGAUAUGCUCAGAAAUCAAUUAGGACGCACCUGAUAUAAGUCCUUGAUGAUGUGUGUCAUAUGGAAUCUUGCUUCGGUUCGUUUAGAGACCGUGUUAGUAUUGGUAGAAGAUAUGUGCACGGUUUAGGCAUAAUGCUCCAUAGGCUAAGAAACCAUUUUAGACGCACCCGAUGGUACUCGUAGUUGAAGAGGAUCAAGUGGAGGCUCGAUUUGGUCUGUUCGGAUAUAGUGCUAAUCUUGAUGCAAGAUAGUUGCACUGUUUGAUGGAACAUACCAUAUGUUAAGAAAUCAAUUUGAACGCACCCAAUGUGAUGAGGACAUCAACACCAUCGAUAUAUCCGCACCUACACCAGUUGGUCCUCUUACUCAUGCUCGUGCCCGUCAACUCAACCUUCAAGUAAGUUCAGUUUUAAACUCUUGUCAAUCAUAUUUAGACAAUGGAGACACGUGCACUUUCGUGUUGCUCAGGAAUAAUGGACAAGAUCAGCAAGGGAAGGUUUAACUGCAUUCGGAAUUUGAGGCAACACCAACUUCAUGGGCUGAUUGCAUAUAGGAAGAGUGAUAACUUAACAAAGGUGAUUGGAGAUCAGGUCCAGGCCUCCACAACAUCCUCUAUCAAGUUACCACGUCGCUUCUAAAGCAAGGAAACAAAGAGUCCAAACCCAACACGUUUUGGGAGUUGGAUUCGGACUGGAAAAUAACUCUAACUUGUAUGGAUCACCACGGCGUCAUAUGGACUCCAACUGGGACGUUCCUAUACUUGUUGGAAAGCUCAUGAAGUCUACUUUUUAAUGGGUCCAACCACAUAUCUAUGCAGCUUAUGAGUCGGGCACAGUUCUUGUUUUUGUGCCGAUACCUUUUUCUGUUUUGGUGCUGCGUCACCCUAUUUUGUAUCAAGUUGAGUCCAUUAGGGACGCGUCCUAGGGUUGGAGGACGACUCUAGCACCCCUUUGGUCGUCCUCUCUUCUAUUUAUUUACAUCUAGAGCUGAUGUGAACCCACUAGGGUUUUCGCCUGAUCUUUCGAUGAGAGGCGCUGGAUAACUCGAUUGGUGGAUGGAGAUGACGUUCACGGCCCGACUACAGCCCUCAAGACCGCGCCUUAGCAACCGAUACACCACGUCCAAUAGCCGUCACGAUCUUGUGGAGCGCGACAACCAGCCCCUAGGGCUACCGUCCUGCAAGCAAUCGAAGAACUAGCAAGAACGAGGAAACAAGCACUGAAUUUGCAAGAUGAAUUGAAGGUUUCAAACUGAAUCUUAAUCAACAAUGGGGUUCCGAAGACAAGGAGACGGGCGGCUGAUCCUGCACGCGCGCCUACAAGCAAGUAGCGAAGGCUAAACUUGAUCUAAACAAAACCCAGUUGUUCAUGGCGGCUCUAGAUGUAAAUAAAUAGAGGGGAGGAUGACCAAAGGGGUGCUAGAGUCGUCCUCCAACCCUAGGACGCGUCCCUAAUGGACUCAACUUGAUACAUGGGCCAUUGGUCCAAAAUAGGGUGACGCAGCACCAAAACAGAAAAAGGUGUCGGCACGAAAACAAGGACUGCGCCCGACUCAUAAGCCGCAUAGAUAUGUGGUUGGACCCAUUGGAAAGUAGACUUCAUGAGCUUUCCAACAAGUAUAGGAACGUCCCAGUUGGAGUCCAUAUGACGCCGUGGUGAUCCAUACAAGUUAUAGUUAUUUUCCAGUCCGAAUCCAACUCCCAAAACGUGUUGGGUUUGGACUCUUUGUUUCCUUGCUUUAGAAACGACGUGGUAACUUGACAGAGGAUGUUGUGGAGGCUUGGACCUGAUCUCCAAUCACCUUUGUUAAGUUAUCACUCUUCCCAUAUGCAAUCAGCCCUUGAAGUUGGUGUUGCCUCAAAUUUUGAAUGCAGUUGAACCUUCCCUUGCUGAUCUUGUCCAUUAUUCCUGAGCAACACCAAAGUGCACGUGUCUCCAUUGUCUAAAUAUGAUUGACAAGAGUUUAAAGCUGAACUUACUUGAAGGUUGAGUUGACGGGCACGAGCACGAGUAAGAGGACCAGCUAUAGGUUGUGUCGGAGAGGAUGUAGGAUAUGUAUCGCUGGUGGAUGUAGGAUAUGUAUCGCUGGUGGAUGUAGGAUAUGUAUCGCUGGUGUUGAUGUCCUCAUCAUCCUCCCUUUCUUGCAUUUGAGUCGUCCUCGACUCAAGCUCAUCUUCCUCACCCAAAUAAGGCUUCAAAUCUGCAAUGUUAAAUGUGGGACUAACCCCAAAAUCUGCAGGAAGAUCAAGCUUAUAUGCAUUCUCAUUAAUUCGUUGCAGCACUUUAAAAGGACCAUCAGCUCUAGGCAUCAAUUUGGAUUUUCUCAGUUCUGGAAAUCUAUCUUUUCGCAAAUGCACCCAAACCAAAUCCCCAGGUUCCAGAAUCAAUUGCUUUCUACCUUUAUCUCCCAAUUUCAUACGAAUCUGGUGGUACCCACUACGUAAAUCAACUUUUGAAAACACAACAGCACCACUCAGUUCAUCUAGCAUAUCAUCUAAUCGUGGAAUAGGGUGUCGAUAUCGAAUGGUGAUAUUAUUAAUAGCUCUACAAUCAACACACAUACGCCAUGUUCCAUCUUUCUUAGGCACUAAAAUUACUGGAACAGCACAAGGACUAAGAGAUUCUCGGACAUAACCUUUGUCUAGUAGUUCUUGCACUUGUCGCUGAAUUUCCUUUGUUUCCUCCGGGUUUGUCCUGUAUGGUGCACGAUUUGGCAAAACUGAUCCAGGAAUAAGAUCAAUUUGGUGCUCAAUCCUGCGUAGUGGAGGCAGCCCCGCUGGUACAUCACUUAGAAACACAUCAGAAUACUCCUGCAAAACGUUAGCAACAGCAGGGGGCAAAGAACAUUGCAUAUCCUCAACUGAAAUCAAAGCAUCCUUGCAUAUCAAAGCAUAAGCAACAGAAGUGGAUGCAUUGAACUCAUUAAUAUCUGAUUUGGUAGCUAUCAUACAACGUUCUUUCAGUUUUAUCUCAUCUUUGUUACCAAUUACAGAUUUAUCAUUUUUAUUGCUCUUGCUCUUUGCUUUAGUAGCCCUAGCAACAUCAGUUUGCAUAAUAGUUUCAGGGGACAUAGGAUGCAACACAAUUUUGCGAUCAUGGUAUAGAAAAGAAUACUGAUUUGAUCUACCAUGAUGCAUAGAAUCUCUAUCAAAUUGCCAAGGUCUACCUAGCAGAAUGUUACAAGCUUGCAUAGGCACAACAUCACAUUCAACAAUAUCUUUGUAGGAUCCGAUGGAAAAAUUAAUUCUCACAAGUCUAGUUACCUUUACCUUACCACUGUUGUUCAGCCAUUGGAUGUAGUAGGGAUGCGGGUGUGGUUUGGUGUUGAGGGCAAGCUUCUGCACCAUAUCGCUGCUUGCCAAGUUGUUGCAGCUACCUCCAUCAAUGAUCAUGCGACAAGAACGCUCUUUGAUGACACACUUUGUUUGGAAUAAAAUGUGUCGCUGAUUUUGCUCUGCCAUCUCCAUUUGUGCACUAAGCACUCGCUGCACGAUCAAGCUCUCAUAGUGGUCCGCUUCACCUGCAUUAAUAUGUUCUUCUAUUUGAUCUUCAUUACCUGCAUGGUCAGUCGCAAGCAGUGCAAGUGUAUCCUCAUCAAAAUCACUAGCAGAUGAGUACUCACCAUCAUCCCUGACAAUCAUAACUCGCUUGUUUGGGCAGUCACGCAUCAUGUGCCCAUAUCCCUUGCACCGAUGACAUUGUAUGUUGCUUGUUCUACCCGUCGAUGCCACGGAUGAAGUACUCGCAGCAGGCUUUUGCAUCGUCUUCGCAACUGAAUUGGUGGGGGCAGCUCGAGUCUUGUCACUAGAUGAUGGAGUAGAAAUACGUGUAGAUGGAGUUGAAGCCACGUGUUGCUGCCAUGAAUUAGCCUUCCCUGCAGAAAUAUUACUCCUUGCGCUAGCACGUCGUCCCUGCACUUCCCUUUCAGCUUUACAAGCAAGAUGAAACAAACGGGUUACGUUAGUAUAAUCUUUAUAAGCAAGAAUGUCCUGGAUUUCACGAUUUAACCCGCCCAAAAAUCUAGCCAUAGCAGGUUCUUCUUCCUCCUCUAAAUUACAUCGCAGCAUACCCAUUUGUAAUUCCUGAUAAUAAUCUUCUACACUUUUAGCACCUUGUCUCAAUUGCUGCAACUUAUUAAUCAUGUCACGUGCAUAGUAAGAAGGAACAAAUCUAGCCCUCAUGACUUGUUUCAACGCAUUCCAAGUUCUAGGUAUGUUAUUAGGAUUUUUCUUGCCAUGUUCUAUCCACCAAACGGAAGCAAAAUCGGUGAACUCACUAGUAGCAGCCCUAACACGUGUAUCCUCAGGGAAUUCAUGACAUGUAAACUUUUGGUCAACAGCAAUCUCCCAAGUAAUGUAUGCAUCAGGGUCAUAUUUACCAUCAAAAGGGGUAUCUUAAAUUUAAUCUUACUGAAAGCAUCAUCAUUAUUGUGUACCUCGCGUCGGCGGUUGCCACCCAUACCUCUACGGUUGUGACGAAGGCGACGUCGAUCACGAGUGUCUUGAUCAUCAUGUUCAGUAUCACCAGUGUAGUCAUCUUCAUGACUACCGUGCUCUCGAUCUCCCUCCUUUUCUUCUUUAUGCUUCUCUUUAUCUUCGGUGUGGAAAGCAUCAAAUCGCCUUAGGAGAGCAGCAAGGCUUUUGUCCACACUAGCAACGGAUUCCUCCAAACUUGUGAGCUUGUUGUUUGUGGCAAUCUGCGUAGCCUCCAACUGCCCCAGCUUUUCAUUUGUCACCUGCAAGUCGUUAUCAAGUCCCUCUGUGUGCAGCUUCACUUUCCUUUCAAAAUGUUGUAUGAUGCCCUUAGUGCGAGGUGUAAGUGGUGUUUCGUUACCAUCAUCUGCCCCUGGCAUGGUUCAAAGACAAAGACAACAAAAAGGCAAGUGAAGAAAUAAAAGCCCUACAACUACUAGGAUGUAGCUACAGCAAGUCGCUCACACUCAACCUAUAACACAAGUUCUUACCAAUUCUUACCUUGCUUGACAGGAGGGGUCGUCUGCCAACAAGUGUACAGCAAUGGACGAAGUGUAUCGGUGCUGCAGCACAAGACCUGUCAAGCUGUAGAGUAUGUGGAGCUAUAGGUGGGCUGAAACAAGGAACGAACUAGCACCACGUUAGUUAUAAAAGCGAGCUGAAUAAGCGUUCGACGAUGGUACUGUGCUGGUCCUAGGCUAGACCGUGCUAGAGACGCGAGCCUGGACACAAAGGAAAACCACAGCACACCCCCAAAAACAAGGUGGGACAAACCUAAAAUCAAUAUGAAAAACAGCCCCUUUUCUUUGAAUCUUCUCUCUUUUCUUUUUUUUUUCUUUUUUUGGGGCAACCUCAAAAACUGAUUAUAUGAACAAAAGAAUACAAAAGAGCAAUUCGCUCCACACACUCUCUCUCUCUCUCUAGAGUAAGGCCGAACAAGUAGAGUUAUCUUUCUUUUUGAACUCAGAUUGGAACUCUACUCGAUCCGGACCAAGACCACAGUUCAAUUCAGACUUCGCAACAGAUUCGACAGAGAGAAGAUAUGGUAAUAGUCGGCUGUGUAUAGAUGGUGACAAGAACUCGAAACUCUAAAGGACUAGACACUAAGACCAGCAACUCGACACAAACCGAAGCAACGCAAAUUCAACAAGCCCUAACUAAAACGGUACUAGCCAAGGCACAAAGGUUUAAUAGGAUUAUGGAAAAACUAAUCUACUAUAUUUUUUUGGCUUUUCUGGACUAUAGGAAAUUAAUUAAAAACAGCAAAGGAUUAGAAGUCUCUCACCGAAGAACCUUGCUAUGAUACCAACUGAUGUGAACCCACUAGGGUUUUCGCCUGAUCUUUCGAUGAGAGGCGCUGGAUAACUCGAUUGGUGGAUGGAGAUGACGUUCACGGCCCGACUACAGCCCUCAAGACCGCGCCUUAGCAACCGAUACACCACGUCCAAUAGCCGUCACGAUCUUGUGGAGCGCGACAACCAGCCCCUAGGGCUCCCGUCCUGCAAGCAAUCGAAGAACUAGCAAGAACGAGGAAACAAGCACUGAAUUUGCAAGAUGAAUUGAAGGUUUCAAACUGAAUCUUAAUCAACAAUGGGGUUCCGAAGACAAGGAGACGGGCGGCUGAUCCUGCACGCGCGCCUACAAGCAAGUAGCGAAGGCUAAACUUGAUCUAAACAAAACCCAGUUGUUCAUGGCGGCUCUAGAUGUAAAUAAAUAGAGGGGAGGACGACCAAAGGGGUGCUAGAGUCGUCCUCCAACCCUAGGACACGUCCCUAAUGGACUCAACUUGAUACAUGGGCCAUUGGUCCAAAAUAGGGUGACGCAGCACCAAAACAGAAAAAGGUGUCGGCACGAAAACAAGGACUGCGCCCGACUCAUAAGCCGCAUAGAUAUGUGGUUGGACCCAUUGGAAAGUAGACUUCAUGAGCUUUCCAACAAGUAUAGGAACGUCCCAGUUGGAGUCCAUAUGACGCCGUGGUGAUCCAUACAAGUUAGAGUUAUUUUCCAGUCCGAAUCCAACUCCCAAAACGUGUUGGGUUUGGACUCUUUGUUUCCUUGCUUUAGAAACGACGUGGUAACUUGACAGAGGAUGUUGUGGAGGCUUGGACCUGAUCUCCAAUCACCUUUGUUAAGUUAUCACUCUUCCCAUAUGCAAUCAGCCCUUGAAGUUGGUGUUGCCUCAAAUUCUGAAUGCAGUUGAACCUUCCCUUGCUGAUCUUGUCCAUUAUUCCUGAGCAACACCAAAGUGCACGUGUCUCCAUUGUCUAAAUAUGAUUGACAAGAGUUUAAAGCUGAACUUACUUGAAGGUUGAGUUGACGGGCACGAGCACGAGUAAGAGGACCAGCUAUAGGUUGUGUCGGAGAGGAUGUAGGAUAUGUAUCGCUGGUGGAUGUAGGAUAUGUAUCGCUGGUGUUGAUGUCCUCAUCAAUAUGGAAUCUCACUUUGGUCCGUUUAGAGAUAGUAUUAGUUUCGGUGCAAGAUAGGUGCAUGGUCUGCACCUAAUGCACCAUAGGAUAAGAAACCAUUUUGGACGCACCCGAGGGUACUCCUAGGUCAUGGGGCUCAAGUGAAAGCUCGGUUUGGUCUGUUUGGAGAUAGUUCUAAUUUUGAUGCAAGAUAGAUGUACGGUUUGCAUGGUACAUACGAUAUGCUCAGAAAUCAAUUAGGACACACCUGAUAUAACUCCUUGAUGAUGUGUGUCAUAUGGAAUCUUGCUUCGGUUCGUUUAGAGAUAGUGUUAGUUUUGGUAGAAGAUAUGUGCACAGUUUACGCCUAAUGCACCAUAGGCUAAGAAACCAUUUUAGACGCACCCGAUGGUACUUAUAGUUGAAGAGGCUCAAGUGGAGGCUCGAUUUGGUCUGUUCAGAUAUAGUGCUGAUCUUGAUGCAAGAUAGUUGCAUAGUUUGCAUGGAACGUACCAUAUGUUAAGAAAUCAAUUUGGACGCACCCAAUGGAACUCUUAGAUGACGUGUGUCAUAUGGAAUCUCGCUUCGGUCUGUUUGGAGACAAUGUUAGUUUUGGUGCAAGAUAGGUGCAUUGUUUGUGCCUAAUGCACCAUAGACUGAGAAACCAUUUUGACACACCUGUUUGUACUCCUAGAUGAAGAGGCUCAAGUGGAUGCUCGGUUCGGUCUGUUUGGAGAUAGUGCUAAUCUUGAUGCAAGAUAGGUGCACGCUUUGCAUGGAACAUACCAUACGCUUGGAAAUCAAUUUGGAUGCACCCGAUGGAACUCCUUGAUGACGUGUGUCAUAUAGAAUCUUGCUUUGGUCUGUUUAGAAACAGUGUUAGUUUUGGUGCAAGAUAUGUGCAUGGUUUGCGCCUAAUGCACCAUAGUCUAAGAAACCAUUUUGGAAGCACCUGUUGGUACUUCGAUGAAUAGGCUCAAUUGGAAGCUCGGUUUAAUCUGUUUGGAGAAAGUGCUAAUCUUAAGAUAGGUGCAUGAUUUGCAAGGAACAUAUCAUAUGCUUAGAAAUCCAUUUGGACGCACCCAAUGGAACUCCAAGACGACGUGUGUCAUAUGGAAUAUCGCUUUGGUCUGGUCAGAAACAUUGUAUGUUUCGGUGCAAGAUAUGUGCAUGGUUUGCGCCUAAUGCACCAUAGUCUAAGAACCAUUUUGGAAGCACUAAUUGGUACUCCUGGGUGAAGAGGCUCAAGUGGAAGCUUGGUUUGAUCUGUUUUGAGAUAGUGCUAAUCUUGAUGCAAGAUAGGUGCAUGAUUUGCAAGAAACAUACCAUAUGCUUAGAAAUCAAUUUGGACGCACCCAAUGGAACUCCUUGAUGACGUGUGUCAUAUGGAAUCUUGCUUCGAUCUGUUUGUAGACAUUGUUAGUUUUGAUGCAAGAUAGUUGCACAGUUUGCGCCUAAUGCACCAUAUUCUAAGAAACCAUUUUGGACUCACUAUUUGGUACUCCUGGGUGAAGAGGCUUAAGUGGAAGCUUGGUUUGGUUAGUUUGGAGAUAGUGCUAAUCCUUAUGCAAGGUAGGUGCAUGGUUUGCAUGGAACAUAAAAUAUGCUUGGAAAUCAAUUUGGAUGCACCCGAUGGAACUCCUUGAUGACGUGUGUUAUAUGGAAUCUUGCUUCGGUCCAUUUGGAGACAUUGUUAGUUUCGAUGCAAGAUAGGUGCAUAGUUUGCACCUAAUGCGCCAUAGUCUAAGAAACCAUUUUGGACGCACUUGUUGGUACUCCUAGGUGAAGGGGCUCAAGUGGAUGCUCGGUUCGGUCUGUUUGGAGAUAGUGCUAAUCUUGAUGCAAGAUAGGUGCACGGUUUGCAUGGAACAUACCAAAUGCUUGGAAAUCAAUCUGGACGAACAUGAUGGAACUCCUAGAUGACAUCGGUCAGUUUGGAGAUAGUGUUAGUUUCAGUGCAAGAUAGGUGCAAGGUUUGCACAUAAUGCAGCAUAGGCUAAGAAACCAUUUUGGAUGCACCCGAUGGUACACCUAGGUAAAAGGCUCAAGUGAAAGCUCGGUUUGGUCUAUUUGGAGAUAGUGCUAAUCUUGAUGCAAGAUAGAUGCACGGACGGCAUGGAACGUACCAUAUGCUUAGAAAUUAAUUUGGACACACCCGAUAGAACUCCUUGAUGACGUGUGUCAUAUGGAAUCUCGCUUUGGUGUGCUUAGUGACAGUAUUAGUUUCGGUGCAAGAUAUGUGCACGGUUUGCGCCUAAUGCACCAAAGCCUAAGAAACCAUUUUGUAAGCACCUGUUGGUACUCCUAGGUGAAGAGGCCCAAGUGGAGCCUCGGUUCGGUCUGUUUAGAGAUAGUGCUAAUCUUGAUGCAUGAUAGGUGCAUGAUUUGCAUGGAACAUACCAUAUGCUCAGAAAUCAAUUUGGACGCACCAGAUGGAACUCUUAGAAGACAUGUGUCAUAUGGAAUCUCACUUCGGUCCGUUUUGAGACAGUGUGAGUUUCGGCACAAGAUAGGUGCACGGUUUGCACCUAAUGCACCAUAGGAUAAGAAACCAUUUUGGACGCACCCGAUGGUACUCCUAGGUCAAGGUGCCCAAGUGAAAGCUUGGUUUGGUCUGUUUGGAGAUAGUGCUAAUCUUGAUGCAAGAUAGAUGCAUGGUUUGCAUGGAACAUACGAUAUGCUCAGAAAUCAAUUAGGACUCACCUGAUAUACCUCCUUCAUGAUGUGUGUCAUAUGGAAUCUUGCUUCGGUUCGUUUAGAGACAGUGUUAGUUUUGGUAGAAGGUAUGUGCACGGUUUACGCGUAAUGCACCAUAGGCUAAGAAACCAUUUUAGACGCACUCGAUGGUACUCGUAGUUGAAGAGGCUCAAGUGGAGGCUCGAUUUGGUCUGUUCAGAUAUAGUGCAAAUCUUGAUGUAAGAUAGUUGCACAGUUUGCAUGGAACGUACCAUAUGUUAAGAAAUCAAUUUGGCCGCACCCAAUGGAACUCCUUGAUGACGUGUGUCAUAUGGAAUCUCGCUUCGGUCUGUUUGGAGACAAUGUUAGUUUCGGUGCAAGAUAGGUGCAUAGUUUGUGCCUAAUGCACCGUAGUCUAAGAAACCAAUUUUGACGCACCUUGUCGGUGUUUUACCCCUAGGGGGGUCACACCAAUGAGUAAACUUGUGUGCGUGUUCCCUUUCCCAAAUGGUGAUGCAAGAAAUACACAGAGAUUUGUCCUGGUUCGGGCAAGAGAAGGCCCUACGUCCAGCGGGUGGGGGAUGUUUUCUAUUAUCUUGCACCUAAGUGCUUGUACAGGGGCGAAUACCGGUAUUGUGGUGGAUUCUAAGUCCUAGGUGGAGGCGAUGUAUGGUUGUUCUUCUACGUAUGUUGUGUCUUUCAUCCUUUCCUAUGCCUCCUCUUUUAUAGUUCCAAGGGGAGACCUAGGUUACAUGGCGUAGGUGAUAGAGUAGGGGUCGAUAGGGGCAUGGUGCGCUGACCUACUCGAGGCUUCCGUACCGGCGUGGCCUCGAGCUGUCUUGUUACUUGGUACUUUGGUGAUGAUUGCGCAUGCUUCUGCAUUCGACUCCUGUGCGUUGCCUUGGAUUGGCUUAACCGUGGGCACGCCUGUACAUCGUGGCUGCAGUCGCGUCCAGAGUGGUUGAGGUGCUGUCUUUCACCGCCUGACUCUUCUUUUGGAAGGAACGUGUUCGCUCGAGGGUCCGACGCCAUGCAAGGCCUUGCUGAUUGGUGCGCUAACUUUGGGCGCCUCGAGGGGGGUCGUGGUGUGACGUCCCGACUGUCUCACUGUGCUCGGCCGUACUCUAGCUCAUCUGGGGGACAAAGCUACAAAAAGGGGGAUUGGACAGGUGCUUGCUCCCAGUCACAUUUCCCGUGACUGUCGGGUUAGGUGAGAACACGGCAGGCGCAUUAAAUGUCCUGGUUCCUGUACCCGCGUUAGGCGGCGGACGGCAUCCUUGCGCUCGAGGCCUGUCGAUUCGUUCGAGCCGCUUCCGUAUUCGACGGUCGCUGUCUAGUCGAGCCUCUAUCGAUUCGCCCGACCCUUUUUUCGUGUUCGAGGCUAUGGUUGGCAUCGCGCUUUGGUAGUCGCGUGUGCGAGCGGGGGCGUUGAGUCAGGGGCCUCGAUUUGCGUACGGGUCCUCUCGUUAUGAGCAUUGGUUGGGGUACCCCUUAUUGACACCCUCGAUAGUAGCCCCUGAGUCUCUACUCGAGCGCUUGCGCUCGAGUAGAGGCUCUUUCGUCGGUCGAGUUUCCAUGGGGUCAUGCGAGCGACCCCCGCGGGGGUAACUCCCGAGCCCUUGGAGGAGUCUUGACUCCUUCAAGGGUUAUGUUGCUUUUUCUAAUGGAAGCGCUCUCGAUCUCCCCCUUCUCCGAAAGUCGUUCGCCAUGGAAGAGGGGCUUUGAGCCUCGAUUGGCUGGUUUCGCAUUGGAGUCAUGACGUACUCCUGGCGGAGCGAGAGUCACCUACCCCAGGUCGAGCUCCUAUCGAGUAAUCCAAGUGAGAACCUGUGCCCCGUUCGAGCCGAGAACCUGUGUCAGCUAUAGCCUGGAGGCAUUCUCAUAAAGCGGGGUCAACGCGAUCGGGGUUACUGGUCUCGUUCGAUAGAGUCCAGCGGCUCGCUGCCUCCCUCCAUGGGGAUUCCUCUCGACCCUCUUGCCCUUGCCUUGGACAUCCCCAGCGAGUUCUCGAGGCAGGCCUCGUUUUUGACCUCUCGCUGGGCAUCCCUGACUCUAGUACUCGAGGACGACCGUCAACGCAUUCAGCGGGCCAGUCUGCGAUCCCUCAAGAUUUUUAUCGUGACACGUACGUACCUUAUCUUACAGGGGAAGGAAGGGCCGCGGCGGUUCACUUUCCUGCCCGUUGGGCGCGCCUUUUUAGGCGGGAGCCGUUGCAGCACUGUGUCGUCGUGGAAUUCGUAGCGCCCUGUCAGUGAGAGCAAUCAUGACCGUUAGGCGGCGCAUUUACUAGGGAGGUUACCGUAUUAGCCGGAUCUGCCUGUUGGAGGUUGGCCAUCUAUAAAUAUUGUCGGGUCUCUCAGCCAUUACUCCUUCCGCCUUCCGCCAUCGUUCUUGCCCUUGCUUCCCUUGCCAUCUUCACGCGCGCGUGCACCCUCGAGCACAUAGCAGCGGAGCCGCCUUCCUUCAUCCCUCAAAAUGCCGGUGAGGCUUGUUGCCGCCGAUGACUGGCGCCCAUUGUCGAUGACGGAGCACCGGCUGCUGGAGCUUGAGAAGGAGGGACUCCUGCGCCCCCACGUUUCCUCGUCGCGGCCGGAGUGGAUCGCACCGGCGGCGGACCACCGGGAGCCGAGACCGCCCAAGGGGUACGUGGUCUCCUUGGCCAAGUUCCAUCGCCACGGCCUCGGUUCUCCUCCAAGCCGCUUCAUGUGGGCGCUCUGCCACCAUUACGGUGUGGAGCUCCAGCAUUUCUCGCCGAACGCCAUCACCACCACGGCGAUUUUUGCUGCGGUGUGUGAAGGCUAUCUGGGGAUGAUGCCACACUGGGACCUGUGGCUUCACCUGUACCGGGGCGAGCUCUUCCAUGCCCCUAGUAGGGCUACAGGGGUGAGGAAACCGGUGCGGGCCGGCUGCCUCAACCUGGUGCAAAAGACUAGCAAGGCAGAGGAGCCUCGAGAGUACAUUCCGGUGGGGCUGACGUCGAACCACGCCUAGUGGGACUCCCAGUGGUUCUAUGUGCGAAACGACGACGACCUCUUCCCCGACUACAUCGGGCGCUUGAUCUCGGAGCGUCCGGACCACUAGAACUACGACAUCGUCAAGACCCUCCAGUCGCGGCUCCGCCCCAUCCUCGACGCCCUGAAGAAGCUGUGCGAGGAAGGUCUGACCGCCGUGUUCGUCCUUUCAGCUGUCCACCAUCGACGGGUACUCCCAUUGAUGUAUCGACCGCUGAGGAUGGACGAGAUGGGUCCCGGCGUUUCGUCUCACGACCUCGAGGCAUGCCGGAUGUCCAACGAGGCGCCCGCGGACGACGAGGUCACCGCCAAAGUCAGGGCGGCCGUCGCAGGCGAUUUUUAGCCUGAGCGCGUCAAUGGCUUCCCCAUGAGACCUGACGAGGGGUCGAUCGACCUGGUAAGUCCUUCCUCUUGCCGUCGCUCAAUUCUUGGGUUUUUCGAUCCUCCUUAGGACUUACUCGUGCCUGUACAGGGACCAAUUGACGCUCAGUCCUCGAGGCCUCCGGUAAUGGAGGAUGACGUCGAUCGCGAUAGGAGACGCGAGUCCGCGGAGAAACAAAAGUCCGCAAAGGACUUAGAAAAGAAGAAGGAGAAGAAAAAGAAUCUCGAGCGACAAGUGCUCGAGAAACGCCGUGCGAAAUCGAGGCAAAAGGGGGAGUCCGAGGAGGAAUCUCGUAAUGAGGACGACGGCAAUGAGGGCGACGACGAUAGCGACGACUCCGAGGGGAUGGCGGCUCGUUUCGACAGAAUCCUCGAGGGCCCGCCGCAAGCCGACGUCGACGUCCCGCGGACAGGAGCUCCUAAGAGGGCGUCGGGCGGGUCCCACGACAGUCAGCAGAGGGAGUCCUCACCACGCCGUUCUCGUGCCGACACUCCUCCUGUGCCCGCGCAGGGUUGUGCCGUUUCUCAGCCGCAACCUCCUCCCGCGUAUGGGGCGGGCCACCGGGUUAAGUCUAUGGCGAUGGGGCCAUUGAGCCACGGCCGUGCCGCCGUGGCGGCCUCAAGCCAGAGGGAAGGAGGUCGUGGCAGCUCCAGCCCCGGUGCUCGCCAGGCGGGAGAUGUCGAGCCGAGGCCUACGCCUGCUUAGGAGAAGCCCGGGGUCUCGACGUGGGGCGGCUCGAGGCUAGUUGGUCGAGGGACUGGCAGGCGGGUCGUUCUUCCUAUGGGGUAAGGGUUUUACGUUGCGAUUCUUGUUUUCCGAUGUCUUGCGCCCUCUCUGGUUUCGGCUUUUCUUAUGUUAUUCCCCAUUUCCUUAGGUUGAAGCGGCCGCUAGAACAGGCCUAACCCUCGAUGGCCAAGAAGCUAAAGGUGGGGGCGGUUACUAGAGGCUCAGGUUAGUGAUUUAUUCUUCUUCCCGUAGUACUGGAGUUGAGCCAUCCCUGUGUCGAACUCCUUUGUGACUAACGUAUUGUCUUUGGACGCACUCAGGUUCCUCCGAUCCUCGACCGUCGACGGAUGUUGAAGGAACCCCGCCUCGUCCGUCAGAGGGGGCGACGUUUCUAACACUGCCCCGUUGUCACCAAGGCGGGUCGAGAGGCCUCAUCUUCAAGAGCAGGAGGGAGCCCCCAAGCCUCCUCAGCCUGGGGGCGUGCGGGGCCCCAUCACCAUCAACGACAGAUCCGGUGGUGAUCGACUCUCGAAGGAUGCCCGCACCGCGGAUGAAGAGGUCGAGGUCUCUCCUGUCGCGAAAUGGAUGCCUUGGCCCAUCGAGCUUCACUCCGUCGAGGAGAGGAGGAAGAAAGAAGAAGAAGAGCGUAAGGGAGGGGAGGAAGAAGAAGAAAAACAACAGCGAUGGCAACAGGGAGAGCGGCUCGAGGAGCAGUUGGAGCAAUGCCGGCAGCAAGAGCUGCUGGAGCUUCAGAGGCAGCAGAAGCUGUGGAGUUAGCAGCUGGAAGAGCUGCUCGAACAGCCACCACAAAGCCCGCGCCAGCCAGUAUUGCCAUCGCCGCAAGGGCCCGAGACCAGAGAGGAAGGACUACGGAUCUAUGAUCCGCCGACCCCUGCGUGGCUCCGUCCAGGGGGGCCAGCCUCUAUUCUGGCUGAACCUGGGCGGAAGGAUGGCGUCGUGGCCAUCGUGUGUGCUAUGCGCACGCCGGCGGACCCCCAAUCCGAAAUCAAGGGCUCCCUCUAUGGCAUCGAUGGGAUCGCCCUGGGGUUCCUUCGAGAUCGGCGGCCGUGGGAGGAACCCAAUGCCGAGGACGGGGACGACGCUGGCACUUCUGGCGGUGGUGACGCCAAUGAGACCGGGACUUGGGGGUCGGUGCAUGACGACAGGCGGUUCCCUUCUCUUAUCGACAUAUUCCUACGCCACGGAGGUUCGCUCGAGACCGUUCAAGAGCUUAUCCGAGGCGUCAAGGCAUGUACAGAGGAGGAGAUGGAGAACUGGGGCCCCAGUCGGAUUCAUCUUCGAGCCUCCAUCGACCCAGAGGAGCCCAACAUCAUGAAAGAUGACCGGAAAGAGGCCAAAAAGUGGGAGCAUCUCGAGGAGCUCCGGCUUUGGAUGAAGCACGUGAUGGGCCUAAUGUCGGAUAUUGUCAACAACGGGCUCGGCUGAGCUUUCUCUGUAAGUAUUUUCGGUCCUUAGCUAUCUGGGUAUUUGGUCUUGUAUUCUUAUUGUUUAGCUACUUGCUGCAGGACCUGAAGGAGACCCCCGCCUAAAGUCGGGUUUUAUUCACGCGACAAGAGGCGGUUGGGAACAGCUCCCUCUUCUCAAGGACCAACUCCUGGAGUCGCAGGAGAAGCUUCUCUAGGCCUACAAGGACCUUAUGGCAGGUGAGGAGGAGAGGAAGGAGAGGAAGGCUGCGCUGGCCAAGGCUCGGGAGGCCUCGGAGAAGGAAAUAGAAGAGGCCGUGCAGCUGAGGGCGCGGACCACGUCGGCUGAGGAGACUGCGUCCAAGGCCCGGGAAGAGGCCGCGUAUUACAAAGAUGCGGUCGCUGAGCUCGAUAAGGAGAUGAGCCUUGUCAAGUCGGAACUUGCCUCUGCCCAGGAGGCCUAUCGAGAGAUAAAGGAGGAGUGCGUGAAGAGCGAGAUCGCUCGGAGCACCGCGGAGGAGGCUGGGAAGAAGGCCCGUGAGGACCUCGAGGCAGAGCGAGCUCGCUCUCGCAGCCUUUCUAACAAUGUCGAUCGCUUGAAGAGAGCGCUGCUGGAGAAGGAGGGAGCCGUCUUACAAGCGAGUAAGAUGAUCGAGGACUUGCGGGCCGCAAACACUGAUCUGGCUCGUUCUUAUAAGGAGAUCAAGAGGGCCAACACUGAUUUAGUCGGUGAGAACACGGCCCUCAAAGAAAGGAUCUGUGGUAGGUUUCUUUAUACUUGCGUGUUUCUUUUGCAAGGUAUAUCCUUUAUGUUGCUUAACUUUCUUGUGUCGGUGUUUGUAGGGCUUAAGGAUGAUCUCCUGGCCACCCAAGUUGAGGCCCGUUCCACCAAGGCUCAGCUCAAGGGGGAGGUAGCUUUGAAUGGUCGACUAAGGACUGCGAUAAGCGACCUUUCGGCCUCCUGGGAGCUCGAGCCUGUGGAUGACUCGAGGGAGGUUGCUCGAGGCGAUGCGCUGGUCGACUAGCUGUGCUACUUAGGUUCUACGCUGAGGGAUCGGGUGCGGGACACCCUUCAUACCGGGGUGAAGCGAGUGAGGAUCGGGUGCGGGACGCCCUUCAUCCCGCACCAGGUCCUUGCAGGCGGUGCCUGAGACAAAGGCCAGAAUGACAUCGUGGUCGGGGAUGUGCGGGAGCUCAGUGCGCUGCUUUGAGAAGCAUCGAGCAUACUCUCAGAGAGUUUCUCUUGAUUUUUGCUUGCACUUGCUGAGGUCCCAUGAAUUGCCAGGACGUAUGUAGGUUCCUUUAAAGUUGCCCUCGAACACCCUGACCAAAUCGGUCCAGUCGUGGAUCUGGUUGGCAGGGAGUUCCUCGAGCCAUCUGCGAGCGGUGUCGGAUAGAAAAAGCGGUAACUGGCGGAUGAUGGCUCGAUUGUGUCCUCGAGCGCCUCCUAACUGGCAUGCUAGCCAAAAGUCUACUAGCCACAGCUCUGGCUUGGUUUCGCUGUUGCGAUGCUGGUCGGGGAUCGAAACGGACUGGGCAACGGCGUGCUGCGGAUUGCUCUGCUGAAAACUCGAGGGCCUAAUGGCUUUGGAGCCAUUCGGUCCUUGUCACUGUUGUAUCGUCCACCGCGGUGGGCGCUAUAGCCUCGCUCCUCUGCAUCCCCAUGCCGGCGGCGGCGAUACUCAUUGAUGUCAUGUCGAGCGUCAUGUCGCCAUUGAUUAUCGACGAGGCGCUCUUGGAAGGGCACAGUCUUUCUUCCUCGAGGGGGUGGUCCUUGAUGGACCGACACUUCCUUCUCAUCUCGGGCUGGCUCGACGUGUUUCUCUGUGGCUGCCCCUCGACGCCGAGAAGCCGAGCUUUCGGCUUGUUGGGCUGCCGCCACUUGGAGCAGAGUCUGCACCUUGUCUCGAAUGCACCGCGCCUGGGAGUUGGAAGGUUCAGGCAUGCUACGCAAUAGCAUGGUUGCUGCCAUGACAUUCUGGCCCGCUCGUGGGAAGCGGCUGACAGGUGGCUCUGGCUCCUCGUCCCCGACGAUUUGACGGUACACCUCUCGAGCGCGACCGCGCGCGCCUUUGGCGUGCGGGUGCGGUUGGUCUCGCUCGAGGGCCUGCUCGAGCUGAGCAAGGCGCUCGCGGUCUUCGUCGAGCUUGGCUUUGAGCUCCCGUAAUUGUGCGAGCUGCGCAGCUUUGUCGUCCUACGCCGGAGGGUCGACCCGCCCAUCGUUCCCAGGUGUCCUGGGAUCUUCUCUUGCUACGGGGGCUCGGCCACCGGCAACGGCAUCUUGCGUUUCAUCAGUGGUGCCACUUCACCAUCGAUGUUGUAGCAUUCCCUUGUAGGGUCGUAACUAUCAGAUUCGGAGUCGGGGUCUGGUUCUGCGGCGUAGAAACACCCACGCCCCUCCUCCGCCAUCCGCUGUCUGAGCGAGGUGAUGGUAUAUCGCCUAGGUCCUAGACGUUGGAGGCUCCGCACCUGGGAAAAUUCCGGCAGUUCAGCUGCUCGCUGUUGUGCCUCGGCGUCGCUCGGGAGGACCAUUGGUCUUUCCACAUACGUCUGGGCGUCCGGGCAUAUCGUUCUGGCUAGGGACGCUGUGGCAUUGUCCAGACCGAAUGGUGUGUUCCCCUAGAGGCGAACAAUCCGUGCGGUAGCAGCGUUGUCGAGGGGGAGAGCACGCGAGUCGCGUCAUCUCCCAACGUUGUUGCGGGGCUGUCCAGACGCCGGGCCGCCGUAUUUGUAGCCUCGGCGUGCGGGGCUGCCGGCUGCUGCGCCACCGCUCGCUUGGCAUAGGUUGAUGACCGCGACGCAGCAGAAGGGUGGUGACGGUGCUGUCCACGCCUCUUCUUGGGCGGGGAGGCGUGGUGGCGAGGCCGUCUUGGGGCCUUCGAUUGUGCUGGUGCAACGCUAGUUCCUCCUGGUCCUUUGACCGAGAGCAGGAUCAUGUCGUAGCCGGUACCGGUGGACAUGAACUCGAGGCUCCCAAACCAAAUCACCGUGGAGCGCGGGAUCGGCGAAAUGAGAGUGGCCAUUCUAGAAUGAGAUGGGGAGUCGGUGAAAAACACGCAGGACCCCUACCUGGUGCGCCAACUGUCGGUGUUUUACCUCUAGGAGGUCACACCAACGAGUAAACUUGUGUGCAUGUUCCCUUUCCCAGAUGAUGAUGCAAGAAAUACACACAGAUUUAUCCUGGUUCGGGCAAGAGAAGGCCCUACGUCCAGCGGGAGGGAUGUUUUCUAUUAUCUUGCACCUAAGUGCUUGUACAGGGGUGAAUACAAGUCGGUAUUGUGGUGGAUUCUAAGUCCUAGGUAGAGGUGAUGUAUGGUUGUUCUUCUCCGUAUGUCCUGUCUUUCAUCCUUUCCUAUGCCUCCCCUUUUAUAGUUCCAAGGGGAGACCUAGGUUACAUGGCGUAGGUGAUAGAGUAGGGGUCGAUAGGGGCGUGGUGCGCUGACCUACUCGAGGCUUCCGUGCCGGCGUGGCCUCGAGCUGUCUUGUUACUUGGUACUUUGGUGAUGAUUGUGCAUGCUUCUGCAUUCGACUCCUGUGUGUUGCCUUGGAUUGGCUUAACCGUGGGCACGCCUGUACGUCGUGGCUGCAGUCGCGUCCAGAGUGGUUGAGGUGUUGUCUUUCACCGCCUGACUCUUCUUUGGGAAGGAACGUGUUCGCUCGAGGGUCCGACGCCACGCAAGGCCGUGCUGAUCGGUGCGCUGACUUUGGGCGCCUCGAGGGGGGUCGUGACGUGACGUCCCGUCUGUCUCACUGUGCUCGGCCGUACUCUGGCUCAUUUGGGGGACAAAGCUGCAAAAAGGGGGAUUGGAUGGGUGCUUGCUCCCAGUCACAUUUCCCGUGACUGUCGGGUUAGGUGAGAACACGGUAGGCGCAUUAAAUGCCCUGGUUUCCGUACCCACGUCAGGGCGCAGAUGGCGUCCUUGCGCUCGAGCCUUUGUCGAUUCACACGACCCUUUUUCUGUGUUCGAGGCUAUGGUUGCAUCGCGCUUUGGUAGUCGCGUGUGCGAGCGGGGGCGUCGAGUCAGGGGCCUUGAUUUGCUUACGGGUCCUCUCAUUAUGAGCAUUGGUUGGGGUACCCCUUAUUGACACCCUCGACACACCUGCUUGUACUCCUAGGUAAAAGGCUCAAGUGAAAGCUCCGUUUGGUCUAUUUAGAGAUAGUGCUAAUCUUGAGGAAAGAUAGAUGCACGGUCUGCAUGGAACAUACCAUAUUCUUAGAAAUUAUUUUGGACACACCCGAUAGAACUCCUUGAUGACGUGUGUCAUAUGGAAUCUCACUUUGGUGUGCUUAGAGACAGUAUUAGUUUCGGUGCAAGAUAUGUGCACGGUUUGCGCCUAAUGCACCAAAGUCUAAGAAACCAUUUUGGAAGCACCUGUUGUAACUCCUAGGUGAAGAGGCUCAAGUGGAGGCUCGGUUCGGUCUGUUUAGAGAUAGUGCUAAUCUUGAUGCAAUAUAGGUGCAUGAUUUGCAUGGAACAUACCAUAUGCUCAGAAAUCAAUUUGGACGCACUAGAUGGAACUCCUAGAUGACAUGUGUCAUAUGGAAUCUCACUUUGGUCCGUUUAGAGAGUGUUAGUUUCGGUGCAAGAUAGGUGCACGGUUUCCACCUAAUGCACCAUAGGAUAAGAAACAAUUUUGGAGGCACCUGAUGGUACUCCUAGGUCAAGGGGCUCAAGGGAGAGCUCGGUUUGGUCUGUUUGGAGAUAGUGCUAAUCUUGAUGCAAGAUAGAUGCACGGUUUGCAUGGAACAUACGAUAUGCUCAGAAAUCAAUUAGGACGCACCUGAUGUAACUCCUUGAUGAAGUGUGUCAUAUGGAAUCUUGCAUCGGUUCGUUUAGAGACAGUGUUAGUUUUGGUAGAAGAUAUGUGCACGGUUUACGCCUAAUGCACCAUAGGCUAAGAAACCAUUUUAGACGCACCCGAUGGUACUUGUAGUUGAAGAGGCUCAAGCGGAGGCUCGAUUUUGUCUAUUCGGAUAUAGUGCUAAUCUUGAUGCAAGAUAGUUGCACAUUUUGCAUGGAACGUACCAUAUGUUAAUAAAUCAAUUUAGACACACCUAAUGGAACUCGUAGAUGACGUAUGUCAUAUGGAAUCUCGCUUCGGUCUGUAUGGAGACAAUGUUAGUUUUGAUGGAAGAUAGGUGCAUAGUUUGUGCCUAAUGCACCAAAGUCUAAGAAUCCAUUUUUGACGCACCUGUUUGUACUCCUAGAUGAAGAGGCUGAAGUGGAAGCUCGGUUCGGUCUAUUUAGAGAUAGUGCUAAUGUUGAUGCAAGAUAGGUGCACGGUUUGCAUGGAACAUAACAUAUGCUUGGAAUUCAAUUUGGAUGCACCCGAUGGAACUCCUUGAUGACGUGUGCCAUAUGGAAUCUCGCUUUGGUCUGUUUAGAAAUAGUGUUAGUUUCGAUGCAAGAUACGUGCAUGGUUUGCGCCUAAUGCACCAUAGUCUAAGAAACCAUUUUGGAAGCACCUGUAGGUACUUCGGUGAAGAGGCUCAAGUGGAAGCUCGGUUUGAUCUGUUUGGAGAUAGUGCUAAUCUUGAUGCAAGAUAGGUGCAUGAUUUGCAUGGAACAUACCAUAUGCUUAGAAAUCAAUUUGGACGCACCCAAUGGAACUCCUUGAUGACGUGUGUCAUAUGGAAUCUCGCUUCGGUACAUUUGGAGACAUUGUUAGUUUUAGUGCAAGAUAGGUGCACAGUUUGCACCUAAUGCACCAUAGUCUAUGAAACCAUUUUGGACGCACUUGUUGGUACUCCUAGGUGAAGGGGCUCAAGUGGAUGCUAGCCGGUUCGGUCUAUUUGGAGAUAGUGCUAAUCUUGAUCCAAGAUAGGUGCACGGUUUUCAUGGGAACAUACCAAAUGCUUGGAAAUCAAUCUAGACACACACGAUGGAACUCCUAGAUGACAUGUGUCAUACGAAAUCUUGCUUCGGUCUGUUUGGAGACAGUGUUAGUUUUGGUGCAAGAUAGGUGCAAGGUUUGCACAUAAUGCAGCAUAGGCUAAGAAACCAUUUUGGACGCAUCCGAUGGUACUCCUAGGUAAAAGGCUCAAGUGAAAGCUCAGUUUGGUCUAUUUGGAGAUAGUGCUAAUCUUGAUGCAAGAUAGAUGCACGGUCUGCAUGGAACGUACCAUAUUCUUAGAAAUUAAUUUGGACACACCCGAUAGAACUCCUUGAUGACGUGUGUCAUAUGGAAUCUCGCUUUGGUGUGCUUAGAGACAGUAUUAGUUUCGGUACAAGAUAUGUGCAUGGUUUGCGCCUAAUGCACCAAAUUCUAAGAAACUAUUUUGGAAGCACCUGUUGUAACUCCUAGGUGAAGAGGCUCAAGUGGAGGCUCGGUUCGGUCUGUUUAGAGAUAGUGCUAAUCUUGAUGCAAUAUAGGUGCACGAUUUGCAUGGAACAUACCAUAUGCUCAGAAAUCAAUUGGGACGCACUAGAUGGAACUCCUAGAUGACAUGUGUCAUAUGGAAUCUCACUUCGGUCUGUUUAGAGAGUGUUAGUUUCGGUGCAAGAUAGGUGCACGGUUUCCACCUAAUGCACCAUAGGAUAAGAAACAAUUUUGGAGGCACCUGAUGGUACUCCUAGGUCAAGGGGCUCAAGUGAGAGCUCGGUUUGGUCUAUUUGGAGAUAGUGCUAAUCUUGAUGCAAGAUAGAUGCACGGUUUGCAUGGAACAUACGAUAUGCUCAGAAAUCAAUUAGGACGCACCUGAUGUAACUCCUUGAUGAUGUGUGUCAUAUGGAAUCUUCCUUCGGUUCGUUUAGAGACUGUGUUAGUUUUGGUAGAAGAUAUGCGCACGGUUUACGCCUAAUGCACCAUAGGCUAAGAAACCAUUUUAGACGCACCCGAUGGUACUCGUAGUUGAAGAGGCUCAAGUGGAGGCUCAAUUUGGUCUGUUCAGAUAUAGUGGUAAUCUUGAUGCAAGAUAGUUGCACAGUUUGCAUGGAACAUACCAUAUGUUAUGAAAUCAAUUUGGACGCACCCAAUGGAACUCUUAGAUGACGUGUCAUAUGGAAUCUCGCUUCGGUCUGUUUGGAGACAAUGUUAGUUUUGGUGCAAGAUAGGUGCAUAAUUUGUGCCUAAUGCACCAUAGUCUAAGAAACCAUUUUUGACACACCUGUUUGUACUCCUAGAUGAAGAGGCUGAAGUGGAAGCUCGGUUCAGUCUGUUUGGAGAUAGUGCUAAGCUUGAUGCAAGAUAGGUGCACAGUUUGCAUGGAACAUGCCAUAUGCUUGGAAAUCAAUUUGGAUGCACCUGAUGGAACUCCUUGACGACGUGUGUCACAUGGAAUCUCGCUUCGGUCCAUUUAGAAACAGUGUUAGUUUUGCUGCAAGAUAUGUGCUUGGUUUGCGCCUAAUGCACCAUAGUCUAAGAAACCAUUUUGGAUGCACCUGUUGGUACUUCAGUGAAUAGGCUCAAGUGGAAUCUCGGUUUGAUCUGUUUGGAGAUAUUGCUAAUCUUGAUGCAAGAUAGGUGCAUGAUUUGCAAGGAACAUUCCAUAUGCUUAGAAAUCAAUUUGGACACACCGAAUGGAACUCCUAGAUGACGUGUGUCAUAUGGAAUCUUGCUUCGGUCCAUUUGUAGACAUUGUAAGUUUUAGUGCAAGAUAGGUGCACAGUUUGCGCCUAAUGCACCAUAGUCAAAGAAACCAUUUUGGACGCACUACUUAAUACUCCUAGGUGAAGAGGCUCAAGUGGAAGCUUGGUUCGGUCUGUUUGGAGAUAGUGCUAAUCCUUAUGCAAGGUAGGUGCAUGGUUUGCAUGGAAAAUACCAUAUGCUUAGAAGUCAAUUUGGAUGCACCCGAUGGAACUCCAUGAUGACAUGUGUCACAUGGAAUCUUGCUUCGGUCUAUUUGGAGACAUUGUUAGUUUCGGUGCAAGAUAGGUGCACAGUUUGCACCUAAUGCACCAUAGUCUAAGAAACCAUUUUGGACGCACUUGUUGGUACUCCUAGGUGAAGGGGCUCAAGUGGAUGCUCGGUUUUGUGUGUUUGGAGAUAGUGAUAAUCUUGAUGCAAGAUAGGUGCAUGGUUUGCAUCGAACAUACCAAUUGCUUGGAAAUCAAUCUGGACGCACAUGAUGGAACUCCUAGAUGACGUGUGCCAUAUGAAAUCUUGCUUCAAUCUGUUUGGAGAGAGUGUUAGUUUCGGUGCAAGAUAGGUGCAAGGUUUGCACAUAAUGUAGCAUGGGCUAAGAAACCAUUUUGGACACACACGAUGGUACUCCAAGGUAAAAGGCUCAAGUGAAAGCUCAGUUUGGUCUAUUUGGAGAUAGUGCUAAUCUUGAUGCAAGAUAGAUGCACGGUCUGCAUGGAACGUACCAUAUGCUUAGAAAUUAAUUUGGACACACCUGAUAGAAUUCCUUGAUGACGUGUGUCAGAUGGAAUCUCGCAUUGGUGUGCUUAGAGACAGUAUUAGUUUCGGUGCAAGAUAUGUGCACGGUUUGCAAGGAACAUACCAAAUGCUUGGAAAUCAAUCUAGACGCAGACGAUGGAACUCCUAGAUGACGUGUGUCAUACGAAAUCUUGCUUCGGUCUGUUUGGAAACAGUGUUAGUUUUGGUGCAAGGUUUGCACAUAAUGCAGCAUAGGCUAAAAACCCAUUUUGUACGCACCCGAUGGUACUCCUAGAUAAAGGGCUCAAGUGAAAGAUCGGUUUGGUCUAUUUGGAGAUAGUGCUAAUCUUGAUGCAAGAUAGAUGCACGGUCCGCAUGGAACGUACCAAAUGCUUAGAAAUUAAUUUGGACACACCCGAUAGAACUCCUUGAUGAUGUGUGUCACAUAGAAUCUUGCAUUGGUGUGCUUAGAGACAAUAUAGUUUCGGUGCAAGAUAUGUGCACGGUUUGCGUCUAAUGCACCAAAGUCUAAGAAACCAUUUUGGAAGCACCUGUUGAUACUCCUAGGUGAGAGGUUCAAGUGGAGGCUCGGUUCGGUCUGUGUUAGAGAUAGUGCUAAUCUUGAUGCAAGAUAGGUGCACGGUUUGCAUGGAACGUACCAUAUGCUUGGAAAUCAAUUUGGAUGCAACUGAUGGAGCUCCUUGAUGACGUGUGUCAUAUGGAAUCUCGCUUUGGUCUGUUUAGAAACAGUAUUAGUUUUUGUGCAAGAUAUGUGCAUGGUUUGCGCCUAAUGCACCAUAGUCUAAGAAACCAUUUUGGAUGCACCUAUUGGUACUUCGGUGAAGAUGCUCAAGUGGAAGCUCGGUUUGAUCUAUUUGGAGAUAGUGCUAAUCUUGAUGCAAGAUAGAUGCACGGUUUGCAUGGAAAAUGUGAUAUGCUCAGAAAUCAAAUAGGACGCACCUGAUAUAACUCCUUGAUGAUGUGCGUCAUAUGGAAUCUUGCUUCGGUUUGUUUAGAGACAAUGUUAGUUUUGGUAGAAGAUAUGUGCACAGUUUACGCCUAAUGCACCAUAGGCUAAGAAACCAUUUUAGACGCACCCGAUGGUACUCGUAGUUGAAGAGGCUCAAGUGGAGGCUCAAUUUGGUCUGUUUAGAUAGAGUGCUAAUCUUGAUGCAAGAUAGUUGCACAGUUUGCAUGGAACAUACCAUAUGUUAAGAAAUCAAUUUGGACGCACCCAAUGGAACUCCUAGAUGACAUGUCAUAUAGAAUCUCGUUGCGGUCUGUUUGGAGAUAAUGUUAGUUAUGGUGCAAGAUAGGUGCAUAGUUUGAGCCUAAUGCACCAUAGCCUAAGAAACCAUUUUUAACGCACCUGUUUGUACUCCUAGAUAAAGAGGCUCAAGUGGAAGCUCGGUUCGGUCUGUUUGGAGAUAGUGCUAAUCUUGAUGCAAGAUAGGUGCACGGUAUGCAUGGAACAUACCAUAUGCUUGGAAAUCAAUUUGGAUGCACCCGAUGGAACUGCUUGAUGACGUGUGUCAUAUGGAAUCUCGCUUUGGUCUGUUUAGAAUCAGUGUUAGUUUUUGUGCAAGAUAUGUGCAUGGUUUGCGCCUAAUGCACCAUAGUCUAAGAAACCAUUUUGGAUGCACCUAUUGGUACUUCGGUGAAGAUGCUCAAGUGGAAGCUCGGUUUGAUCUAUUUGGAGAUAGUGCUAAUCUUGAUGCAAGAUAGAUGCACGGUUUGCAUGGAACAUACGAUAUGCUCAGAAAUCAAUUAGGACACACCGGAUAUAACUCCUUGCAAGGAACGUACCAUAUGCUUAGAAAUCAAUUUGGACGCACCCAAUGGAACUCCUAGAUGACGUGUGUCAUAUGGAAUCUUGCUUCGGUCCGUUUGUAGACAUUGUAAGUUUUAGUGCAAGAUAGGUGCACAGUUUGCGCCUAAUGCACCAUAGUCUAAGAAACUAUUUUAGACGCACUAUUUGGUACUCCUGGGUGAAGAGGCUCAAGUGGAAGCUUGGUUCGGUCAGUUUGGAGAUAGUGCUAAUCCUUAUGCAAGGUAGGUUCAUGGUUUGCAUGGAACAUACCAUAUGCUUGGAAAUCAAUUUGGAUCCACCCGAUGGAACUCCUUGAUGAUGUGUGUCAUAUGGAAUCUCGCUUCGGUCCAUUUGGAGAAAUUGUUAGUUUCGGUGCAAGAUAGGUGCACAGUUUGCACCUAAUGCACCAUAGUCUAAGAAACCAUUUUGGACACACUUGUUGGUACUCCUAGGUGAAGGGGCUCAAGUGGAUGUUCGGUUCGGUCUGUUUGGAGAUAGUGCUAAUCUUGAUGCAAGAUAGGUGCACGGUUUGCAUGGAACAUACAAAAUGCUUGGAAAUCAAUCUGGACGCACAUGAUGGAACCCUAGAUGACGUGUGUCAUACAAAAUCUUGCUUCGGUCUGUUUGGAGACAUUGUUAGUUUCGGUGCAAGAUAGGUGCACAGUUUGCACCUAAUGCACCAUAGUCUAAGAAACCAUUUUGGAUGCACCUGUUGGUACUUCGGUGAAGAGGCUCAAAUGGAAACUCGGUUUGAUCUGUUUGGAGAUAGUGCUAAUCUUGAUGCAAGAUAUGUGCAUGAUUUGCAAGGAACAUACCAUAUGCUUAGAAAAUCAAUUUAUAUGCACCCAAUGGAACUCCUAGAUGACGUGUGUCAUAUGGAAUCUUGCUUCGGUCCAUUUGUAGACAUUGUAUGUUUUAGUGCAAGAUAGGUGCAAAGUUUCGCCUAAUGCACCGUAGUCUAAGAAACCAUUUUGGACGCACUAUUUGGUACUCCUGGGUGAAGAGGCUCAAGUGGAAGCUUGGUUUGGUUAAUUCGGAGAUAAUGCUAAUUCUUAUACAAGGUAGGUGCUUGGUUUGCAUGGAACAUUGGAAAUCAAUUUGGAUGCACCCGAUUGAACUCCUUGAUGACUUGUGUCAUAUGGAAUCUUGCUUCGGUCCAUUUGGAGACAUUGUUAGUUUUGGUGUAAGAUAGGUGCACAGUUUGCACCUAAUGGCACCAUAGUCUAAGAAACCAUUUUGUAUGCACUUGUUGGUACUCCUAGGUGAACGGGCUCAAGUGGAUGCUCGGUUUGGUCUGUAUGGAGAUAGUGCUAAUCUUGAUCCAUGAUAGGUGCACGGUUUGCAUGGAACAUACCAAAUGCUUGGAAAUCAAUCUGGACGCACAUGAUGGAACUCCUAGAUGACGUGUGUCAUACAAAAUCUUGCUUCGGUCUGUUUGGAGAUAGUGUUAGUUUCAGUGCAAGAUAGGUGCUAGGUUUGUACAUAAUGCAGCAUAGGCUAAGAAACCAUUUUGGACGCACCCGAUGGUACUCGUAGAUAAAAGGCUCAAGUGAAAGCUCGGUUUGGUCUAUUUGGAGAGAGUGCUAAUCUUGAUGCAAGAUAGAUGCACGGUCUGCAUGGAACAUACCAUAUGCUUAAAAAUUAAUUUGGACACACCCGAUAGAACUCCUUGAUGACGUGUGUCAUAUGGAACCUAGCUUUGGUGUGCUUAGAGACAGUAUUAGUUUUGGUGCAAGAUAUGUGCACGGUUUGCACCUAAUGCACCAAAGUCUAAGAAACCAUUUUGGAAGCACCUGUUGGUACUCCUAGGUGAAGAGGCUCAAGUGGAGGCUCGGUUCGGUCUGUUUAGAGAUAGUCCUAAUCUUGAUGCAAGAGAGGUGCACGAUUUGCAUGGAACAUACCAUAUGCUCAGAAAUCAAUUUUGACACACCAGAUGGAACUCCUAGAUGACAUGUGUCAUAUGGAAUCUCACUUCUUUCCGUUUAGAGACAGCGUUAGUUUCGGUGCAAGAUAGGUGCACGGUUUGCACCUAAUGCACCAUAGGAUAAGAAACCAUUUUGGACGCACCCGAUGGUACUCCUAGGUCAAGGGGCUCAAGUGAAAGCUCCGUUUCGUCUGUUUGGAGAUAGUGCUAAUCUUGAUGCAAGAUAGAUGCACGGUUUGCUUGGAACAUAUGAUAUGCUCAGAAAUCAAUUAGGACGCACCUGAUAUAACUCCUUGAUGAUGUGUUUCAUUUGGAAUCUUGCUUCGGUUCGUUUCUAGACUGUGUUAGUUUUGGUAGAAGAUAUGUGCACGGUUUACGCCUAAUGCACCAUAGGCUAUGAAACCAUUUUAGACGCACCCGAUGGUACUCAUAGUUGAAGAGGCUCAAGUGGAGGCUCGAUUUGGUCUGUUCAGAUAUAGUGCUAAUCUUGAUGCAAGAUAGUUGCACAGUUUGCAUGGAACGUACCAUAUGUUAAGAAAUCAAUUUGGACGCACCCAAUGGAACUCCUAGAUGAUGUGUGUCAUAUGGAAUCUCGCUUCGGUCUGUUUGGAGGUAAUGUUAGUUUCAGUGCAAGAUAGGUGCAUAGUUUGUGCCUAAUGCACCAUAGUCUUACCAUUUUUGACGCACCUGUUUGUACUACUAGAUGAAGAGGCUCAAGUGGAAGCUCGGUUCGGUCUGUUUGGAGAUAGUGCUAAUCUUGAUGCAAGAUAGGUGCACGGUAUGCAUGGAACAUACCAUAUGCUUGGAAAUCAAUUUGGAUGCACCCGGUGGAACUCCUUGAUGACGUGUGUCAUAUGGAAUCUCGCUUAGGUCUGUUUAGAAACAGUGUUAGUUUCGGUGCAAGAGAUGUUGGAAGCACCUGUUGGUACUUCGGUGAAGAGGCUCAAGUGGAAACUCGGUUUUAUCUGUUUGGAGAUAGUGCUAAUCUUGGUGCAAGAUAGGUGCAUGAUUUGCAUGGAACAUACCAUAUGCUUAGAAAUCAAUUUGGACGCACCCAAUGGAACUCCUAGAUGACAUGUGUCAUAUGGAAUCUUGCUUCGGUCCGUUUGUAGACAUUGUAAGUUUUAGUGCAAGAUAGGUGCACAAUUUGCGCCUAAUGCUCCAUAGUCUAAGAAACCAUUUUAGAUGCACUAUUUGGUACUCUUGGGUGAAGAGGCUCAAGUGGAAGCUUGGUUCGGUCAGUUUGGAGAUAGUUCUAAUCCUUAUGCAAGGUAGGUGCAUGGUUUGCAUGGGACAUACCAUAUGCUUGGAAAUCAAUUUGGAUGCUCCCGAUGGAACUCCUUGAUGAUGUGUGUCAUAUGGAAUCACGCUUUGGUCUAUUUGGAGACAUUGUUAGUUUCGGUGCAAGAUAGGUGCCCAGUUUGCAACUAAUGCACCAUAGUCUAAGAAAUCAUUUUGGACACACUUGUUGGUACGCCUAGGUGAAGGGGCUCAAGUGGUUGCUCGGUUCGGUCUGUUUGGAGAUAGUGCUAAUCUUGAUUCAAGAUAGGUGCACGGUUUGCAUGGAACAUACCAAAUGCUUGGAAAUCAAUCUGGACGCACAUGAUGGAACUCAUAGAUGACGUGUGUCAUACGAAAUCUUGCUUCGGUCUAUUUGGAGACAUUGUUAGUUUCGGUGCAAGAUAGGUGCACAGUUUGCACCUAAUGCACCAUAGUCUAAGAAACCAUUUUGGAUGCACCUGUUAGUACUUCGGUGAAGAGGCUCAAGUGGAAGCUCUGUUUGAUCUGCUUGGAGAUAGUGCUAAUCUUGAUGCUAGAUAGGUGCAUGAUUUGCAAGGAACAUACCAUAUGAUUAGAAAUCAAUUUGGACGCACCCAAUGGAACUCCUAGAUGACGUGUGUCUCCUAGAUGACGUGUGUCAUAUGGAAUCUUGCUUCGAAUCCUGUUUCGGUCCAUUUGUAGACAUUGUAAGUUUUAGUGCAAGAUAGGUGCACAGUUUGCGCCUAAUGCACCAUAGUCUAAGAAACCAUUUUGGACGCACUAUUUCGUAUUCCUGGGUGAAAAGGCUCAAGUGGAAGCUUGGUUUGGUCAGUUUGGAGAUAGUGCUAAUCCUUAUGCGAGGUAGGAGCAUGGUUUGCAUGGAACAUUGGAAAUCAAUUUGAAUGCAACCGAUGGAACUCCUUGAUGACAUGUGUCAUAUGGAAUCUCGCUUCGGUCCAUUUGGAGACAUUGUUAGUUUCGGUGUAAGAUAGGUUCACAGUUUGCACCUAAUGAACCAUAGUCUAAGAAACCAUUUUGUAUGCAUAGUUUGUACAUAAUGCACCAUAGGCUAAGAAACCAUUUUGGACGCACCCGAUGGUACUCCUAGGUAAAAGGCUCAAGUGAAAGCUCAGUUUGGUCUAUUUGGAGAGAGUGCUAAUCUUGAUGCAAGAUAGAUGCAUGGUCUGCAUGGAACGUAACAUAUGCUUAAAAAUUAAUUUGGACACACCCGAUAGAACUCCUUGAUGACGUGUGUCAUAUGGAAUCUCGCUUUGGUGUGCUUAGAGACAGUAUUAGUUUCGGUGCAAGAUAUGUGCACGGUUUGCGCCUAAUGCACCAAAGUCUAAGAAACCAUUUUGGAAGCACCUGUUGGUACUCCUAGGUGAAGAGGCUCAAGUGGAGGCUCGGUUUGGUCUGUUUAGAGAUAGUCCUAAUCUUGAUGCAAGAUAGGUGCACGAUUUGCAUGGAACAUACCAUAUGUUCAGAAAUCAAUUUGGACACACCAGAUGGAACUCCUAGAUGACAUGUGUCAUAUGGAAUCUCAAUUCCGUCCGUUUAGAGACAGUGUUAGUUUUGGUGCAAGAUAGGUGCACGGUUUGCACCUAAUGCACCAUAGGAUAAGAAACCAUUUUGGACGCACCCGAUGGUACUCCUAGGUCAAGGGGCUCAAGUGACAGCUCGGUUUGGUCUCUUUGGAGAUAGUGGUAAUCUUGAUGCAAGAUAGAUGCACGGUUUGCAUGGAACAUAUGAUAUGCUCAGAAAUCAAUCAGGACGCACCUGAUAUAACUCCUUGAUGAUGUGUGUCAUAUGGAAUCUUGCUUCGGUUCGUUUAGAGACAGUGUUAGUUUUGGUAGAAGAUAUGUGCAUGGUUUAUGCCAAAUGCAUCAUAGGCUAAGAAACCAUUUUAGACGCACCUGAUGGUACUCGUAGUUGAAGAGGCUCAAGUGGAGGCCUUAUUUGGUCUGUUCGGAUAUAGUGCUAAUCUUGAUGCAAGAUAGUUACACAGUUUGAUGGAACAUACCAUAUGUUAAGAAAUCAAUUUGGACGCACCCAAUGGAACUCCUAGAUGACGUGUGUCAUAUGGAAUCUCGCUUUGGUCCAUUUGGAGACAAUGUUAGUUUCGGUGCAAGAUAGGUGCAUAGUUUGUGCCUAAUGCACCACAGUCUAAGAAACCAUUUUUGAUGCACCUGUGUGUACUUCUAGAUGAAGAGGCUCAAGUGGAAGCUCGGUUCGGUCUGUUUGGAGAUAGUGCUUAUAUUGAUGCAAGAUAGUUGCACGGUUUGCAUGGAACAUACCAUAUGCUUAGAAAUCAAUUUGGAUGCACCCGACGGAACUCCUUGAUGACGUGUGUCUUAUUGAAUCUCGCUUUGGUCUGUUUAGAAAUAGUGUUAGUUUCAAUGCAAGAUAUGGGCAUGGUUUGCACCUAAUGCACCAUAGUCUAGGAAACCAUUUUGGAAGCACCUGUUGGUACUUCGGUGGAGAGGCUCCAGUGGAAGCUCGAUUUGAUCUGUCUCGAGAUAGUGCUACUCUAGAUGCAAAAUAGGUGCAUGAUUUGCAAGGAACAUACCAUAUGCUUAGAAAUCAAUUUGGACGCACCCAAUGGAACUCCUAGAUGACGUGUGUCAUAUGGAAUCUUGCUUCGGUCCAUUUGUAGACAUUGUAAGUAUUAGUGCAAGAUAGGUGCACAGUUUGCGCGUAAUGCACCGUAGUCUUUGAAACCAUUUUUGACUCCCUAUUUGGUACUCCUGGAUGAAGAGGCUCAAGUGGAAGCUUGGUUCGGUCAGUUUGGAGAUAAUGCUAAUCCUUAUGCAAGGUAGGUGCAUGGUUUGCAUGGAACAUACCAUAUGCUUGGAAAUCAAUUUGGAUGCACCCGAUGGGACUCCUUGAUGACGUGUGUCAUUUGGAAUCUCGCUUUGGUCCAUUUGGAGACAUUGUUAGUUUCGGUGCAAGAUAGGUGCACAGUUUGCACCUAAUGCACCAUAGUCUAAGAAAUCAUUUUGGACGCACCUGUUGGUACUCCUAGGUGAAGGGGCUCAAGUGGAUGCUCGGUUCGGUCUGUUUGGAGAUAGUGCUAAUCUUGAUGUAAGAUAGGUGCACGGUUCGCAUGGAACAUACCAAAUACUUGAAAAUCAAUCUGCACGCACAUGAUGGAACUCCUAGAUGACGUGUGUCAUAUGAAAUCUUGCUUCGGUCUGUUUGGAGACAGUGUUAGUUUCGGUGCAAGAUAGGUGCAAGGUUUGCACAUAAUGCAGCCUAGGCUAAGAAACCAUUUUGGACGCACCUGAUGGUACUCGCUAGGUAAAAGGCUCAAGUGAAAGCUCGGUUCGGUCUGUUUAGAGAUAGUGCUAAUCUUGAUACAAGAUAGGUGCACGAUUUGCAUGGAACAUACCAUAUGCUCAGAAAUCAAUUUGGACACACCAGAUGGAACUCCUAGAUGGGUGUCAUAUGGAAUCUCAAUUUCGUCCGUUUAGAGACAGUGUUAGUUUUGGUGCAAGAUAGGUGCACGGUUUACACCUAAUGCACCAUAGGAUAAGAAACCGUUUUGGACGCACCCGAUGGUACUCCUAGGUCAAGGGGCUCAAGUGACAGCUCGGUUUGGUCUGUUUGGAGAUAGUGCUAAUCUUGAUGCAAGAUAGAUGCACGGUUUACAUGGAACAUAUGAUAUGCUCAGAAAUCAAUUAGGAGGCACCUGAUAUAACUCCUUGAUGAUGUGUGUCAUUGGAAUCUUGCUUCGGUUCGUUUAGAGACAGUGUUAGUUUUGGUAGAAGAUAUGUGCACGGUUUACGCCUAAUGCACCAUUGGCGAAGAAACCAUUUUAGACGCACCCAAUGGUACUCGUAGUGGAGGUUCGAUUUGGUCUGUUCGGAUAUAGUGCUAAUCUUAAUUCAAGAUAGUUGCAUAGUUUGCAUGAAACAUACCAUAUGUUAAGAAAUCAAUUUGGACGCACCCAAUGCAACUCCUUGACGACGUGUGUCAUAUGGAAUCUUGCUUUGGUCUAUUUGGAGACAAUGUUAGUUUCGGUGCAAGAUAGGUGCAUAGUUUGUGCCUAAUACACCAUAGUCUAAGAAACCAUUUUUGAUGCACCUGUUUGUACUCCUAGAUGAAGAGGCAAGUGGAAGCUCGGUUCGAUUUGUUUGGAGAUAGUGCUAAUCUUGAUGCAAGAUAGGUGCACGGUUUGCAUGGAACAUACCAUAUGCUUGGAAAUCAAUUUGGAUGCACCCGAUGGAACUCCUUGAUGACGUGUGUCAUACGGAAUCUCACUUUGGUUUGUUUAGAAACAGUGUUAGUUUCCGUGCAAGAUAUGUGCAUGGUUUGCGCCUAAUGCACCAUAGUCUAAGAAACCAUUUUGGACGCACUAUUUGGUACUCCUGGGUGAAGAGGCUCAAGUGGAAGCUUGGUUCGGUCAGUUUGGAGAUAGUGCUAAUCCUUAUGCAAGGUAGGUGCAUGGUUUGUAUGGAACAUACCAUAUGGUUGGAAAUCAAUUUGGAUGCACCCGAUGGAACUCCUUGAUGACGUGUGUCAUAUAGAAUCUCACUUCAGUCCAUUUGGAGACAUUGUUAGUUUCAGUGCAAGAUAGGUGCAUAGUUUGCACCUAAUGCACCAUAGUCUAAGAAACCAUUUUGGACGCACUUGUUGGUACUUCGGUGAAGGGGAUCAAGUGGAUGCUCGGUUCGGUCUGUUUGGAGAUAGUGCUAAUCUUGAUGCAAGAUAGGUGCACGGUUUGCAUGGAACAUACCAAAUGCUUGGAAAUCAAUCUGGACGCACAUGAUGGAACCCUAGAUGACGUGUGUCAUACAAAAUCUUGCUUCGGUCUGUUUGGGGACAUUGUUAGUUUCGGUGCAAGAUAGCUUGUCGAGGGUAUCAGUAAGGGGUACCCUCACCGACCCACAUAUCGAGAUUAUCCGUACGCAGGUCGAAGCCCUCAAUCGACGCCCUGGUCAUACAUGUGCGCGGUCAUCGACGACCGCAGCCUCGAAGACGGAAAUGGCGUCGAGCAAAUCGAUCAGGGGUCGAGCGCUAGCUACCGUCGAGUACAGAAGCGGGCUCGCGCAAACCGGGAGGCAUCGAGCGCAAGGACGCCGCCCGCCGCCUGACAUGCGCACGAGAGCCAGGGCAUUUAAUGCGCCUGUCGCUUUCCCACCUAACACGCUGAUCACGGGAAGCGUGAUAGGGAACAGGCACCCGUCCCGUCGUUCUUUUUGCAGCCUUCCCCACCAAACGACCCAGGGCGUGUCAGGACGCGGGAAACAGGGACGGAACGUCCAAUCAGGACCCCCUCGAGACAACCAAAGUCAGCGCUCCGGAUAUCAGGACAUAGCGUGGCGUCCGACCCUCGACCAGACCUAGUUCCUUCCUGGGGAUGAAUUGGGCAUCGACUGACAAUGCCACAACCAUUCUGCCGGAUCUGCCGCCGUGUCGUACAGGCGUGCGACUGGUGAACCAGCCCAAGACGGCGCGCAGGGCAGGUUACAGGGGCACGCGUGAUCAUCACCAGGCUACUAAGACGGGAUGGCUCGAGGUCACGCCGGUACGGAGGCCUCGAGUAGGUCAGCGCUCCAUGCUUCUAUCGACCCCUACUCUGACACCUAUACUUGUACCCUGGGUCUCUCUUUCGAGCUAUAAAAGGAAGGACCCGGGAAUAGAUAGAGGACACACGCAACACUUCACCAUACGCGGUAGGACUCCCAUACUCCAUACCACGCUUGUAUUCGCCCCUGUACAAGCACUUAGGUGCAAGAUAAUACAAGCUUCCCUCCCCCGCUGGACGUAGGGCCUUCUCUUGCCCAAACCAGGAUAAAUCUCUGUGUCUUCUUGCAUCACCAUCUGGGAAAGGGAGCACGCAUAUAAAUUUACUCGUUGGUGUGACCCCCCGUGGGGAAAACACCGACAUAGGUGCACAGUUUGCACCUAAUGCACCAUAGUCUAAGAAACCAUUUUGGAUGCACCUGUUGGUACUUCGGUGAAGAGGCUCAAGUGGAAGCUCGGUUUGAUCUGUUUGGAGAUAGUGCUAAUCUUGAUGCAAGAUAGGUGCAUGAUUUGCAAGGAACAUACCAUAUGCUUAGAAAAUCAAUUUGUACGCACCCAAUGGAACUCCUAGAUGACGUGUGUCAUAUGGAAUCUUGCUUCGGUCCAUUUGUAGACAUUGUAAGUUUUAGUGCAAGAUAGGUGCACAGUUUGUGCCUAAUUCACCAUAGUCUAAGAAACCAUUUUGGACGCACUAUUUGGUACUCCUAGGUGAAGAGGCUCAAGUGGAAGCUUGGUAUGGUCAGUUUGGAGAUAGUGCUAAUCCUUAUGCAAGGUAGGUGCAUGGUAUGCAUGGAACAUUGGAAAUCAAUUUGGAUGCACCCGAUGGAACUCCUUGAUGACGUGUGUCAUAUGGAAUCUCGCUUCGCUUCAUUUGAAGACAUUGUUAGUUUUGGUGUAAGAUAGGUGCACAGUUUGCACCAAAUGCACCAUAGUCUAAGAAACCAUUUUGUAUGCACUUGUUGGUACUCCUAGGUGAAGGGGCUCAAGCGGAUGCUCGAUUUGGUCUAUUUGGAGAUAGUGCUAAUCUUGAUCCAUGAUAGGUGCACGGUUUGCAUGGAACACACCAAAUGCUUGGAAAUCAAUCUGGACGCACAUGAUGGAACUCCCAGAUGACGUGUGUCAUACGAAAUCUCACUUCGGUCUAUUUGGAGACAGUGUUAGUUUCGGUGCAAGAUAGGUGCAAGGUUUGUACAUAAUGCAGCAUAGGCUAAGAAACCAUUUUGGACGCACCCGAUGGUACUCGUAGGUAAAAGGCUCAAGUGAAAGCUCGGUUUGGUCUAUUUCGAGAGAGUGCUAAUCUUGAUGCAAGAUAGAUGUACGGUCUGCAUGGAACAUACCAUAUGCUUAAAAAUUAAUUUGGACACACCCGAUAGAACUCCUUGAUGACGUGUGUCAUAUGGAAUCUCGCUUUAGUGUGUUUACAGACAGUAUUAGUUUUGGUGCAAGAUAUGUGCACGGUUUGCGCCUAAUGCACCAAAGUCUAAGAAACCAUUUUGGAAGUUGGUACUCCUAGGUGAAGAGGCUCAAGUGCAGGCUCGGUUUGGUCUGUUUAGAGAUAGUCCUAAUCUUGAUGCAAGAUAGUUGCACGAUUUGCAUGGAACAUACCAUAUGCUCAGAAAUCAAUUUGGACACACCAGAUGGAACUCCUAGAUGACAUGUGUCAUAUGGAAUCUCACUUCAGUCCGUUUAGAAAUAGCGUUAGUUUCGGUGCAAGAUAGGUGUACGGUUUGCACCUAAUGCACCAUAGGAUAAGAAACCAUUUUGGACGCACCCGAUGGUACUCCUAGGUCAAGGGGCUCAAGUGAAAGCUCCGUUUCGUCUGUUUAGAGAUAGUGCUAAUCUUGAUGCAAGAUAGAUGCACGGUUUGCAUGGAACAUAUGAUAUGCUCAUAAAUCAAUUUCAACGCACCUGAUAUAACUCCUUGAUGAUGUGUGUCAUAUGGAAUCUUGCUUCAGUUCGUUUCUAGACAGUGUUAGUUUUGGUAGAAGAUAUGUGCACGGUUUACGCCUAAUGCACCAUAGGCUAUGAAACCAUUUUAUACGCACCUGAUGGUACUCAUAGUUGAAGAGGCUCAAGUGGAGGCUCGAUUUGGUCUGUUCAGAUAUAGUGCUAAUCUUGAUGCAAGAUAGUUGCACAGUUUGCAUGGAACGUACCAUAUGUUAAGAAAUCAAUUUGGAUGCACCGAAUGGAACUCCUAGAUGAUGUGUGUCAUAUGGAAUCUUGCUUCGGUCUAUUUGGAGAUAAUGUUAGUUUCGGUGCAACAAAGGUGCAUAGUUUGUGCCUAAUGCACCAUAGUCGAAGAAACCAUUUUUGACGCACCUGUUUGUACUCCUAGAUGAAGAGGCUCAAGUGGAAGCUCGGUUCGGUCUGUUUGGAGAUAGUGCUAAUCUUGAUGCAAGAUAGGUGCACGGUAUGCAUGGAACAUACCAUAUGCUUGGAAAUCAAUUUGGAUGCACCCGAAGGAACUCCUUGAUGACGUGUGUCAUAUGGAAUCUCGCUUUGGUCUGUUUAGAAACAGUAUUAGUUUCUGUGCAAGAUAUGUGCAUGGUUUGCGCCUAAUGCACCAUAGUCUAAGAAACCAUUUUGGAUGCACCUGUUGGUACUUCGGUGAAGAGGCUCAAGUGGAAGCUCGGUUUGAUCUGUUUGGAGAUAGUGCUAAUCUUGAUGCAAGAUAAGUGCAUGAUUUGCAAGGAACAUACCAUAUGCUUAGAAAAUCAAUUUGUACGCACCCAAUGGAACUCCUAGAUGACGUGUGUCAUAUGGAAUCUUGCUUCGGUCCAUUUGUAGACAUUGUAAGUUUUAGUGCAAGAUAGGUGCACAGUUUGUGCCUAAUUCACCAUAGUCUAAGAAACCAUUUUGGACGCACUAUUUGGUACUCCUAGGUGAAGAGGCUCAAGUGAAAGCUUGGUAUGGUCAGUUUGGAGAUAGUGCUAAUCCUUAUGCAAGGUAGGUGCAUGGUAUGCAUGGAACAUUGGAAAUCAAUUUGGAUGCACCCGAUGGAACUCCUUGAUGACGUGUGUCAUAGGGAAUGUCGCUUCGGUUCAUUUGAAGACAUUGUUAGUUUUGGUGUAAGAUAGGUGCACAGUUUGCACCAAAUGCACCAUAGUCUAAGAAACCAUUUUGUAUGCACUUGUUGGUACUCCUAGGUGAAGGGGCUCAAGCGGAUGCUCGAUUUGGUCUAUUUGGAGAUAGUGCUAAUCUUGAUCCAUGAUAGGUGCACGGUUUGCAUGGAACACACCAAAUGCUUGGAAAUCAAUCUGGACGCACAUGAUGGAACUCCUAGAUGACGUGUGUCAUACGAAAUCUCACUUCGGUCUAUUUGGAGACAGUGUUAGUUUCGGUGCAAGAUAGGUGCAAGGUUUGUACAUAAUGCAGCAUAGGCUAAGAAACCAUUUUGGACGCACCCGAUGGUACUCGUAGGUAAAAGGCUCAAGUGAAAGCUCGGUUUGGUCUAUUUCGAGAGAGUGCUAAUCUUGAUGCAAGAUAGAUGUACGGUCUGCAUGGAACAUACCAUAUGCUUAAAAAUUAAUUUGGACACACCCGAUAGAACUCCUUGAUGACGUGUGUCAUAUGGAAUCUCGCUUUAGUGUGUUUACGGACAGUAUUAGUUUUGGUGCAACAUAUGUGCACGGUUUGCGUCUAAUGCACCAAAGUCUAAGAAACCAUUUUGGAAGUUGGUACUCCUAGGUGAAGAGGCUCAAGUGCAGGCUCGGUUUGGUCUGUUUAGAGAUAGUCCUAAUCUUGAUGCAAGAUAGUUGCACGAUUUGCAUGGAACAUACCAUAUGCUCAGAAAUCAAUUUGGACACACCAGAUGGAACUCCUAGAUGACAUGUGUCAUAUGGAAUCUCACUUCAGUCCGUUUAGAAAUAGCGUUAGUUUCGGUGCAAGAUAGGUGCACGGUUUGCACCUAAUGCACCAUAGGAUAAGAAACCAUUUUGGACGCACCCGAUGGUACUCCUAGGUCAAGGGGCUCAAGUGAAAGCUCCGUUUCGUCUGUUUAGAGAUAGUGCUAAUCUUGAUGCAAGAUAGAUGCACGGUUUGCAUGGAACAUAUGAUAUGCUCAGAAAUCAAUUUGAACGCACCUGAUAUAACUCCUUGAUGAUGUGUGUCAUAUGGAAUCUUGCUUCAGUUCAUUUCUAGACAAUGUUAGUUUUGGUAGAAGAUAUGUGCACGGUUUACGCCUAAUGCACCAUAGGCUAUGAAACCAUUUUAUACGCACCUGAUGGUGCUCAUAGUUGAAGAGGCUCAAGUGGAGGCUCGAUUUGGUCUGUUCAGAUAUAGUGCUAAUCUUGAUGCAAGAUAGUUGCACAGUUUGCAUGGAACGUACCAUAUGUUAAGAAAUCAAUUUGGACGCACCCAAUGGAACUCCUAGAUGAUGUGUGUCAUAUGGAAUCUUGCUUCUGUCUAUUUGGAGAUAAUGUUAGUUUCGGUGCAACAAAGGUGCAUAGUUUGUGCCUAAUGCACCAUAGUCGAAGAAACCAUUUUUGACGCACCUGUUUGUACUCCUAGAUGAAGAGGCUCAAGUGGAAGCUCGGUUCGGUCUGUUUGGAGAUAGUGCUAAUCUUGAUGCAAGAUAGGUGCACGGUAUGCAUGGAACAUACCAUAUGCUUGGAAAUCAAUUUGGAUGCACCCGAUGGAACUCAUUGAUGACGUGUGUCAUAUGGAAUCUCGCUUUGGUCUGUUUAGAAACAGUAUUAGUUUCUGUGCAAGAUAUGUGCAUGGUUUGCGCCUAAUGCACCAUAGUCUAAGAAACCAUUUUGGAUGCACCUGUUGGUACUUCGGUGAAGAGGCUCAAGUGGAAGCUCGGUUUGAUCUGUUUGGAGAUAGUGCUAAUCUUGAUGCAAGAUAAGUGCAUGAUUUGCAAGGAACAUACCAUAUGCUUAGAAAAUCAAUUUGUACGCACCCAAUGGAACUCCUAGAUGACGUGUGUCAUAUGGAAUCUUGCUUCGGUCCAUUUGUAGACAUUGUAAGUUUUAGUGCAAGAUAGGUGCACAGUUUGUGCCUAAUUCACCAUAGUCUAAGAAACCAUUUUGGACGCACUAUUUGGUACUCUUAGGUGAAGAGGCUCAAGUGAAAGCUUGGUAUGGUCAGUUUGGAGAUAGUGCUAAUCCUUUUGCAAGGUAGGUGCAUGGUAUGCAUGGAACAUUGGAAAUCAAUUUGGAUGCACCCGAUGGAACUCCUUGAUGACGUGUGUCAUAUGGAAUGUCGCUUCGGUUCAUUUGAAGACAUUGUUAGUUUUGGUGUAAGAUAGGUGCACAGUUUGCACCAAAUGCACCAUAGUCUAAGAAACCAUUUUGUAUGCACUUGUUGGUACUCCUAGGUGAAGGGGCUCAAGUGGAUGCUCGAUUUGGUCUAUUUGGAGAUAGUGCUAAUCUUGAUCCAUGAUAGGUGCACGGUUUGCAUGGAACAUACCAAAUGCUUGGAAAUCAAUCUGGACGCACAUGAUGGAACUCCUAGAUGACGUGUGUCAUACGAAAUCUCACUUCGGUCUAUUUGGAGACAGUGUUAGUUUCGGUGCAAGAUAGGUGCAAGGUUUGUACAUAAUGCAGCAUAGGCUAAGAAACCAUUUUGGACGCACCCGAUGGUACUCGUAGGUAAAAGGCUCAAGUGAAAGCUCGGUUUGGUCUAUUUCGAGAGAGUGCUAAUCUUGAUGCAAGAUAGAUGUACGGUCUGCAUGGAACAUACCAUAUGCUUAAAAAUUAAUUUGGACACACCCGAUAGAACUCCUUGAUGACGUGUGUCAUAUGGAAUCUCGAUUUAGUGUGUUUACAGACAGUAUUAGUUUUGGUGCAAGAUAUGUGCACGGUUUGCGCCUAAUGCACCAAAGUCUAAGAAACCAUUUUGGAAGUUGGUACUCCUAGGUGAAGAGGCUCAAGUGCAGGCUCGGUUUGGUCUGUUUAGAGAUAGUCCUAAUCUUGAUGCAAGAUAGUUGCACGAUUUGCAUGGAACAUACCAUAUGCUCAGAAAUCAAUUUGGACACACCAGAUGGAACUCCUAGAUGACAUGUGUCAUAUGGAAUCUCACUUCAGUCCGUUUAGAAAUAGCGUUAGUUUCGGUGCAAGAUAGGUGCACGGUUUGCACCUAAUGCACCAUAGGAUAAGAAACCAUUUUGGACGCACCCGAUGGUACUCCUAGGUCAAGGGGCUCAAGUGAAAGCUCCGUUUCGUCUGUUUAGAGAUAGUGCUAAUCUUGAUGCAAGAUAGAUGCACGGUUUGCAUGGAACAUAUGAUAUGCUCAGAAAUCAAUUUGAACGCACCUGAUAUAACUCCUUGAUGAUGUGUGUCAUAUGGAAUCUUGCUUCAGUUCGUUUCUAGACAGUGUUAGUUUUGGUAGAAGAUAUGUGCACGGUUUACGCCUAAUGCACCAUAGGCUAUGAAACCAUUUUAUACGCACCUGAUGGUACUCAUAGUUGAAGAGGCUCAAGUGGAGGCUCGAUUUGGUCUGUUCAGAUAUAGUGCUAAUCUUGAUGCAAGAUAGUUGCACAGUUUGCAUGGAACGUACCAUAUGUUAAGAAAUCAAUUUGGACGCACCCAAUGGAACUCCUAGAUGAUGUGUGUCAUAUGGAAUCUUGCUUCGGUCUAUUUGGAGAUAAUGUUAGUUUCGGUGCAACAAAGGUGCAUAGUUUGUGCCUAACGCACCAUAGUCGAAGAAACCAUUUUUGACGCACCUGUUUGUACUCCUAGAUGAAGAGGCUCAAGUGGAAGCUCGGUUCGGUCUGUUUGGAGAUAGUGCUAAUCUUGAUGCAAGAUAGGUGCACGGUAUGCAUGGAACAUACCAUAUGCUUGGAAAUCAAUUUGGAUGCACCCGAUGGAACUCCUUGAUGACGUGUGUCAUAUGGAAUCUCGCUUUGGUCUGUUUAGAAACAGUAUUAGUUUCUGUGCAAGAUAUGUGCAUGGUUUGCGCCUAAUGCACCAUAGUCUAAGAAACCAUUUUGGAUGCACCUGUUGGUACUUCGGUGAAGAGGCUCAAGUGGAAGCUCGGUUUGAUCUGUUUGGAGAUAGUGCUAAUCUUGAUGCAAGAUAAGUGCAUGAUUUGCAAGGAACAUAUCAUAUGCUUAGAAAAUCAAUUUGUACGCACCCAAUGGAACUCCUAGAUGACGUGUGUCAUAUGGAAUCUUGCUUCGGUCCAUUUGUAGACAUUGUAAGUUUUAGUGCAAGAUAGGUGCACAGUUUGUGCCUAAUUCACCAUAGUCUAAGAAACCAUUUUGGACGCACUAUUUGGUACUCCUAGGUGAAGAGGCUCAAGUGAAAGCUUGGUAUGGUCAGUUUGGAGAUAGUGCUAAUCCUUAUGCAAGGUAGGUGCAUGGUAUGCAUGGAACAUUGGAAAUCAAUUUGGAUGCACCCGAUGGAACUCCUUGAUGACGUGUGUCAUAUAGAAUUUCGCUUCGGUUCAUUUGAAGACAUUGUUAGUUUUGGUGUAAGAUAGGUGCACAGUUUGCACCAAAUGCACCAUAGUCUAAGAAACCAUUUUGUAUGCACUUGUUGGUACUCCUAGGUGAAGGGGCUCAAGUGGAUGCUCGAUUUGGUCUAUUUGGAGAUAGUGCUAAUCUUGAUCCAUGAUAGGUGCACGGUUUGCAUGGAACACACCAAAUGCUUGGAAAUCAAUCUGGACGCACAUGAUGGAACUCCUAGAUGACGUGUGUCAUACGAAAUCUCACUUCGGUCUAUUUGGAGACAGUGUUAGUUUCGGUGUAAGAUAGGUGCAAGGUUUGUACAUAAUGCAGCAUAGGCUAAGAAACCAUUUUGGACGCACCCGAUGGUACUCGUAGGUAAAAGGCUCAAGUGAAAGCUCGGUUUGGUCUAUUUCGAGAGAGUGCUAAUCUUGAUGCAAGAUAGAUGUACGGUCUGCAUGGAACAUACCAUAUGCUUAAAAAUUAAUUUGGACACACCCGAUAGAACUCCUUGAUGACGUGUGUCAUAUGGAAUCUCGAUUUAGUGUGUUUACAGACAGUAUUAGUUUUGGUGCAAGAUAUGUGCACGGUUUGCGCCUAAUGCACCAAAGUCUAAGAAACCAUUUUGGAAGUUGGUACUCCUAGGUGAAGAGGCUCAAGUGCAGGCUCGGUUUGGUCUGUUUAGAGAUAGUCCUAAUCUUGAUGCAAGAUAGUUGCACGAUUUGCAUGGAACAUACCAUAUGCUCAGAAAUCAAUUUGGACACACCAGAUGGAACUCCUAGAUGACAUGUGUCAUAUGGAAUCUCACUUCAGUCCGUUUAGAAAUAGCGUUAGUUUCGGUGCAAGAUAGGUGCACGGUUUGCACCUAAUGCACCAUAGGAUAAGAAACCAUUUUGGACGCACCCGAUGGUACUCCUAGGUCAAGGGGCUCAAGUGAAAGCUCCAUUUCGUCUGUUUAGAGAUAGUGCUAAUCUUGAUGCAAGAUAGAUGCACGGUUUGCAUGGAACAUAUGAUAUGCUCAGAAAUCAAUUUGGACGCACCUGAUAUAACUCCUUGAUGAUGUGUGUCAUAUGGAAUCUUGCUUCAGUUCGUUUCUAGACAGUGUUAGUUUUGGUAGAAGAUAUGUGCACGGUUUACGCCUAAUGCACCAUAGGCUAUGAAACCAUUUUAUACGCACCUGAUGGUACUCAUAGUUGAAGAGGCUCAAGUGGAGGCUCGAUUUGGUCUGUUCAGAUAUAGUGCUAAUCUUGAUGCAAGAUAGUUGCACAGUUUGCAUGGAACGUACCAUAUGUUAAGAAAUCAAUUUGGACGCACCCAAUGGAACUCCUAGAUGAUGUGUGUCAUAUGGAAUCUUGCUUCGGUCUAUUUGGAGACAUUGUUAGUUUCGGUGCAACAAAGGUGCAUAGUUUGUGCCUAAUGCACCAUAGUCGAAGAAACCAUUUUUGACGCACCUGUUUGUACUCCUAGAUGAAGAGGCUCAAGUGGAAGCUCGGUUCGGUCUGUUUGGAGAUAGUGCUAAUCUUGAUGCAAGAUAGGUGCACGGUAUGCAUGGAACAUACCAUAUGCUUGGAAAUCAAUUUGGAUGCACCCGAUGGAACUCCUUGAUGACGUGUGUCAUAUGGAAUCUCGCUUUGGUCUGUUUAGAAACAGUGUUAGUUUCGGUGCAAGAGAUGUGCAUGGUUUGUGCCUAAUGCACCAUAGUUUAAGAAACCAUUUUGAAACCACCUGUUGGUACUUUGUUGAAGAGGCUCAAGUGGAAGCUCAGUUUGAUCUGUUUGGAGAUAGUGCUAAUCUUGGUGCAAGAUAGGUGCAUGAUUUGCAAGGAACAUACCAUAUGCUUAGAAAUCAAUUUGGACGCACCCAAUGGAACUCCUAGUUGACGUGUGUCAUAUGGAAUCUUGCUUCGGUCCAUUUGUAGACAUUGUAAGUUUUAGUGCAAGAUAGGUGCACAGUUUGCGCCUAAUGCACCGUAGUCUAAGAAACCAUUUUGGACGCACUAUUUGGUACUCCUGGGUGAAGAGGCUCAAGUGGAAGCUUGGUUCAGUCAGUUUGGAGAUAGUGCUAAUCCUUAUGCAAGGUAGGUGCAUGGUUUGCAUGGAACAUACCAUAUGGUUGGAAAUCAAUUUGGAUGCACCCGAUGGAACUCAUUGAUGACGUGUGUCAUAUGGAAUCUCGCUUCGGUCCAUUUGGAGACAUUGCUAGUUUCGGUGCAAGAUAGGUGCACAGUUUGCACCUAAUGCACCACAGUCUAAGAAACCAUUUUGGACGCACUUGUUGGUACUCCUAGGUGAAGGGGCUCAAGUGGAUGCUCGGUUCGGUCUGUUUGGAGAUAGUGCUAACUUUGAUGCAAGAUAGGUGCACGGUUUGCAUGGAACAUACCAAAUACUUGAAAAUUAAUCUGGACGCACAUGAUGGAACUCCUAGAUGACGUGUGUCAUACGAAAUCUUGCUUCGGUCUAUUUGGAGACAGUGUUAGUUUUGGUGCAAGAUAGGUGCAAGGGCACAUAAUGCAGCCUAGGCUAAGAAACCAUUUUGGACGCACCCGAUGGUACUCCUAGGUAAAAGGCUCAAGUGAAAGCUCGGUUUGCUCUAUUUGGAGUUAGUGCUAAACUUGAUGCAAGAUAGAUGCAUGGUCUGCAUGAACGUACCAUAUGCUCAGAAAUUAAUUUGGACACACCCGAUAGAACUCUUUCAUGAACAGUUUGCGCCUAAAGCACCAUAGUCUAAGAAACCAUUUUGGACACACUAUUUGGUACUCCUGGGUGAAGAGGCUCAAGUGGAAGCUUGGUUCGGUCUGUUUGGAGAUACUGCUAAUCCUUAUGCAAGGUAGGUGCAUGGUUUGCAUGGAACAUACCGUAUGCUUGCAGAUCAAUUUGGAUGCACCCGAUGGAACUCCUUGAUGACGUGUGUCAUAUGGAAUCUCGCUUCGGUCCAUUUGGAGACAUUGUUAGUUUUGGUGCAAGAUAGGUGCACAGUUUGCGCCUAAUGCACCAAAGUCUAAGAAACCAUUUCGGAAGCACCUGUUGGUACUCCUAGAUGAAGAGGCUCAAGUGGAGGCUCGGUUCGGUCUGUUUAGAGAUAGUGCUAAUCUUAAUGCAAGAUACGAGCACGAUUUGCAUGGAACAUACCAUAUGCUCAGAAAUCAAUUUGGACACACCAGAUGGAACUCCUCGAUGACAUGUGUGAUUUGGAAUCUCACUUCGGUCCAUUUAGAGACUGUGUUAGUUUCGGUGCAAGAUAGGUGCACGGUUUGCACCUAAUGCACCAUAGGAUAAGAAACCAUUUUGGAUGCACCUGUUGGUACUCCUAGGUCACGGGGCUCAAGUGAAAGCUCGGUUUGGUCUGUUUGGAGAUAGUGCUAAUCUUGAUGCAAGAUAGAUGCAUGGUUUGCAUAGAACAUACGAUAUGCUCAUAAAUCAAUUAGGACGCACCUGAUAUAACUCCUUGAUGAUGUGUGUCAUAUGGAAUCUUACUUCGGUUCAUUUAGAGACAGUGCUAGUUUUGGUAGAAGAUAUGUGCAUGGUUUACGCCUAAUGCACCAUAGGCUAAGAAACCAUUUUAGACACACCCGAUAGUACUCGUAGUUGAAGAGGCUCCAGUGGAGGCUCGAUUUGAUUUGUUCGGAUAAAGUGCUAAUCUUGAUGCAAUAUAGUUGCACAGUUUGCAUGGCAUGUACCAUAUGUUAAGAAAUAAAUUUGGACGCACCCAAUGGAACUCCUAGAUGACGUGUGUCAUAUGGAAUCUCGCUUCGGUCUGUUUGGAGACAAUGAUAGUUUUGGUGCAAGAUAGGUGCACAGUUUGCACCUAAUGCACCAUAGUCUAAGAAACCAUUUUGGAUGCACUUGUUGGUACUCUCAAGUGGAUGCUCGGUUCGAUCUAUUUGGAGAUAGUGCUAAUCUUGAUUCAAGACAGGUGCACGGUUUGCAUGGAACAUACCAUAUCCUUGGAAAUCAAUUUGGAUGCACCCAAUGGAACUCCUUGAUGAUGUGUGUCAUAUGGAAUCUCGCUUUGGUCUGUUUAGAAACAGUGUUAGUUUCAGUGCAAGUUAUGUGCAUAAUUUGUGCCUAAUGUACCAUAGUCUAAGAAACCAUUUUGGAAGCACCUAUUGGUACUUCGGCGAAGAGGCUCAAGUGGAAGCUCAGUUUGAUCUAUUUGGAGAUAGUGCUAAUAUUGAUGCAAGAUAGGUGCAUGAUUUGCAAGGAACAUACCAUAUGCUUAGAAAUCAAUUUGGACGCACCCAAUGAAACUCCUAGAUGACGUGUGUCAUAUGGAAUCCUGCUUCUGUAGACAUUGUAAGUUUUAGUGCAAGAUAGGUGCAUAGUUUGCGCCUAAUGCACCAUAGUCUAAGAGACCAUUUUGGACGCACUAUUUGGUACUCCUGGGUGAAGAUGCUCAAGUGAAAGCUUGGUUUGGUCAGUUUGGAGAUAGUGCUAAUCGUUAUGCAAGGUAGGUGCAUGGUUUGCAUGGAACAUACCAUAUGCUUGGAAAUCAAUUUGGAUGCACCCGAUGGAACUCCUUGAUGACGUGUGUCAUAUGGAAUCUCGCUUCGGUCCAUUUGGACACAUUAUUAGUUUCGGUGUAAGAUAGGUGCACAGUUUGCACCUAAUGCACCAUAGUCUAAGAAACCAUUUUGUAAGCACUUGUUGGUACUCCUAGGUGAAGGGGCUCAAGUGGAUGCCCGGUUUGGUCUGUUUGGAGAUAGUGCUAAUCAGGAUCCAAGAUAGGUGCACGGUUUGCAUGGAACAUACCAAAUGCUUGGAAAUCAAUCUAGAUGCACAUGAUGGAACUCCUAGAUGACGAGUGUCAUACGAAAUCUUGCUUCGGUCUAUUUGCAGACAAUGUUAGUUUCGGUGCAACAUAGGUGCAAGGUUUGUACAUAAUGCAGCAUAGGCUAAGAAACCAUUUUGGACGCACCCGAUGGUACUCCUAGGUAAAAGGCUCAAGUGGAGGCUCGGUUCAGUCUGUUUAGAGAUAGUCCUAAUCUUGAUGCAAGAUAGGUGCACGAUUUACAUGGAACAUACCAUAUGCUCAGAAAUCAAUUUGGACACACCAGAUGGAACUCCUAGAUGACAUGUGUCAUAUGGAAUCUCACUUCAGUUCGUUUAGAGACAGCGUUAGUUUCGGUACAAGAUAGGUGCACGGUUUGCACCUAAUGCACCAUAGGAUAAGAAACCAUUUUGGACGCACCCGAUGGUACUCCUAGUUCAAGGGGCUCAAGUGAAAGCUCGGUUUGGUCUGUUUGGAGAUAGUGCUAAUCUUGAUGCAAGAUAGAUGCACGGUUUGCAUGGAACAUAUGAUAUGCUCAGAAAUCAAUUAGGACGCAACAGAUAUAACUCCUUGAUGAUGUGUGUCAUAUGGAAUCUUGCUUCGGUUCGUUUAGAGACAGUGUCAGUGUUGGUAGAAGAUAUGUGCACGGUUUACGCCUAAUGCACCAUAGGCUAAGAAAACAAUUUUAGACGCACCCGAUGGUACUCAUAGUUGAAAAGGCUCAAGUGGAGGCUCGAUUUGGUUUGUUCAGAUAUAGUGCUAAUCUUGUUGCAAGAUAGUUGCACAGUUUGCAUGGAACGUACCAUAUGUUAAGAAAUCAAUUUGGACGCACCUAAUGGAACUCCUAGAUGAUGUGUGUCAUAUGGAACCUCACUUUGGUGUGUUUAGAGACAAUGUUAGUUUCGGUGCAAGAUAGGUGCAUAGUUUGUGCCUAAUGCACCAGUCUAAGAAACCAUUUUUGACACACCUGUUUGUACUCCUAGAUGAAGAGGCUCAAGUGGAAGCUCGGUUCGGUCUGUUUGGAGAUAGUGCUAACAUUGAUGCAAGAUUGGUGCAUGGUUUGCACGGAACAUACCAUAUGCUUGGAAAUCAAUUUAGAUGCACCCGAUGGAACUCCUUGAUGACGUGUGUCAUAUGGAAUCUUGCUUUGGUCUGUUUAGAAACAGUGUUAGUUUCGGUGCAAUAUAUGUGCAUGGUUUGCGCCUAAUGCACCAUAGUCUAAGAAACCAUUUUGGAAGCACCUGUUGGUACUUCGAUGAAGAGGCUCAAGUGGAAGCUCGGUUUGAUCUGUUUGGAGAUAGUGCUAAUCUUGGUGCAAGAUUGGUGCAUGAUUUGCAAGGAACAUACCAUGUGGUUAGAAAUCAAUUUGGACGCACCCAAUGGAACUCCUAGAUGACGUGUAUCAUAUGGAAUCUUGCUUCGGUCCGUUUGUAGACAUUGUAAGUUUUAGUGCAAGAUAGGUGCACAGUUUGUUCCUAAUGCACCAUAGUCUAAGAAACCAUUUUGGACACACUAUUUGUUACUCCAUGGUGAAGAGGCUCAAGUGGAAGCUUGGUUUGGUCAGUUUGGAGAUAGUGCUAAUCCUUAUGCAAGGUAGGUGCAUGGUUUGCAUGGAACAUUGGAAAUCAAUUUGGAUGCACCCGAUGGAACUCCUUGAUGACGUGUGUCAUAUGAAAUCUCGCUUCGGUCCAUUUGGAGACAUUGUUAGUUUUGGUGUAAGAUAGGUGCACAGUUUGCACCAAUGCACCAUAGUCUAAGAAACCAUUUUGUAUGCACUUGUUGGUACUCCUAGGUGAAGGGCUCAAGUGGAUGCUCGGCUUGGUCUGUUUGGAGAUAGAGCUAAUCUUGAUCCAAGAUAGGUGCACGGUUUGCAUAGAACGUACCAAAUGCUUGGAAAUCAAUCUGGACACACAUGAUGGAACUCCUAAAUGAUGUGUGUCAUAUGAAAUCUUGCUUCGGUCUGUUUGGAGACAGUGUUAGUUACGGUGCAAGAUCUGUGCAAGGUUUGUACAUAAUGCAGCAUAGGCUAAGAAACCAUUUUGGACGCACCCGAUGGUACUCCUAGGUAAAGGCUCAAGUGAAAGCUCGGUUUGGUCUAUUUGGAGAGAGUGUUAAUCUUGAUGCAAGAUAGAUGCAUAGUCUGCAUGGAACGUACCAUAUGCUUAAAAAUUAAUUUGGACACACCCGAUAGAACUCCUUGAUGACGUGUGUCAUAUGGAAUCUCGCUUUGGUGUGCUUAGAGACAGUAUUAGUUUUGGUGCAAGAUAUGUGCACGGUUUGCGCCUAAUGCACCAAAGUCUAAGAAACCAUUUUGGCAGCACCUGUUGGUACUCCUAGGUGAAGAGGCUCCAGUGGAGGCUCGGUUUGGUCUGUUUAGAGAUAGUCCUAAUCUUGAUGCAAGAUAGGUGCACGAUUUAAAUGAAACAUACCAUAUGUUCAGAAAUCAAUUUGGACACACCAGAUGGAACUCCUAGAUGACAUGUGUCAUAUGGAAUCUCACUUCGGUCCAUUUAGAGACAGCGUUAGUUUCGGUGCAAGAUAUGCACCAUAGGAUAGGAAACCAUUUUGGACGCACCCGAUGGUACUCUUAGGUCAAGGGGCUCAAGUGAAAGCUCUGUUUUGUCUGUUUGGAGAUAGUGCUAAUCUUGAUGCAAGAUAGAUGCACGAUUUGCAUGGAACAUAUGAUAUGCUCAGAAAUCAAUUAGGACGCACCUGAUAUAACUCCUUGAUGAUGUUUGUCAUAUGGAAUCUUGCUUCGGUUCGUUUAGAGACAGUGUCAGUGUUGGUAGAAGAUAUGUGCACGGUUUAUGCCUAAUGCACCAUAGGCUAAGAAACAAUUUUAGACGCACCCGAUGGUACUCAUAGUUGAAAAGGCUCAAGUGGAGGCUCGAUUUGGUCUGUUUAGAUAUAGUGCUAAUCUUGAUGCAAGAUAGUUGCACAGUUUGCAUGGAACGUAUCAUAUGUUAAGAAAUCAAAUUGGAAGCACCUAAUGGAACUCCUAGAUGAUGUGUGUCAUAUGGAACCUCACUUUGGUGUGUUUAGAGAUAAUGUUAGUUUCGGUGCAAGAUAGGUGCAUAGUUCGUGCCUAAUGCACCAGUCUAAGAAACCAUUUUUGACGCACCUGUUUGUACUCCUAGAUGAAGAGGCUCAAGUGGAAGCUCGGUUCGGUCUGUUUGGAGAUAGUGCUAACAUUGAUGCAAGAUUGGUGCACGGUUUGCAUGGAACAUACCAUAUGCUCAGAAAUCAAUUUGGACGCACUAGAUGGAACUCCUAGAUGACAUGUGUAUGGAAUCUCACUUCGGUCUGUUUAGAGAAAGUGUUAGUUUCGGUGCAAGAUAGGUGCACUGUUUGCACCUAAUGCACCAUAGGAGAAGAAACCAUUUUGGACACACCCGAUGGUACUCCUAGGUCAAGGGGAUCAAGUGAAAGCUCGGUUUGGUCUGUUUGGAGAUAGUGCUAAUCUUGAUGCAAGAUAGAUGCACGGUUUGCAUGGAACAUACGAUAUGCUCAAAAAUCAAUUAGUCGCACCUGAUAUAACUCCUUGAUGAUGUGUGUCAUAUGGUAUCUUGCUUCGGUUCGUUUAGAUACAGUGUUAGUUUUGGUAGAACAUAUGUGCACGGUUUAUGCCUAGGCUAAGAAAUCAUUUUAGACGCACGCGAUGGUACUCGUAGUUGAAGAGGCUCAAGUGGAGGCUCGAUUUGGUCUGUUCACAUAUAGUGCUAAUCUUGAUGCAAGAUGGUUGCACAGUUUGUAUGGAACGUACCAUAUGUUAUGAAAUCAAUUUGGACGCACCCAAUGGAACUCCUAGAUGACGGUGUCAUAUGGAAUCUCGCUUCGGUCUGUUUGGAGACAAUGUUAGUUUCGGUGCAAGAUAGGUGCAUAGUUUGUGCCUAAUGCACCAUAGUCUAAGAAACCAUUUGUGACGCACCUGUUGGUACUCCUAGAUCAAGAGGCUCAAGUGGAAGCUCGGUUCGGUCUUUCUAGAGAUAGUGCUAAUCUUCAUGCAAGAUAGGUGCACGGUUUGCAUGGAACAUAACAUAUGCUUGGAAAUCAAUUUGGAUGCACCCGGUGGAACUCCUUGAUGAUGUGUGUCAUAUGGAAUCUCACUUCGGUCCGUUUAGAGACAGUGUUAGUUUCGGUGUAAGGUUGGUGCACAAUUUGCACCUAAUGCACCAUAGGAUAAGAAACCAUUUUGGACACACCCGAUGGUACUCCUAGGUCAAGGGGCUCAAGUGAAAGCUCGGUUUGGUCUGCUUGGAGAUAGUGCUAAUCUUAAUGCAAGAUAGAUGCAUGGUUUGCAUGGAACAUACGAUAUGCUUAGAAGUCAAUUAGGACGCACCUGAUAUAACUACUUGAUGAUGUGUGUCAUAUGGAAUCUUGCUUCGGUUUAUUUAGAGACAGUGUUAGCUUUGGUAGAAGAUAUGUGCACGGUUUACGCCUAAUGCACCAUAGGCUAAGAAACCAUUUUAGACGCACCUGAUGGUACUCGCAGUUGAAGAGGCUCAAGUGGAGGCUCGAUUUGGUCUGUUCGGAUAUAGUGCUAAUCUUGAUGCAAGAUAGUUGCACAGUUUGCAUGGAACGUACCAUAUGUUAAGAAAUCAAUUUGGACGAACCCAAUGGAACUCUUAGAUGACUUGUGUCAUAUGAAAUCUCGCUUCAUUCUGUUUGGUGAUAAUGAUAGUUUUGGUGCAAGAUAGGUGCAUAGUUUGUGCCUAAUGCACCAUAGUUUGAGAAACCAUUUUUGACGCACCUGUUUGUACUCCUAGAUGAAGAGGCUCAAGUGGAAGCUUGGUUCGGUCUGUUUGGAGAUUGUGCUAAUCUUGAUGCAAGAUAGGUGCACGUUUUGCAUGGAACAUACCAUAUGCUUGGAAAUCAAUUUGGAUGCACCCGAUCAAACUCCUUGAUGACAUGUGUCAUAUGGAAUCUUGCUUUGGUCUGUUCAGAAACAGUGUUAGUUUCGAUGCAAGAUAUGUGUGCAUGGUUUGCGCCUAAUGCACCUUAGUCUAAGAAAUCAUUUUGGAAGCACCUGCUAGUACUUCCAUGAAGAGGCUCAAGUAGAAGCUUGGUUUGAUCUGUUUGGAGAUAGUGCUAAUCUUGAUGCAAGAUAGGUGCAUGAUUUGCAAGGAACAUACCAUAUGCUUAGAAAAAAAUUUGGACGCACCCAAUGGAACUCCUAGAUAACGUGUGUCAUAUGGAAUCUUUCUGCGGUCCGUUUGUAGACAUUGUAAGUUUUAGUGCAAGAUAGGUGCACAGUUUGCGCAUAAUGCACCAUAGUCUAAGAAACCAUUUUGGACGCACUAUUUGGUACUCCUGGGUGAAGGGGCUCAAGUGGAUGCUCGGUUUGGUCUAUUUGGAGAUAGUGCUAAUCUUGAUGCAAGAUAGGUACACGGUUUGCAUGGAACAUACCAAAUGCUUGGAAAUCAAUCUGGACGAACAUGAUGGAACUCCUAGAUGACGUGUGUCAUACAAAAUCUUGCUUCGGUCUGUUUGGAGAUAGUGUUAGUUUCGGUGCAAGAUAGGUGCAAGGUUUGCAUAUAAUGCAGCAUAGGCUAAGAAACCAUUUUGGACGCACCCGAUGGUACUCCUAGGUAAAAGGCUCAAGUGGAAGCUUGGUUUUGUCUAUUUUGAGAUAGUACUAAUCUUGAUGCAAGAUAGAUGCAUGGUCUACAUGGAACGUACCAUAUGGUUAGAAAUUAAUUUGGACACACCCGAUAGAACUCCUUGAUGACGUGUGUCAUAUGGAAUCUCGCUUUGGUGUGCUUAGAGACAGUAUUAGUUUCGGAGAAGAUAUGUGCACGGUUUGCGCCUAAUGCACCAAAGUCUAAGAAACCAUUUUGGAAGCACCUGUUGGUACUCCUAGGUGAAGAUUCUGAAGUGGAGGCUCGGUUCGAUCUAUUUAGAGAUAGUGCUAAUCUUGAUGCAAGAUAGGUGCACGAUUUGCAUGGAACAUACCAUAUGCUCAGAAAUCAAUUUCGACGCACCACAUGGAACUCCUAAAUGACAUGUGUCAUAUGGAAUCUUGCUUUGGUCUGUUCAGAAACAGUGUUAGUUUCGAUGCAAGAUAUGUGUGCAUGGUUUGCGCCUAAUGCACCAUAGUCUAAGAAAUCAUUUUGGAAGCACCUGCUAGUACUUCCUUGAAGAGGCUCAAGUAGAAGCUUGGUUUGAUCUGUUUGGAGAUAGUGCUAAUCUUGAUGCAAGAUAGGUGCAUGAUUUGCAAGGAACAUACCAUAUGCUUAGAAAUAAAUUUGGACGCACCCAAUGGAACUCCUAGAUAACGUGUGUCAUAUAGAAUCUUUCUGCGGUCCGUUUGUAGACAUUGUAAGUUUUAGUGCAAGAUAGGUGCACAGUUUGCGCCUAAUGCACCAUAGUCUAAGAAACCAUUUUGGACGCACUAUUUGGUACUCCUGGGUGAAGGGGCUCAAGUGGAUGCUCGGUUUGGUCUAUUUGGAGAUAGUGCUAAUCUUGAUGCAAGAUAGGUACACGGUUUGCAUGGAACAUACCAAAUGCUUGGAAAUCAAUCUGGACGAACAUGAUGGAACUCCUAGAUGACGUGUGUCAUACAAAAUCUUGCUUCGGUCUGUUUGGAGAUAGUGUUAGUUUCGGUGCAAGAUAGGUGCAAGGUUUGCAUAUAAUGCAGCAUAGGCUAAGAAACCAUUUUGGACGCACCCGAUGGUACUCCUAGGUAAAAGGCUCAAGUGGAAGCUUGGUUUUGUCUAUUUUGAGAUAGUACUAAUCUUGAUGCAAGAUAGAUGCAUGGUCUACAUGGAACGUACCAUAUGGUUAGAAAUUAAUUUGGACACACCCGAUAGAACUCCUUGAUGACGUGUGUCAUAUGGAAUCUCGCUUUGGUGUGCUUAGAGACAGUAUUAGUUUCGGAGAAGAUAUGUGCACGGUUUGCGCCUAAUGCACCAAAGUCUAAGAAACCAUUUUGGAAGCACCUGUUGGUACUCCUAGGUGAAGAUUCUCAAGUGGAGGCUCGGUUCGAUCUAUUUAGAGAUAGUGCUAAUCUUGAUGCAAGAUAGGUUCACGAUUUGCAUGGAACAUACCAUAUGCUCAGAAAUCAAUUUCGAUGCACCACAUGGAACUCCUAGAUGACAUGUGUCAUAUGUGAUGUGAACCCACUAGGGUUUUCGCCUGAUCUUUCGAUGAGAGGCGCUGGAUAACUCGAUUAGUGAAUGGAGAUGACGUUCACGGCCCGACUACAGCCCUCAAGACUGCGCCUUAGCAACCGAUACACCGCCUCCAAUGGCUGUCACGAUCUUGUGGAGCGCAACACCCGGCCACUAGGGCACUCGUCCUGCAAGCAAUCGAAGAACCAGCAAGAACAAGUAGAACAAGUACUAAAUUACCAGAUGUAAAUGAAGGUUUCAAACUCAAUCUCUAAUGAAGUGGGGUUUCGAAAACAAGAAGACGGGCGGCUGGAUCAGCACGCGCGUUUACAAGCAAGUAGCGAAGGCUAAACUUUAUCUAAUCAAAACCCAGUUGUUCAUGGCGGCUCUAGAUGUAAAUAAAUAGAGGGGAGGACGACCAAAGGGGUGCUAGAGUCGUCCUCCAACCCUAGGACGCGUCCCUAAUGGACUCAACUUGAUACAUGGGCCAUUGGUCCAAAAUAGGGUGACGCAGCACCAAAAUAGAAAAAGGUGUCGGCACGAAAACAAGGACUGCGCCCGACUCAUAAGCCGCAUAGAUAUGUGGUUGGACCCAUUGGAAAGUAGACUUCAUGAGCUUUCCAACAAGUAUAGGAACGUCCCAGUUGGAUUCCAUAUGACGCCGUGGUGAUCCAUACAAGUUAGAGUUAUUUUCCAGUCCGAAUCCAACUCCCAAAACGUGUUGGGUUUGGACUCUUUGUUUCCUUGCUUUAGAAACGACGUGGUAACUUGACAGAGGAUGUUGUGGAGGCUUGGACCUGAUCUCCAAUCACCUUUGUUAAGUUAUCACUCUUCCCAUAUGCAAUCAGCCCUUGAAGUUGGUGUUGCCUCAAAUUCUGAAUGCAGUUGAACCUUCCCUUGCUGAUCUUGUCCAUUAUUCCUGAGCAACACCAAAGUGCACGUGGAUCCAUUGUCUAAAUAUGAUUGACAAGAGUUUAAAGCUGAACUUACUUGAAGGUUGAGUUGACGGGCACGAGCACGAGUAAGAGGACCAGCUAUAGGUUGUGUCGGAGAGGAUGUAGGAUAUGUAUCGCUGGUGGAUGUAGGAUAUGUAUCGCUGGUGGAUUUAGGAUAUGUAUCGCUGGUGGAUGUAGGAUAUGUAUCGCUGGUGUUGAUGUCCUCAUCAUCCUCCCUUUCUUGCAUUUGAGUUGUCCUCGACUCAAGCUCAUCUUCCUCACCCAAAUAAGGCUUCAAAUCUGCAAUGUUAAAUGUGGGACUAACCCCAAAAUCUUUGUCUAGUAGUUCUUGCACUUGUCGCUGAAUUUCCUUUGUUUCCUCCGGGUUUGUCCUGUAUGGUGCACGAUUUGGCAAAACUGAUCCAGGAAUAAGAUCAAUUUGGUGCUCAAUCCCGCGUAGUGGAGGCAGCCCCGCUGGUACCUCACUUGGAAACACAUCAGAAUACUCCUGCAAAACGUUAGCAACAGCAGGGGGCAAAGAACAUUGCAUAUCCUCAACUGAAAUCAAAACAUCCUUGCAUAUCAAAGCAUAAGCAACAGAAGUGGAUGCAUUGAACUCAUUAAUAUCUGAUUUGGUAGCUAUCAUACAACGUCCUUUCAGUUUUAUCUCAUCUUUGUUACCAAUUACAGAUUUAUCAUUUUUAUUGCUCUUGCUCUUUGCUUUAGUAGCCCUAGCAACAUCAGUUUGCAUAAUAGUUUCAGGGGACAUAGGAUGCAACACAAUUUUGCGAUCAUGGUAUAGAAAAGAAUACUGAUUUGAUCUACCAUGAUGCAUAGAAUCUCUAUCAAAUUGCUAAGGUCUACCUAGCAGAAUGUUACAAGCUUGCAUAGGCACAACAUCACAUUCAACAAUAUCUUUGUAGGAUCCGAUGGAAAAAUUAAUUCUCACAAGUCUAGUUACCUUUGCCUUACCACUGUUGUUCAGCCAUUGGAUGUAGUAGGGAUGCGGGUGUGGCUUGGUGUUGAGGGCAAGCUUCUGCACCAUAUCGCUGCUUGCCAAGUUGUUGCAGCUACCUCCAUCAAUGAUCAUGCGACAAGAACGCUCUUUGAUGACACACUUUGUUUGGAAUAAAAUGUGUCGCUGAUUUUGCUCCGCCAUCUCCAUUUGUGCACUAAGCACUCGCUGCACGAUCAAGCUCUCAUAGUGGUCUGCUUCACCUGCAUUAAUAUGUUCUUCUAUUUGAUCUUCAUUACCUGCAUGGUCAGUCGCAAGCAGUGCAAGUGUAUCCUCAUCAAAAUCACUAGCAGAUGAGUACUCACCAUCAUCCCUGACAAUCAUAACUCGCUUGUUUGGGCAGUCACGCAUCAUGUGCCCAUAUCCCUUGCAUCGAUGACACUGAACAUCUCUUGUUCUUCCCGUGGAAUUAACCGAGGUGGCACUAGCGAUUGGUCUCUGGGCUGAUUUAGUUGCUGUAUUUGUGGAAGAAUCAUGUGGUUUGUCGCUAUAGGAAGGUGGUGGAGCUAUUGAUCGGCUUGAUGGAAGAGGUACACCACCCGACAAUGUAGCAGAUGUGCGUUGUUGCCAGGAUUUCCCUGCAGAAUUGUUAGAUUUGGCACUAGAACAUUGUCCCUGCACUUCCCUUUCAGCUUUACAAGCAAGAUGAAACAAACGGGUUACGUUAGUAUAAUCUUUAUAAGCAAGAAUGUCCUGGAUUUCACGAUUUAACCCGCCCAAAAAUCUAGCCAUAGCAGGUUCUUCUUCCUCCUCUAAAUUACAUCGCAGCAUACCCAUUUGUAAUUCCUGAUAAUAUUCUUCUACACUUUUAGCACCUUGUCUCAAUUGCUGCAACUUAUUAAUCAUGUCACGUGCAUAGUAAGAAGGAACAAAUCUAGCCCUCAUGACUUGUUUCAACGCAUUCCAAGUUCUAGGUAUGUUAUUAGGAUUUCUGNNNNNNNNNNNNNNNNNNNNNNNNNNNNNNNNNNNNNNNNNNNNNNNNNNNNNNNNNNNNNNNNNNNNNNNNNNNNNNNNNNNNNNNNNNNNNNNNNNNNNNNNNNNNNNNNNNNNNNNNNNNNNNNNNNNNNNNNNNNNNNNNNNNNNNNNNNNNNNNNNNNNNNNNNNNNNNNNNNNNNNNNNNNNNNNNNNNNNNNNNNNNNNNNNNNNNNNNNNNNNNNNNNNNNNNNNNNNNNNNNNNNNNNNNNNNNNNNNNNNNNNNNNNNNNNNNNNNNNNNNNNNNNNNNNNNNNNNNNNNNNNNNNNNNNNNNNNNNNNNNNNNNNNNNNNNNNNNNNNNNNNNNNNNNNNNNNNNNNNNNNNNNNNNNNNNNNNNNNNNNNNNNNNNNNNNNNNNNNNNNNNNNNNNNNNNNNNNNNNNNNNNNNNNNNNNNNNNNNNNNNNNNNNNNNNNNNNNNNNNNNNNNNNNNNNNNNNNNNNNNNNNNNNNNNNNNNNNNNNNNNNNNNNNNNUGCGAGGUGUAAGUGUGUUUUCGUUACCAUCAUCUGCCCCUGGCAUGGUUCAAAGACAAAGACAACAAAAAGGCAAGUGAAGAAAUAAAAGCCCUACAACUACUAGGAUGUAGCUACAGCAAGUCGCUCACACUCAACCUGUAACACAAGUUCUUACCAAUUCUUACCUUGCUUGACAGGAGGGGUCGUCUGCCAACAAGUGUACAGCAAUGGACGAAGUGUAUCGGUGCUGCAGCACAAGACCUGUCAAGCUGUAGAGUAUGUGGAGCUAUAGGUGGGCUGAAACAAGGAACGAACUAGCACCACGUUAGUUAUAAAAGCGAGCUGAAUAAACGCUCAACGGUGGUACUGUGCUGGUCCUAGCCUAGACCGUGCUAGAGACGCGAGCCUGGACACAAAGGGAAAACACAGCACACCACUAGAAACAAAAUGAGCAGCACUACUGGAAACAAAAAGAACAACAAUCCCCUUCUUUUGAUUUUUUUUUCUUUUUUCUUUCUUUCUUUCUUUUUUUUCUUUAUUUUUUUCUUUCUCUUUUCUUUUUUUUUUGGGGAACCUCAAAACCUGCUUAUAUAAAUGAAAUAGUACAAAAUAUCACUUCACCACUCUCACCCUCUCACUAGAGUAAGGCUGAACCUCAAAAUUCAAUAUAUCUAGCACAAGUAUGAAGUGCUAUCUUUCCUUUUGGAUCACGUUGAUGGAAACGCAGAAUAGACAAACAAGUGGCUGCACCUAUUAUCAAGAUCUACUCAAAUUCCAACCCACAAUAGAUUGGACGCAGUUGUGACUAGAUGGUGACAAGAACUCAAAACUCUAAAGGACUAAACUAAAACCAGCACNN